Molecule: long non-coding RNA, 116765 nt
Filed under: Capsicum annuum
Lineage: Eukaryota; Viridiplantae; Streptophyta; Magnoliopsida; Solanales; Solanaceae
Description: long non-coding RNA (CANN_LNC011292)
Source: RNAcentral
UCUCAUCUUGUUGUGUUUGGAGGAUGUGGAAGGCAGGGUCUCUUGAAUGAUGUCUUUGUGUUGGAUUUGGAUGCCAAACAACCAGCAUGGCGUGAAAUCUCUAGUUUGGCACCUCCGCUUCCAAGAUCUUGGCACAGCUCCUGUACCUUGGAUGGAACCAAGUUGAUAGUCUCUGGUGGUUGUGCAGAUUCUGGUGUACUUCUCAGUGAUACUUUCCUGCUUGAUCUGUCUAUGGAGAAGCCUGUGUGGCGUGAAAUACCAGUGACAUGGACUCCACCUUCUCGUUUGGGCCACACACUCUCUGUUUAUGGAGGCCGGAAAAUACUUAUGUUUGGGGGUCUUGCCAAGAGUGGUCCUCUGCGUUUUCGAUCAAGUGAUGUGUUCACAAUGGAUCUCAGUGAGGAAGAACCCUGCUGGAGAUGUGUUACAGGAAGUGGAAUGCCUGGUGCGGGAAAUCCCGGAGGCGUUGCUCCUCCCCCAAGGCUUGAUCAUGUGGCAGUAAGUCUCCCUGGUGGCAGAGUUCUGGUCUUUGGUGGGUCCGUUGCUGGUCUCCACUCAGCCUCACAGCUCUACAUUCUGGAUCCAACAGAAGAGAAGCCUACAUGGAGGUUAUUAAAUGUGCCUGGUCGGCCUCCAAGAUUUGCUUGGGGACAUAGUACAUGUAUUGUUGGUGGAACUAGAGCAAUAGUCCUCGGAGGUCAAACUGGGGAAGAAUGGAUGCUCGGUGAGCUGCACGAACUCUCUUUAGCAAGCUCUGUUGUAUGAAUAAAAAGAAAGGUAAUAAUCAAGAGAAGGUGUUGUGCUGAAUUCACAAUGAAAAUUUUGCCUCUAGAAUAAAGGGAGUCCUAGUACAAACUAUUGUAGUGCGGUUUUUGCCUUGGACCAAAUGCACAGUUGAUUAGCAAAGUACCUUUUGAGUUGGUGGCUAUCUUGUUUAUUCUUGUGUGGCUCAUAGGCCAUGCUGAGCCGAUCUUGUUGAACAGUUGGUCUGAAUUGAGCUUAAUUUUGCAAGGUUUGCAUGGAAUGAUUUCGCUUGAUGCACUCGAAUUAUUCACCCGUUGAAAGCUAGGUGUAGCUUGAUAGAUCAGUAGAUUAUUCUGUAUUCUUAGGUUAGUGUGUAUUGUGUAUGGAUGUGUGUGUGUUGUUCAAGUCCUGUAAUUUGAAUCCUGUGGGCCAAUAUGCAAAAAUAGAAGAAGUAAAGUUAAAAAAAAAGGUAAAGAUUUGCAGAACCGGAUGCAUGGGUGUCUGUAUUAGAUUUAUAAAUUACCCCUUGCGUUGUUUAAUAACAGUUCAUUCGACGACAUUUUUUUUCCGUUUGAGUAUCUCUCACUCAAACAGCUUAACAGCAUAUGGAAAUUGUUUAGGACAGUCUUUCCUGUAUAGGGUUUUUUUAGUUUUUGCUCUCUCACAGGUGUGCACAUGGAUGGUAUCUAUUUAAGAGUUAUUCUUAUAAUGCUGUGUGGCGGCUUUGCAGUGUGGCAACUUUCAGAGUAAGAAACUUGUUCCCGGAUUGUUUUACAAAGUAUUUCUGUUCGUGUUUACUGUAAUUGUUGUGCUUGUGUACAACUUUGUUUUUGUUGACAAGGGAACCCACAGCCAAUACCCUUUGGAUUCCUUGAAGAAAAUUUUGCUUCAUAUGUGAUAACUCUCAAACUACACUCUAAAUUCCGCUUCAGUGUAAUAACUCUCAAACUACACUGUAAAGCGACUCAAACUACAUUGUAAAGCGGCAGUCAUAAUUUCUUACUUGGAAUAGUAUGAACUAGUAUUAUUCGUCUGUCAAAAAACAAAAUAAAUAAUGUCAGCCAAUUGUGGCUCUUAUAGUAUCAUAUCCGUUCCUGUUUAAGGUUUUAUGGUCACUGACAAGAAAACUGAAUACAAACUGUAUACCGUUUUCUUGGGGAACGUUCCUGUUUAAGGGUUUAUGGUCACUGACAAGAAAACUGAAUACAAACUAUAUACCGUUUUCUUGGGGAACGAAUCAGGUAAUACAUGCGUUUUUUCUAGUUUGUUGAAGCAGAUAGAAGAGUUUCUUUGAGUUGCUUCCAUCGUUGUUAUUGUCAAUUGAGUCAAGUAAUUUAAUAGGCGUUUGUCCAUAGAUUUAAAAUUCACUUUUUUUAAAAAAUUUUUUUAUGGAGUUAAAAGAUGUUUGGUUAUAUUUUUGGCAAAGAAUGUUUUGGAGUUGUGUCCAGAACAUACUUAAAUACAAUUUUGAAAGUGAGAAGUGAGUAGAAACACAAAUUAUAAAUUGUUUUUCAAUUUUGAGAUACAAUUCCAAGUGAAAUUAUUAUGGUUAAAUAUUGCUUCUCCAAUAAAAUGAAACUCAUUCUGAAAAAAGAGUGAUUGUAGUUCAAGACUCUUCACCUGAGUCGUCCAUGUUAGAACAUGAACAACGGAAGCAAUUAGUAAGGAUUAAUUGAACUUACAUAAUAUCUAGAUAAUAAAAAAAUUGAACUACAGAAAGUUACUUAUUUAUUGAAGUUUUCACUCAAUUCGUUUAACGUCUUAUUCGUGUUGCCUGUCAGGUCUACAAUCUUUUGCCAAAAUUGCAUUAGCUUUUUUCAAUCAACACCAGGGGAUGGAUUCAGUCGGCGAAAGUUCCUUGUAGCUUGAUUCUUUACUCAUUCUAUAGGCUUGGAGUCAGAAGUCCUAUUCUUCCCAAAGUGACAAGUGAUUAUUUUUUAGAAAAAGAGGAACUUAAUAAAAAAUGAGCCCGUAUUUAUUUUCAAUUUCUAUUAAAGAAGGGAAGAAAAAGAGGCAAAACGUUUCUUAUUACAGGUUUAAUGCCAAAAACGUUUUUGGCCUUAAUGUAACCAUAAUGCCAAAAACUGAUUUUUAAUUCACUCUUUUAUUUCUUACCAGUUUAGGUAUACGCGCCUCGUGCGUGUACUUCACUUUAAUAAAUUUAAACAUAAUACUAAAUAAGAUAUUUUUUUAAAUAAUAAAGAAGGAUACAAUAAUUAAAUUCAACAUCUUUUGAACAUGUAAAGAUGAAUGAAUUUAUUUAAUUAAAUCUGAUAUUUACAAAAAAAAAAAUAAAAAAAAUUUAAAGCCAAUCGAAAUUUAUCUAUCAUCUAUAAAUUACAACAAAACAAUACAAAGAUAGAGAUAUCAAAACAAUAUAAUUAAAUCAAACCUUUGCAAAAAAAUUUCCUCAAAGUCGAUCGAUCAUCUACCACCUAUCAACUACAACAAAAUAAUACAAUAAUAGAGAUAUCAAAAUAAUACAACUAAAUCUAUUUUUUACGCAAAAAGAAAAAAAUCUCAAAGUAGAGAUAUCAAAAUAAUACAAUUAAAUCUAACCUUUACCUAAAAUUUUUUUCAAAGCUGUCCGACAUUUAUCUAUCAUCUGUAAACUAACAAUAAAAUAAUGCGAUAACAAAAAUAUCUAAACAAUACAAUUAAACCUAAUCUUUACAUAAAAAAAAUCAUAACUUAUUAUUUGAUUAGAAACCACUAAGUUGCUCAAUAACGAAAGCUAGUUAUUCAUGACCAACAAAUCCAAUGUAAUGUAAAAGAAAAUUUAAAACCUAGAAACAACAAAGUCACAGUGUAGAUUCAAUAAUGAGUUACAUAUAUACAAACAUGAAAAGAUGUUUUGUUAUUCUUGAUCGAAAACCAACAUAAUCAAAUUUUUUUUUUGAAACCUGAAAAUUAAACCAACACAUUAUAUCAGAGAUCCAGUAACAAAACUAUUAACAAGCAUAACUAGAUGAUUUGUUACUUUGGUUAAUAAAAUUAAAACGUAAUAUAAAUAGAAACUUGAAAUUCAAAAAUUAUAAAAUAACCCCAAAACAAAGCUACAAUCACAAAAUUUUAUUAUGCAAAUAAGGUAUUCGUAUAAAUCUAAAAAAGGACUUCUAAAAUUGAAAAAAAAAAUAAGGACUCCUAAAUUAAAAUAUCAUAAUAAAAAAUAAUAGUCCUAACCUAAAAAAAAGACCUUUUUUUUUUCUUGGAAAAAUCCACUACCCUUUUUCACGGAUUACAUUGAGUUUUUGAAAGAAAAAUUUUCUUCUUCUUUUAGGAUUCUUAACCUAUUUUAUGUAAAAUAGUUUCAUCACUUUUUCUAAAAUAUUUAAAAUUUUACCUUAUAUAGAACUUUUUUUUAUAUAAUAAUUUCUUUGAAGUUGAAUUUUCUUUAACAAAAUAUUGAUAAAUUUAGGAAUUCAGUAAAAAGUAGAAAAUCUUCUUCAUUUAUUUUUUUAUAUAUAGUUAUUAUACUCAAUAUUCAAUAUUAUAAAUUGAAGAAAAAUGUGAAAAGACGAUUUUGUCUAUUACACAGUCUUUUAAUGAAGGAAAAAAAAGUUCAAAUCACUUUUCUAAGGAUCUUCACACUUUUAAUAUAUUAUAGAUUAAUAGAUGAUCAGUAAUUUUUAAAAAAUUACUUCUUCUAUAAAGUUUCUUUCAUUUUUUAAAAAUGAUUAGUUAAUUAGGCGUGGUAGGGACCACAGAUUUAAUGUUUAAGGCUUCCAAUUAUGAUAUUAAUUCAGUAUUGAAUCAAGUAUCAUAUCAUAAUAAAUUAUAAAUUAUUGCAUUAAAAAUCUAUAAUUGCACUCCUCGAUUUAAUUUCAAAAUCUAUCAUUACAUCUUAUUUAACUCUCCAUGUUAGAAUUACCAACACCAAUCAAUUAAAUCAAAUUUAUGAAAAAUUUAAUUAAUUGAUUAGUUUAAUAUUUUAUUUAUAAUACCUAACUUAUUUUAAAUGACGGAUAUAAAAUUCACCUGCCGGGCUUUCACGAGAAAAAUUUAUAAGCAACCAUAAAGGGGUGUCUUAUAUCUCAAGUAUGAACAUGGUUCUAUCAACUAAUUAUUAUUUCACUAAGUUAUUUAUCAUCAUCUAAUCUAUUAGGAAUAUAUUGACUCAUAAAGAAUCUCACAUUUUAAUAGAUUAAAAUAAUAAUUCAAGCCAUAGAUCAUAAUAAUUAUAUCAAGAUUAAGAGUAUAAAUACAUGUAAUAGACUAGAGAAGUUACUUAUUAGUAUUCAAAACAUAAACAAACAUCUCUAAUUGGUCCGUUCAAUAUAUAGUAAAUGUUCUAGCACAAGAAGUUGAAAUAUUACCACUCCCAUAAUUAAGAUCAAAUUAUAUUUAAUUUUAUGCUACAAUCAUCAAGAUGUUUGUCCUACCUCAUCUUUGAUUGUGAACAUUAAUUUAUUACUUAUAAGAACCAGCAAUUUUAAUCUUCUGUGCAUGAGUUAAAAUAAUUCAUACAAAAAUUGUCUACAAUAUAAGUAAAAGACACGCAUGUUAACACAAUAAUAUAUUCAAAUAAAUAUUUUAUUAAAUAAAAUAAAAUAUAAUAAAUUAUCUUUACAUAGGAUAAAAAUAUAAUACUAUAACAUAAAUCACAUGAUUAAAAGUAUAUCCUAAAAAUCUCCCACUUAGACUCAUAACCAUGUAUUCACAAUUUUAACACCCAAUUCUUUAACAUGCUUAUCAAAAACCUUUUGGGUUAAGCCCUUUGUAAAUGGGUUCAUCAAAUUAUUCUUCGACUCAAUCUUCAAAACUCUCACAUCACCCUUUUUAGUUAUAUCCCAAAUCAAGUGAUAUUUCCUCUCAAUAUGUUUAAUUCUUUCAUGGCUUUGUGGUUCUUCCGAGUUUGCAACUGCAACACUAUUAUCACAAUAAAGUGGUAGUGGUGUUUGAAUCGAAGGACAACUCCAAGUUCUUUGAGAAAGUUAUCGAGCCAAACAACCUCCUUAGCAACCUCCUAAAAGGCUGUUUGAUCGUCAAGUUGAAAUACUUAUUAUACUUCUUCAAUCCUAUUACCUUCCUUAUAGAUAGAGCUAGUUCGUAGCAGGUUUAUAAUGUAAACUAGAUUCCAGGAAUUUUCCAUUCUUAUAAAGGAAAUAGUCGUGGUUUAUAGAUGUAUUGGUUCUUAUAAUCGUAUUAUUUGAAUAUUGGUGAUGGCAUGCAUAGAUUCGGUACAUUCAUGACCACUUAGAUGGUAAAUGGUACAAUCCCAAGAAAAAUAUGAUUUUAUUACUCUUUUCCUAAAAAGGGAUUUAGUCCCACUUUUCACUUUUAAAAUGGAUUUAUUUCUAAUGGGAAUCGUACCAUCUUAAUGAAUAACUUAUGAGUAUUCGAGACCAAAAAUGACAAUUUAUAGAUUUGACCAAGAUAGAUUCCGUCUCAUGAUUUUCUACUACUAUUUUCUCCAAUCGUGAGAUAUUUCGACCCUUUCUAUAUUCCUACGAUGAUUUAGUCUCGAAUUUUACCUUGAGUAAUGGUUUUACGGAUUUAUACUUUUUAGCCAUAGUUCUAGUAGUGCAAUUAUACAAUUCCAUAUAUAUAUAUAUAUAUAUAUAUAUAUAUAUAUCAUAUGCCAGGAUAGGGAAUAAGGCUUAACAUGCAUUCCAAAACUUUAGUCUGUAUACUAGUACAUCUGUAUUGACCCCCUUCCCUUCCAGGUUCUGAGGCUCAAUCUAGGGGUCCUGGUAAGCCGUAGAUUUUCUCCAAACAGAAAUACAGAGUUAUGUGGUGAGCCUUCUAUAUCUUAGAAGGCCUAGUUUACUUCAGUCAUUUAUCAUUAUAUGUUUGUAACGCCCCAAAAUCGGAUUCCGAGACGUCAUACGGUGCUUAAGGUCACAAGUGACCCCAAGCGAACCCUUCAUCUGGCAUAACCCAAAGCAACUAAAUAAAAUACAUAAAAUAGAAGGACUAAUGCGGAAACAACCCAUAACUUAGUCUGACCAACAUGAAAGUAAAUUUACACGGACACAAUUCUGCUCAUAUAUAUACAAAUCUGAAACUGAAUACACUGACUACUAGUGACUGUCUAUGAAGCCUCUACUAGCAUUGACCAAAGAUAGCUGGGUCAUGACUCCCAGCUACCCCUACUCAAUACAACUGAAUACAGAAAAUACAAUACACCUCAAAUCUAAACAACUCAAGUCCCUAAAGCAAAAGGACUAAUCAUCUGCCGAUCGAGAGCUGUGACCCAGCUGAACAUGAUAUGUGCGCUACAGAUUGUACCUACAUUUUGGUAAGAAUGUAGCCCAUGGAAAUAUGUGGGUCAACACUUUAAAAUGUACCGAGUAUGUGGGGGUGCCUGCAACAAUAUAAAUAGUAUAAUCAAUUUAAUGAAAACAUGCAUACGGACAAUGAUGACUCACUUGGCUUGAGUUAUAUCAAAUCAUACUUUUCGUAAUUUCAUAAUAAACAGUUCAUAUGAUAAAAUCUCGUAAUCCACAUAAAUCAUUAUAAAUCAUAAAUUAUGAUAAAUCAUCCUAAAUCAUCAUAAAUUAUCAUAUCAUUAAAAAUCAUCAUAGGUAAUUAUAAAUCAUCAUAAAUGACCAUAAAACAUCAUAAACAUCUCAAAUCUUUGACUCAAAUCUCGGAGUGACUCGGUAAUUCAAGAAACUUAAUCUUAUGGACACGGGAGUUUCCUAUAACCGACAACCCCACGUAAGCUACAUGGAAUACCAACGUUUGAAACCCCCGUUGACGGGAGCAUCAUACUCUUUGCCAGGGAGUAUGACCUUAAAACUGCAAUAAUCACAAUUGGACUCUCUGGCCAAUAAUAUCAUCAUCAAAUAACCUUACGGUGGCACAUAGGUUCGGAGAAAUACCAAAUUUCCCUCUCGGUGCUAAGUACUACUCCCCGACAAGCUCAGAAUGUGUUAGGAAAUCCACCACAACAUCUCAAGGGUCUAUCAUAAAGACCAAAUCAAAUCUCUUUCUCAUUUAUCAAGUCAUAUCAAUUUGUGGAUUCCUAACUCAACACAUUUUAGCUCAAAACAUUUUAAUGACCAUGAUUCCGUUUCAUUAUGUAUUUCCAUAUUAUUUUUUUCAUAUAAGGACAGUGUAUAUGAUUACAAGUUAGAAAGGCGUCCAGGCCUUCAUAGUUCAGGAUGCUCAUCACGGCUAGGGCCUCGGUUCGGGUCGUGACACAUAUGCUAAUCCAUAAAAUGUGGCCACCAUCAGAGUGCCAAAAAUGUAGCAUCCCAAAAACAAAUACAAAUUUGGGGGCACCCCCAACUAAAAGGAAUGUAGUACCCUACUGCAUGUGCAUUAAGGCAAGAGUAAGAAGGGUCUCCCUGAAUUUGCAUCUAGAGCUGCUCUUUCCCACUGACUCUGCACCAUUACCAUCCGCAUUAUCGAUAGACCAAUCAGUAGGGGCCUCGUCUUCACUGUCCAACCUAGGUGAAGGUAGUCAAUUGAUUGGGUUUGAGCACCUUAAAUAUACCCUUCAACCCCUUCCAUAGCUUCCUAAAUAACUUAUCUCUUUUUUUUUCUCUCUUCACCUUCUUCUCAUGAAAAUCCUUGAGGUACCUAUGUGACGUAGCUUAGGCUGAAUAAGCUCUCUCCAAGCUGGAGACUGUGGCUCCCUACUUCUUAUACUCUUCUCUGUAUUUCUCAUAGUCUGACUAAGCUACGUAUGAGUGGCGAGUAGUAGAGGACUCUCAUGGUCCUUGAGGUAGUUUGGACAAUAGUUCCCGCACCACCUGCAAAUGACCAGAGAUGUUAUCAAAGGUGAUGGCUGAUGAGGGUCUGCAAGAGUCUUUGUCCUCUUGGACUAAUUUACUCGAGUCCAUCUGUCUCUUUUUGCUCUAACCUAGGGUACCCUAACUUCUAAAUUUGAGUAGGAAGAUACAGGGGCCUGGGAGAACCCAGGUAUCUGUAGGGUAUUCCUCUACUUGUGCCCUCUUGCAUAGCUCUGUGAUAAGGGAAGGGAGGAGAAAAUGUGUUCCUUUAUGAUUUUUGAAGUACCUUCACUCUGAAUGCUCAAUCUUGCCCAUAUUCAGGGCGAUGCCAGAUAGGAUACUAGCCACCAUCUGAGCUCGCAUGUCUAUGACAAUGGUCAUGUGAGUGCAUGGAGAUACUCGGCUACAGACGAUAUUCAGCCAAAGUCUAGCCUCAGCUGUGAAGUCAUUCAUUAGAAUGUCUCUCUUGGUGGUGGCCCAAGGAACCUCUUUGCCAACAUAUAAAAUAUCCUCUAUCCAGGUCCCUGGCUCAUAUCCCUUUGCAUGAAACUUCUCCAUGUCAGCAUCCGGGAGCCCAAAUACCUCGUUUAUCCGCUCUAUCCCAAAGUUUACUUGCCUUUCCCUAAUAGUUAUUAUCAAAUUUGUGAAAGAAGCUAUGCUUAGGUUAGCAUAGAAUUCACAUACCUAGUGCUCAUUAGAAAUAUAGGGGUUCGGGGAAAAGCACAUCCACCCAAUCUGAUUAAGUUUGGCAUGAAAACUCGGGAACUUUUCCUCUACUUUAUCUAAGCUGAUACCCUUUUCAGCGAGCAACUUAGUUCUCGGCAAGUCUACAUAGUAAUCAGACCAUCAUUAGCAUUAUCAUACCAAAAACAUGCUAGAUCAAACAUAUAAGCUUAUGUGGCAGUGUUAUAGAGUGUUUUGGGGGCAGAAAUUGAUGUACUAAAAUUUUUGUUCCUACAGACAUUGCCCUCAGGUAUGGCGAUUGUCGAGCAUUGACUGCAACCGUGGUGUUGCAAUUGCGAUCAUUGGGGUCACAAUUGCGAUACCUGCUACCUUAGUGAAAAUAUUCUGCACAAUGCCCAAAACAAAAUUUUAACCCCAAUUCUUUAUUUAAACUAGACAUAUCAAUAUUAUAAGCAAGGAAUUUAAGCCUAGAAUGUGUGAUUGUGGCCCCAAACUUGGAAGAAUUCAAAUUGAACUCAUUGGGUCAUUAAAUCAAACACAUGUGUACAUGAUCAUUUCAACUGGUUUAGGACUAAAUAUGGGUACUCAAGACUUCCCUGUUAGUGUGUACACCAACUAUAAUAGCUAACCACAACAAUGAUCAUCAACAAGCAUGCAUUUUAUAAUUAAAGCAUUAGUUCAGGCCUUUCUCUAAACUACAAGUUCUAAGCAUGCAAUUAAGUUAAAAAUUAGGGAGUAAGGACAACAUACAAAGUUUUGGUGAUGCAGUUGGAAUAAAAUGACACUUGGAUACGUAAUGCAAAGCCAUAAAUUUGAGAGAAUUAUGAAAGAGAUGCGUGUAGGAAAUUGGCAUUUGGAUGGUCAUUUAAACUGACUUGACUGCGAUCGCGGUCCUAGCUCCGCAAUUGUGGUCACGUGGUCUCCGCAAUCGCAGUAGCAUAGACCGUGUUUGCGGUAAUUGAGACCAAAGAUUGGGUCUCCUGCACUCUUUUGUUCAAUCCAACAUGCCAAUUUCACAUGUUCUUUUCUUAAUUUCACUCAAUAUUCCUCUGUGUGCCAACAUUUCAUGGAUUAUGCAUGAAUAAAACAAAAAAAUAAAAUCUACUCUACCAUGCAUAAAUAAAAAUGAUAUAUGCCACUUUUUGUGGCUUGAUGGGUUGCCUCCCAUCGAGGCUUAGUUUAACAUUGUGGCACGAUGCCUCCUCCAUCUCCUUUUAUUUUUUCACUUAGAAGAUUUGAAUCUCAAUCGCAACUUUCAUUCAAUAUGUAAUAAGUAGUAGAGGGACAGAAGAUUUAAGUCUUCCAAGAUGAAACUUGGAAGAUGUGAGGACAUGGAAAACAAGUUUCGAUCUCGCCAUUUUGAAGACUAAAAAUUUUUACCCAACUUUACAUCAAAUUUCCAUAUUUAUAAGCCACUCACUGAACAUCAAAAGUUGAUUUCCUUGGCCAUUGAUGUUGGGGCUUCCAUGUGCUACUUUGGAGUGUCAACUCCCAAAAUAUAGAAUUCGUAUCCUUUCUCCCCACAAUCCAUCAUUUGUCUUGGUGGAUAGAUUCUCAUCACAUUCUUGAGGCAUAAUGUCAAAAAGUGGUUUGAAUGAGGUCCAAUCCCUAACUUUGGAAUAGUCUCCUCCGUAGCAUCUUUACUUCUAAAUGAACAAGAGUCAUUAUAAUAGAUUAGUCUUGAUUCUUUUUUGACUCUAGCACUUUUUUUGGACAUCUUCACUACCAAGCUCAUCAUCAUAGCGUUAUUUCUCUUCUUGAUUAGCCUCCUCUUGGGAAAUGGGAAAGGUAAUGGUAUUUGCAAGAUUUGUUUCAUUGCCCAUUUCCUCUAUCUUGACAAUUUCCCUUCCAAACACCUCAUGGGAUUGAUACAUGUCUUGCAUAUUCUCCCUCGUUGUAGUUACCUAAUCCAAAAUAGUUUGAAGCAUUGCUUCAAGACUAGUGGACCCGGUAUGUUGUUUUUCCUUCUCCUCAUCAUAGGACCUAUCAAACUCAUAAGAGGACCUAUCAACUCGGUUAGAAUAAAAAGGGGAGGGGGCAUUUGGCAAUCACUCCAAUGUCCAUCUCGACCGCCACAUAAAGAACAACCAUACUCCAAAUAGGAUUGAGAUUGUUAUUCCAUCUCUCUCCAAGGAGCAUAGUUAUAAUCUCUCCUAAAGUGGGAUCCAUCACAAUAAGGACAUGGGUCAUCAAGAUAUGACUUCCAACUAGCAAAAUCAUAUUUAUUCGAAGAUUCCAUAGAUAAAAGUAAAAGAAAAUAAAAAUCUACCUAACACAAGAAACAAAAGAAAAUCACAAACAAAUAUUUACAAGCUUGAAUUCAAGCAAGUAAGCUAAAAUUUCAAACUAACUUAAUACGCCAAAUUUUUCCCCGACAAUGACACCAUUUUUGAUAAUGCUUAACUUACACAUUAAUUUAAGAGAAAGACGCUCAUCGUCAAUAUAUUUAAUCAACUUUGGAGUCGGGGUCGAAUCCCCGACAACCCAUCUGAAUGAAAUGCAGGAAUAUACCCUAGACAAUGGAAGAAGUCUUGCACUGUGUGUUGUGUAUGUCUCAGGCGACGGCGGGUCCCAUUCCUUAUCCUAAUGAAGCAGCUGAAAAAAAGGGGAAUAAUAUGAGUGACAAUUAAGUUAAUUCAAAAUAAUAGAUACUAGUUAAAUUCAAACCAAUAGUACAAGAAGAUAAAAAAAGGGGAGAUAGGUAUCUACACUAAUGUUUCUUUUUGUUUUUUUUUAAUAUAAAUUUAGGGCUAUGAAUAAUUAGUGUUUAAAAAAUUUAGCAUGAAUCUUGGGAUUAUGUAUUACUAAGGGAAGUUACAUGUGGAUGCUGAUAGUCAAUGUCACUUUAGUAGAUCAAGUGUGGGUAGGUUCGAUUAUAGGUUUAAAUUCUAGUCUUUCAACAAAACACCAAACCUUCACCCAUUAAUUAUUUCGAAUACCUAAUAGGUGUGUUCAACAAUUGGUAACUAAACCUCAAUAUUGGCAUCCCUAUUUCUAGGACAACACCCAUUGUAUAGUUAACUUCACAACAACCUUUAUGUCAAAAUAGUGAUAGAUUAGCAAACUACACACAUAAUUGUCUACCAUUUCUUUGGUCUCCACAUCACUCUUUCAAGGAUGAUAUGGAUUCCUGAAGUUGACCCAAAACCCUUCUUUUGAAGAUGGCAUUAAACAUUCUAGAGUUUGGAGUUUUCACCCAUCAAUCCCAUAUUGGUAUUUGGAGAUUUCAUCCAUAAAUCCCAAUCACGUUGGUCAAGCAAUGAUAAAACCUAUCAACAAGAACUACUAAAUAGAGGCUAACAAUAAAAAACCACAGACACUUUAAUUCUUAUUCAUACAUAACCCCAAGAAAAUCCUAAGCUCAACUCAGUCUUUUAAGCUUGCUAAGGGGUCCCAGACUUAGAAAAUUCUAGCUAAGUAUUCAGACUUAGGAUUAUUUUGGCCUUUGUAAGUUGGUAACUCUAUUUCACGAUUGUUAUGUCCUUAAAAUGUCAAUAUUUAGGUUGAUUCAUGAUCAAGAAUAUCAGUAGGUGUUUCUGGACGAGUUUCAUAUUUUUCAAACCUCGUUUGAACCAUGUUUGGGAAUCCAAAAUAGUGCAUCAAUGUGAUCUCAGUGCGGCGCAUUGGCUAUUGCAUUGAUCAAUAUUUUUUCUUGGCUCCCAGUGGAAAUUUCUAAUGAACCAACAUGGACUCGACGCAGUACGUUAGCUAUCACAUUGAUGCCAAUGACGCAGCGUAUCGUCCUGCACGUCGAUAGUCUAGUUUUUAGUAAUUAAAAAGCCGUGUCCCCAGGGGUAUUAGGGUCUUUUCCCUACCUCUAUUAAGCCCUAAAACAUGAGAUUUAGUCUUUAUUGAGCAAAAUAUACUUACUUUCUCUCAAAUUGCUCAAGAACAAGAACCCAAGGUGAUUUAAUUUCAAGGCCAAGGCUCAAGAUUUCCACCAUUGUUAUUUAGGAAUUUAGCAACCAAGGGAUGACAGGUGUUCAUCCAAGGGUUCCCUUUCACCCUUGGAGUUCAAGAACCCCUUUUUACUUCAAGUUUAUGAGUUUGAUGAAGUUCAUGGUUGAAUUUGAAUGUGUUCAUGAUUACCAUGUUAAUGGAUUUAUAGUUCAGAAUUUACUACAAAAUUCAUGUGGAAUUAAUUGAUAUGCAUGCAUUAUCAUGUGUGCAUUAUUAUGCGUGCAUUAUUAUGAGAUACCAUGCUGAAACCCUUAAAGUUGUAAAUGUGGAAUUGAACUAUGAUGUGCACAUGUUGUUUUAGUGUCAUGUGCAUAGAUUAUGUCCUUCAAGUGUUUGAUGAAUGUUCAUGAGAAUUAAAUAAUGAAAUUAUAUCAUGUUAGGAUGUAUUCAAGUUCAUGUCAUACAAGUGUUUGAUAGAAUAUCCCUAUGAAUAAAUGAUGAUCAAGUAGUUAUUUAUCAUGUUUCAAGAUUGCACCAUGUCAUAUAAUUUAUGAUAUUGAGUCCUGGGGGUAUUCAAUACUUGACAAUUUAGCUAUUUACCUAGAGCCAUGGUCAUUCAUAGGAUAGUAUAAGUCAUGUCACGAUCGGUAGAAUUUAGACAGUUAACAAAAUUUAGUAGUAUUUCGUCAGUCCACGGAACCUAGUGAACUUAGUUUAGUUCAGUUAUAUAGUACAAUCAGAAAUAGUUCAGUCUAGCCUAGAACAGUCUAGAAUCUAGUCCAGUGUCUAUUCAGCUCGGAGUAGGAUUCAGUACUGAGUAAACACAUGGAUGGGGACUCACCUGCCAGUAGAGGGUAUGAUCCUUAGAAGCAGUCCUUGUGUCCCAGAACUACGUAGCCAACGUAGGUUGAGACAUCAACCUGCUAGAUGAGGGUUGAUGAGGUGAUCUACCUGCCAGUUGAGGGUACCACCAUUCUCGUUCAGAGCACUUGCCAGAUAAGGGUGACUCAACUUGUCUUUACCCGUGGCACAGUACUGACACCCUUCCAGCUGGGGUUACAGGUUAGACCAGGGGCAUGUUAGUUAGAUGAUUACUUCCCACAAUCUCAGUUUCAUUUCCAAUCUCAGUAUAGAACUCAGUUCAGUACGAAACUCAGUAUAGUUCCACAAGAUCAAGACUGUCAGAUACAAUCACUCAGUUAUUAGCUACACAGUAUCAGUAAACUCAUAUAUCAGUAAAUUAGUAAUUCAAAAACUUAGUAUCCAAUGUUAUUAUGAUCUCAAUUACAGUUUACGUAUUCAUGCAUAUACUCUUAUUCAGUUAUAUUCAUGUCAUUCAGUUAGUGUUGUACUUGUAUAUAAACCCAUGCAUUUUAGCCUACCUCACUUUGCAUACUAGUACAUUCAAAGUACUGAUGCAUACCUUUCAUUUGUGCUAUGAUGUUUUAUAUCAUAUGUUCAGACGUGCGGGUUCCGAAUCAUACUUAGCAGUUUAGAUAUUUAGCUGACAGAGUUAGUGGUGAGUCCUCUUAGUUUGAGGACAUGAAUAUUAUUUUAGGAGUUCGGAAUUAGUUUGGGACUUGUCCCAUCAAAUCCAUAUUUUAGACAGUUUAGAGGCUUUUUUGGACUAGAGUAUUUUCAGAUAGAUAUAUAAGAUUUGGUAUUUGUUAUACCGUAUUCAGUUUUACUAUAGUAUUGAACCUUAUGGCAUGUUUUCUACCUAAUUCUUGCAUAUUUGCAGUAUUACUAUUCUGUUAUUGCAGCAAGUACCAGUCAUGGGUUAGCUUGUGGUCCUUUGGGAUUAUGAACACCGUGUAGUGUCUGGGGUACAGACUCAGGGCGUUACACCUUCAUCAUUAAUAUAUUUACCCAACUUUAGAGUCGGGGUUGAAUCUAUGAGGAACAAUGUGAGUGGCUAUCAAACUAAUUUGAAAUGAUAGAUAUAAGUUAAAUUCAAACAAAUGAUACAAAAACAUAAAAUGGGGGGAGGAGGGUUCCUACACUAAUGUUCCAUUUUAGGUUUUUCUAGUAUAAAUUUGGUGAUACGAGUAAUUAGAGUCUUAACAAUUAUGCACGGAUCUUUGGAUUAUGCAUUACUAAAUGAGUGACAUGUGGUAGUUAGUCAUCAACAUCGAUUUAGCGUGUCGAAUAUGGGUAGGCUUGGUUAUUGAUUUUGAUGCUAGUCUUUCAACAAAACACCAAACUUUCACCCAUUGAUUAUUUUGAAUACCUAAUAGGUGUGUUCAACAAUUAGUAACCACAACGUCAAUCUAGGCAUCCCUAUUUCUAGGAUGAUACCAACGGUGUAGCCAACCUUAAAUUCACCUUUUUGUCUAAGAUAGUGAAAAUUUAGCAAACUACACAUGCGAUUGCCUAUCAUUGCUUUGGUAUCCACACCCCUCUUUCGAGGAUGAUAUGGAUUCCUAAAGUUCACCCAAAACCCUUCUUUCGAAUAUGGCUUUGAAAUUUCUAGAGUUUGGAGAUUUCGAUCAUCAAUCCCAUGUGGAUAUUUAGGGCUUUCACCCUUUAAAUCCCAACAGAAAUAGCAUAGCAAUGAUAAAAUCCAUAAACAUGAAUUACCAAAGAGAUGCUAAAAAUAACAACCCAAACAUACUUAAACCUCUAUUCACACAUAACCCAAAGAGGGAGAUAUAGCUACACAUAAGAUAAAUUAGCAUAGAUAUACCCAUAAUCUCCAUUGAAAUGAAAGAAUUAAGCGAAUGUUACAUCAAACUUGGUUCUCCCACAAUAUCAACAAUGGAAGUUAGCAAAUCUUCCACUUUGAAAGUCUCUAAUGUACUUUUCACCCAAAAUUUAUACAAUAUUUUAUUCUUCAGAAAUGGAGGCUAUGAACUACAGAAAACUAAAACCUAAAAAAAUUUGGGGAAGAUGGAAUUAUUCUAUAAUGCUAGGGUUUGGGUCAUUUUUGUCAAAUUGGGAUCAGCACAUGCAAUUAUAGUUUUCCCCUUAGGCUGAAAUCCUCCACUAGGCCGCGAUCGCGCAGGUUUGGACCACUGCCACACGACCGCAGUUUAGCUUUGUGACCGUAUUUGAGUGACCAUCCUUGAUUGCUGCAAAUGUGGUACCUGAGGCCCUUCUGUUUCAGGUCUUCAACUGUACUUUCUUGCUCCCAUUUUGAUCAUUUUGAGCUUCAGUCCACAUCUUUCCAUCCCUUUUUUCUUUAUUCCUACAAGAAAUAGAUAUUAGUGCUUCUAAUAACAAUUAUGUCUCAUUUAUUCACCCAUAACAAGGUAGUGUGCGCUAAUAAUAAGUGCAAUUGAGUGGUAAACUAACCACUCAUCGGGACUUUAACCUCAAGUCCUUUAAUUAGGAAAUAGAUUUUAACCUAAAGCACUAUGACUAUGAUUAGUCGACAUUGGGACUCCAUCCCUUUGUGCAUUCAUCAUCAUUUAUUCAAUUCACACUUAAGGACUUUAACCCUUUUAGAUAAUUCAACACUAUACAUGACCACAUGGUCCUCAUUCGAGCCUUUGUUGCUCAACCCUUUCAAUAGGCCAAUGCCUUAAUUCAAUUCAUAAUGCAAUUCAAUUUAUGUUCAUCAAGACCCUCACAAACUAUUCACAUUUCAUUAUCAAUCUUAUAUCACAUUCAUACCACACUUUAGUUCUACCCAUAAUUCAAGUUCAUUUUUAUAUUUAGGGACUUUAACCCUUACUUAACCAUCAACAAACAAGGUCAUCAAUUUCACUAUAAAUGGCUCAUAAUACCUUUACAGUAUCAUUUAACAACUAUUCAUACUUGUUGGUCCAUUGCCCUAGUUAAAAAUAUCACCAACAUAAGACUAGACAAUUCACUUAGACAUUUUCACAAACACCUUGUGUGCAUGCCUUUGCCAAGGCCAUUUUCAUGGUAGAAAUCCUCAAGAUUAGAGUUACUCAUGAUUCACAUGUUAUACCACAAACAACAAUAACCCAUAUGUGCAAAACCCUUUUUAUUUGAUUUCAAAAUCGCCAUGUACACUUAUUCAAGUGUAAAAUAAAUGGGUUUAGAGUUAUUUAUGAAGUUAAAGAGUUACACGCCUUAGUCAACUUGAUUCACCCAAGAAGCUUGGCAUCACUUUGCACCUAGAUGUACACCCUUGAACCCUAGACUCCAAUCCUUCACAAAUUGUGUUUGAGAGAGAAUUUUUGAAGUUUGAUCCAUUAAAAGUAUGUUUACAGAGGUCAUAUACACUGAUAUAGUGAGGGGAUUUAGGGUUUUUGGUGUAUGAAAUAACCAUAAGGUUCUCAACUAAAAGCUAAAAAUUGACCGUCCAGGUGGGUACGACUCACUUGAGUCAAUUGUACCCUAGGGUACAAAUGGUACCCUAACCCAUACCCUAGGUACCUCCUAGGUAACCUACAAUUGUUAGGGUACAACUGCAUACCAUUGAGUCAUAUCCAAAGGGUAUAACUCAUGCUCUCAUUCGUACACUUCACCCGUACCAAAAACUAUCAAUUCCAAGUCAAGACCUCACUCUAUAUGAUUGGUCUGGGUACGUUUCGUACCUUAACAUAUGAUUGGUUGGGGGUUCACUCAUACCUAGUAUAGUGAGUAACCCUGACCACACUACCUAGGUUAUGAGAAGAGAGGGGAGAAAGAUACAACUCGUAACCAAGGGGUACGACUUAUGCCAUUAGUUGUACCCUCCCUAUUUACACCAAAUAAAGAAAUUUCUUAAUGGUUUUAAAGUCUAGGUGUUUCAUCCAUGAUGGUACAAAUGUUUCUUGAAUAUAUAUGAUAUGAGGAUGUAAAGCUCACAACCAACCGAAAUGAGAAUUUCCAAAUCCAACCAAUAUACCAAACCAUGUAAGUCAAAACCUACUCAAUAUGCCAACCAUCCAUGAAUAUAAUAUAAUCUAUGUAUAGAAUAAAAAUAGACAACAAUAUUCCAUUGAUACCAUAUAAAUUCUUAUUUAGGCCUUUUCACUAGAAGUAACACGACCAAUAAACAUACACAAGGCCAACAACAUCAUAUAAGACCCCAUAUGGUAACACAUAGAAAAUAAUAUCUCAAAACCACCAAAGAACAAUAAUAAAGACAUUUCCAUGAUUAAUUCCCACACCCAUGACAUGAUUUUAUACCAAUAUUAACUACCUAACCUAGUCUGAAGAAUGUUAAGCCAUAAAAAUCCAAAAGCUUUCAACAUGGAGCUUUCCCCUCCUGAACUCUCAUGACCCAAUUUACGAGUAAUAGUGGCACCUGCUAUAUCUCACUAGUAGGCAAGCCAAAUUAUAGCUCGGAGCAAUAGGGAAUGGGCUAGUUUGGUGGAAAGUAGCUUAUAAGGCUAGAAUAAACAAUUUAAGACUUGUAAUAAUAGAAAGACAAUAAAUAUAAUCGAAAAGAUAAAUAACACAUAGACACACAUCCCACAACCUUGUAGUUUUGGUACAAGAUAUACUGUAAAUACAUCAUAAGUUCUGAAAGAGUCAAAUACCAUCUAUCUCAAAAAAUGAAAGACAAGUCAUAGAUAAUAGAAGGAAAAAGGGGCAACUCUGACUCUGUGAGCUCACUCUAUCACCAAAAUCCAACAGAGCAUGAUCGUCAAAUCAAUGGUGGCAACACGUACAUGGAUCUAAACCAAAAAGGUAAUAAAGUAUAGUAUGAGUACCAUAACCACCCAGUAGGCAUCAUCGGCCAACUGAGCUAAAUCAGGAUAUAAAUACGAUAAAAUAUGAGAUAAAAUAAGCUAAGUCCAACACUCUUGUGCAUAUAAAAUCAAUAACCAAAAAUAAUAACAUAAAGAUCACACAAUUAUAUCUACUAAAUUGGCCCCUAUAAGAUAAUAAGUGCACUAAGUGCAGAAAGUAAUUAACCCAACAUAGUCCCCGAUAAGCCUGGAGGGUACAAUCAAAGAAAAAUAAAUAACCGAGUAACCAUAUUAUACCAACCAUCAUGCUAUAAUAAGAAACCGAUCCGUACCAUAUAACAUCAUAAACAACUCUCAAUGUCAGACUCAAACUGGAACUCAAUAGCAUCAUCAUCUUUAUCAUCAUUUGCCGGACUUGAACCGUAACCCAUAUUACUAGUAUCAUAAUAAAUUGCCAGACUUAAACCAAAACUCAUAUCAUCAAUAUCAUAAUCAAUUGUUGGAUUUGAACUAGAACUCAUAUCAUCUAUAUCAUAAUCAAUAAAAAUAACUUAGUAGAUUUUACCAUAAUUAGCAUCUACUCUAACAUUCAAACCAUCAUGACUAUUAAGUGUCUACUAUCCUAAAAUCCCAUAAUAAUCAUUUUGAAUUAUAAAAGAUGUGUAUAAUGGUAUACCAAAACUAGCUCAAGUCAUGGUCUAUGGUGGUCCGAAAAGGCUCACUUCUAAUCCCAGAAAUCUAUUAUAAGGCAAAUUCUACUCUACCCCAAAAUCGAUUUUAAGGAAAAUUCUACCUCAAACUUGGCUAAUGUAUCUAAAUCCACUUUUACAUGGUAAACAAGCCUUAAAUAGCCCUAAGAUAGUAAUUGAUCCUCCAACAUGAGCAACUAAGUUAACUACGUCUUAAAUUACUAUAUCUAGGUAGCCUAAAUAGUUCAGCUAACCCAAAUAUUAUCAAUCAUACAUCCAACAACUAAAUCACAAUCCUAAUCUAGCAUACUAUCAUAAUUAUACUACGAAAUAGCUUAAUCUAUGACAAGGGUAAACCUAGCCAACUUGGACGCAGAAGAAAAACCUGAAUAAUUUGCUAAACCAAUGAUUUUCCUUUCAGAUAAGCUUCCACAAAGUUUCAUGCAAUCAAACUCACAAUUUAAUCAUAAAAAUGAGAACAAUGAUACUCAUAUUACACUAUGUGCUUUGAGUCUCUAGAUCAUGUAAAAUCCUAUGUGGGGCCCAUUAAUGAAAUCGUACAUUCAAAACCAACACAAUGCCCCCUAUGCUCAAGGAAAUUUACCCUCAACAAUUGGUGAAUUUUGAGAUCUAAAGGUGCUAAAAUCAAGCUACCAAGAUUUUAGGGAUUUUAGAAGAAAAGGAAUGAUUUAAUCAAAGAUAGAUGGAAGCUUACCGCAUAUUUGAAAGAGGAACGCAUAAAUAAUCUUUACCCAACCUCCACCUUCACCCUUAAAUGUUUUCACCAAGAUUUCCCACUUUUUAGGGUUCCAAUAUAUUGGGAAUAAAUGCUUAAAAUUGAGAAAAAUAGGUUAAGUGGGGAUUUAUACCCUUCCAAGGUGCACAGAUAUAGUUAAGUAAACUUCGGGUCACUUAAUAGAUACUUUUUACUGGCACGCUUGUCACUUACUCAAUUAAUUGAUUGCUUAUGAGACAGUGGGCUGUCUGAGUAAAUGUCGCAUACACGACACUAUUAUAGCUUACGCGAUAGCCUUGCCAUUGUCAAGAUUUUUGGUUAAGUGAUAAAAUGUGUCUCUUAAGCUAUAGUUGAUGGUGUUUGGCAGAUUGCAUAAGCGAUAAAAGGCAUCGCUUAAGCGAUGCACCAGCACCACCUGAGACUUCGAAUUUUUCAAAGUCUUCCCCAACCCCUUAGGGUUCAUUCAUAUUCCUAUUUAAGCUAAUGGACUAUGGUAACCUAUCAAAUUCAAUGUUUCAGACUCACUAGGGUGGUCGUAAUUUCCAUUAGGGUUGUUCUAACAAAUGUGGGUCCCAUACGCACCCUCCAUUUUUCUUAACCUUGUGCCAAUGGACCAAACAUAGUCCCAGAUCCCUUAAGAGCUAGACCAAGGGUCUCCCUAGACUAAAAUUGAGGUUUAUGAGUUUUUGGAACAAUCGGAAUUAACAUAUGAGGUCAUUUGAUUGAAAUUUUUGUCCAAUAGCAAAUUUAAAUUGGUAAAGACUUCAAAAUAGGGAAUUGUCUCUAAAAAUCAAAUGAACUGCCCAGUAAUUGAACUAUCAGUUCCCAUAAGUAAUAAGGGGGAGUUAUAUGAAAGCUUUAAAUGGCAAAAGUGUGCAAAAAUAUAGAAAAUGACCUGGAGGGUCAUUACAAUAUCCACUACUAAAAGAACUUUCGUCCUCAAAAGUAAGGGAUUAGGAUGUACCUUCAUCCUCAAACAGGUGAGGUUACUAGGUAUAUAUCUCACUCUCGAUAUCCAGAGUAGCCUCCUCUAUUGGGUGGUGUCUUCACUAAACCCUAAAUACUGGAAUCUCUCUAGUGUCCAACCUCCAACAUCACUAGCCAAAGUAAGCAAAGGCUCUGCAAAGGUCAACCACUCAUCCAACUGAACUGAGUCCCAUCUAAGAACAUGAGACAGAUUAAGAAUGUAUCGCCACAACAUGGAGACAUGGAAAUGGAAAACUGAAUGGACAAAAACAAACUAAUGGGUUAGGCUAAUUCAUAAGCCACCUUAACAACUUUGUGAAGAAUCUCAGAGGGUCCAAUAUACCUAGGGCUGAGCGUACAUUUCUUCCUGGUCCUUAUCAUAUACUUCAUAGGUGAUACCUAGAGGAAUACCCAAUUACCAACUCCAAAUAUCAAGCCACAAAGUCUACGGUCUACAUAAGCCUUAUGCCUACUAUGAGCUGCUCUAAAUCUAUCCUUAAUCACCCUGAAUCUGUCCAAUGACUCCUGGAGAAAGUCAGUACCAUGUUGUCUAAUCUCUUAGGUUUCAAACCAACCAAUCGGAGAAUGACAUUGCCUACAAUAUAAAGCCUUCAAUGGCUCCAUCUCAAUAAUUGAAUGAUAACUACUAUUAUAUGAAAACUCUGUCAAUGCUAUGUGUUUCUCCUACUGACCACUAAAAUCCAUAACAAAGGCUCCGAGUAUAUCCUCGAGACCCUUAAUAGUUUGCUCUUAUUGCCUAUCGAUUUAUGGUUCAAUGGUUGUACUAAGAUCAACCUGAGUACACAACUCUUUUUAAAAUCUCUGUAAAAGCUAGAACUGAAUACUUAAGCAAGGUUUGAAAUUCUAGAUAAAUGCACACCAUGCAAACAAACUAUCUCACGAACAUAGAUACGGGCUAACUGCUCGGCACUGAAGGAUAUUUGAAUAGUAAUAAAAUAUAUCGACUUGGUCGACAAUCCACAAUGACCUUAGUACCAUCGAACUAUGGGAGGUGUGAGGAAAUUGACUAAAAUAGUUUAGGGUAAUCCACUCCCAAUUUUACUUAGGAAUAGCAAACCUCUGAAUCAAUCCACUAGGUCUCUAAUGCUUGACCUUCAUCAGUUGACAACAUAGGCAACGAGCUACAAAGUCUGCCACAUAUCUCUUCAUGACACUCAAAUCCACAUAUCUCUUCAUGACACUCAAAUAAUAAUGUUGCCUUAAAUCCCUAUACAUUUUGUGCCUAGGAGAAUAGGAUAUCUAGAGAUGCGGGCCUCAUGCAAAAUUGUGAUAAUGAAGCAAUCAACCCUUAGGACAUAAAUACAGCUAUCAAUAUCAAAACACCCUCUAAAUCUAUGAAAGCCCUCUUAGACUCAUAGCUUAACAAUGGAUAACGGAAGAUGCAAAGUCUCUUAUCCUCAAACUGAUGACUCCAAAUAUUCUCAAAUAGUGAAGACCUAGCCUCAACGCUAGCAAGAAUCCUCCUAGGGUCUGAAAUAUAAAGAUGCACCAUCAAGUUGGCUAAAGAUUAAAUUUCCCAUGUAAACAACCUUAGAAAUGGAAAUCCAAGCCAUGCUACCCAUACUCACCACCUUCUGACUCAAGGCAUUUACUACCAUAUUUGCCUUUCUCGAAUGAUACCAGAUAGAAAUAUCAUAGUCUUUUAGCAACUCCAUCCAUCUGUGUUGCCUAGAAUUAAGCUCUUUCUAGGUCAUAAGAUGCUAAAGACUAUGAUGAUCCUUGAAUAUCUCAUAAGACACACCAUAAAGAUAGUGCCUUCUAAUCAUAAGUGCAAAAACUACCGCUGCUAACUCUAAAUCAUGAGAAGGGUAGUUGCACUUUUGCACCUUUAGUUUUAUUAAAGAUUAAGAAAUAACAUGACUCUGAUGCAUCAACGCACACCACAAACACACAUUAGAAGAAUUACAAUACAUGGUGAAUCUCUCACCCUUAAUAGAAAGAGCCAAAAUAGAAAUUGAAGUCAGAAAUGCCUUGAGCUUUCAAAAGCUCAACUCAUACUUCUCAGACCAUCGAAAGGGAACCUCCUUUUGAUUCAAUCUGUCAUAAGUGCUGCAAUUAUAGAAAAACUCUGUAUGGGCCACCUAUAGUAACAAUCCAAACCUAUGAAGCUAUGAACCUCAGUCGAAAAUGUAGUCUUGGCCCAAUAAAGAAUGCCUCAAUCUGUCAUAGGUAUACCAUAAUCCCAUCCUUACACUCCAUAUUCCCAAGGAAUGAUAUCAACUCAAGACAAAACUCAUACUUAAAGAAUUUUGGAAAAAGCAAAUAUUCUCUAAAAGUCUGGAGCAUAAUCUUCAGAUAUUAUGUAUACUCCUCUCUACUCGUUAAAUAUAAAAGGAUGUCAUCGAUUAAUACAUUUACAAAGAAAUCCAAAUAAGGCCUGAACACUUAAUUUAUAAAAUCCAUAAAUGAAACGAAGGCGUUAGUCAUUCCAAAAGAAAUCACUAGGAACCCAUAAUGACUAUAACAGGUCCUAAAAGAUAUCUUCGGAUAUCCUCAUCCUGAAUUCUCCACUGAUGAUAACUUGACCUUAAAUCAAUUUAGUAAAUAAUAUUGCACCAUAAAACUAGUGAAACAAAUCACCAAUGCAACAAAUAUGAUACUGGUUCUUCACCGUUACCUUAUUAAGCUGCCUAUAGUCAAUACACAUAUGCAUAGGGCCAUCCAUCAUCUUAAUAAACAAUAUAGGAUCUACCCAAGGAGACACACCCAGUCUAACAAAACCCUUACAAAGAACAUCCUAAAUAUGAGCAUUCAGCUUCCUAAACUCGAUAUGUGCCAUAUGGUAAAUUUUCAUAGAAAUAAGUUGUAACACCCUAGAUUUUUACCUUGUAAAAUUUCUUUAAUUUAGAGCUCACUGCUUAUACUAUGACUUACAUAAUGAGUUAUAAGGUCUCGUUACAGGUUACUGGGCUCGAGUUAUACGGUGACCAGUAAGCAUUGCAUGUGUUUCUGUUAUGACUACAUUUGGAUGUCACUAGUCGUAAUGACUCUUUACUAGUUGUAGGGUGUUUUCCAUGGUCAAACCAUUAUAGGUUCACAAUGUCACUAUUGUGGUUAUGAUUAAGACCCUAUGAAUCACAAGGUUUGUGUAUAAGUCAUAAGGUCCGACUCAUACAAUUAACAGUAGGGAUGCCUUGUAACACUGCUCAGACUAUAAUUCUAAGGGACGACUCUUAAUUAGUCUUUAUGAGUCUUAAGGUGACCCGUAAUGACUGGGUGACAAAUCUUUUGAGUUUUAUUAAGGGUACUUUAGACAUUUUUCUAUUUCUCCAAUUGUGACCCACGACCAUAAAACCCUUUUGGGACCCCAUUAUAAUCCAUAAAACAUAAUUAAAUGAACUCUUAAACUCUCUAAAAUCCCUAAGUCAAGAACAAGCUAAAGAUUCUAAAGUUUGAUCAUUUAGAACUUCCAAGUGGUGAUUUCUCUCCAUAAUUGUGAUACUUUCAGAUAUGUACCUCUCCCUUUAAACUUGAUUUACAGAAAGCAUGUAUUUAAAUUGUUACUCAUGUUGAUUUGAAUAUGGAUUUUGGAUUGGGUUGGGGGCUUUGGGAAGGAUUGUUACUUGAUUUGAAUUCCCAUAGUUUUGAUUCCAAUGUUUAUGUUUUAAUUAUGUAUUUUGAAACCCGUGAGUAUGGUGAAUGGAAUAGCGGUCGAGGAACUUCCUCAAAUUUGAUAAUUUUUGUUUGGAAUUUGGUUUUGAAAAUUAGAUUUGAAAUAUGGUUAAUCACAUGACUUGGUUUACUUCCCAAAACUAUUGUAUUACAUAAAUGGUUAAAUGGAUAAUAAGGGUUUUAAAGUCAUUGUUGGCUAUGUAUUGAUUUUUAAACUUGAUUUAAUGAACAAAAGGAGUUGUGGUAUUCCCUCAAUUGUAAUUAAUGUAUAAAGGAAGUCGUGGUAUUCUCCCAAGUUGAUGGAAUUGGUAUGGCAUAAUUAUAAGCUUACAAGAAUAAUGGUAUGAUGAUACUUGUUUUUGAUGCCUUAAUGGAUAAUUUCUUUUUUAAAUUUACUGGUUAUGUGAAACUUAUUUUAAUUGGGCUUAAAGGGGUUUGUUUAGCACAUCAUAGAAGGUAGAAGCCCAGGAUACUAGAAACCAUAUUUGUCGGUGUGGAAAUCUUUAUAACUGUGUGAAUGGUUCACCUAUAUAUAUGUAUAUAUAUAUAUUGGAUUUGCUAGGAUAGAGGUAUUCCCUGGCUCAUCCUUGGAUUUUCCUAGUUCGUGCGACUAAUACGCUUGGAGCCAUUUUAGCAGGGAGAGAGAAAUAUAUGUAGAUCGUGGGUUCCCUUAGGAUGGUUAGAGCUACACUGUCUAGGUUAACAAUUUUAAAUUUCAUAUGAAACCUUGUUCCCUAUCACAACAUUAUAUGUAUAUGUAUGUAUGCAUAUAUGUGAACAUGUACACUAAGUUUGGACUAAAUUCCUAGUUGGCAUUACUUUAUCGAUACCCUGAGCUACAUUUUAAAUCUUACUCCAUGAUCCAUAUUUGGAUGUUGUAUCCACAUAUGAUACAGGGAACAAAGAUAUUUUUUUUUGCAUAGUGAUUAGGUGAUUCCUGGAUCGAUCAUAAGUCAGCUUGAAGUGGUGAGCUUCUAUAAAUUGAAAGAACCUUAUUUUAUGUUCUUAUUUUAUUUUGUUUCAGACUAUUCUCUUUUGAAUCCUAGGCUAUGGUCGAGGGCAAAUCCCGACUUCGGUUGUUCAUAGAUUUUAUAGGCUUGAGGAUUACUAUGGAUUGGGAUGGAUGUUAAAGUUCUUAGAUUUCCUUAUGAGUUAGUUGAGUUUUCUAUCUUAUUAUUUAUUUAGAACUCAGCUAUCUUUUUUUAUGUUUGGAAUUCAUCCACUGCAAGUUGUACUAUAUUCUGAUUGGCUAGGGUUCAAGGGGUAGUCCUUGGUCCUUGGUGGACUUGAGACACCUGUCAAGGCCAGGCCCUGGUUUGGGUUGUGACAAAGUUUAUAUCAAAGCAUAAGUUCAUGGUCAUUGGGUAUCCAUAAAGUUGUGUCAAGUUGAGUCUCAUUGAUGGGAGUGUAGUGCACCACACUUAUAAGGGAGAGGCUACAGGGAAUUUAGGGAUGUUUUCCUUUCUUUUGGUCUAUUUUUUGGGAUAUAGAGUCUAAGUUCUUGAAAUCUCCCCUAAUUCCAUUUGUUCGUAUUUUAGAUUAUGCCUCCCUAAAGAUAUGAUGCUCAUAGAAACUCUUAUAUCCCACCUGAGGAUAAUGUAGGUGUAACUCAUUCUACCUAUGGAGUACAAACCCAGUCGAGGGAACUUGCUCCUGACUGCCCAUGUGGAGUUCCACUGGUCCCUACCAAUUAUCUUUGGGCUUUUCUAGCUGAUGAUAUUCAUGCCCCACUUCCCCAAGAAGGCAUUUCUAAUGUCGAAUUUGAUUGAUCUAAUAAUUUGCUAACUUUAUUGGUGACUUCUUAAUCUCUUUUGCCUGGCCAUAUUGGUUCUAUUUCUUCAUCUUUUGAGAUCACUAGAGUUGGCCAGUUAAUGCAGUUAAAUCCCCAAACCAUUAAAGGCUCUAAGGUCUAGUAGGAUCCUCAAGGGUUUGUUGAUUAAAUAAAGAAGAUAUUCAGAUGAUGCAUGCUACUAAUAGGGAUGAUGUGGAUUUUUCCCCAUAUCAGUUGUAGGAUACAACAUACUCAUGCUAUUAAAAGUGGGAGCAGUAGAGAGGUGACAAUGUUGAGCAGGCUAUACGGGAGGAGUUUUUUAGUUCUUUCCUUGAUUCUUUCUUUUCUCAUGAGUUGAUGAUAGCUAAUGCUGAGGAGUUUGUGAACUUGAGGUAAGGAAGGAUGCAUGUUAAAGAAUAUGCCCUAAAGUUCCAUCAGUUGUCUCAUUACACUAUUAAGUUAGUGUAUAACAUAAGGCCAAGAGAUGAAGUUUUCUUUAGGUUUAUCUUGGGACUUGGUUCUAGAAUAUAAGGUGGUGUUAUUGAACCAUGACAUGGAUAUCUCUAGGUUGGUGGUGUAUAUAUAGUAGGUUAAAGAUGAAAAUAAGAAGCAAGUAGAAAUAGGGAGAGGCAAAAUAAGAAAUUUAGAUAUUUAGAGUAGGGUGGAGGCCUGCAGAAUAGUGGUAGAGAUGGUAGACAGUGGGGGCAAGAAAAAGGCUUGGGGAAAUUUUGGUUCUUAUUCUACGACUAGUGUUUUGUAUACCAAGCCAUCUGGAAAUCAUCGCUUUUAGGCUGAUGGUGGGCUUAAGUCAUAGGGUUCCUGAACUUAGUUUAGUGGAGCUCAAUUAGCUCUAUCAAAUCCUCCUUGUAGAUUCUAUGGAUAGAUGCACCAUGGUUAUUAUGAUGAAGGAAGGAAUCUAUAUUUCAAAUGUGGCUAGCCUAGUCAUUUUCAGAGGAACUAUCCGACAACAAAUGUUGCUAUUAGAGCUAAUAAGGUUUCAGUUUCUACUUCUUCAGCUCUUUCACCAAAGGGUGAAAUUUCUUGUACAGGCACCAGUCGAAACUGUCUUUAUGCUCUUGCCACCCAUCAAGAAUCUGAGGUGUAUCGUGAUGUUGUUACUUGUAUGUUAUAACUUUUCUCUCAUGAUGUAUAUUGUCUUCUUGAUCUGGGGUCUACUCUUUCCUAUGUGCCCCCUAAAAUGGCUUUUAAUUUUGGUUUUGGUCUUGAGAGUAUUUUUGAUCCCUGCUCUAUCUCUACCCAGUGGUUAAUUUUGUUGUGGCUAGAAGGGUCUAUAGGAGUUGUGUAGAAUCUAUCUGUGAUAGAGAGACAUUGGUGGGUUUUGAUUGAAUUGGAUAUGAUAGAUUUUGACAUGAUGUUAUGGAUGGAUUAGCUCCAUUCAUGCUAUACUUCUCUAGAUUGUCAAACUUGUAAGGUUAGUUUUCAAUUCCCAAAUGUACUAAUAAUGUAAUGAGAGGGAAGUUCCUUAGUUUCUAAGGGAGCCCAAAAAUUGAUUUCCAAGGGCUUUCUAUACCAUCUAGUUCGGGUUAGAGAUUCUAGUUUUGAGGUUUCUUCUCUAUAGUUUGUCCCGGUUGUAAAUGAAUUUCCUGAUGUGUUUCUUGAUGAUCUUCCUAGUAUUCCUCCCAAUAAGGAAAAAGAAUUUAGGAUUUAUCUUCUACUGUAUACCUGUCCUAUCUUUAUUCCUUCUUAAAGAAUGGCUUUGGCUAAGUUGAAAGAACUUAAGGAGCAGUUGAAGGAUUUUCUUGAUAAGGUUUUUAUUUAUCCUAUUUUGUCCCCAUAAGGUUUUCUCAUGGUUUUUGAGCAUAAGAAUGAUGGUUUUCUUUAGAUGUGUAUAGAUUAUUAACAAUUAAAUAAGGUAGGGGUGAAGAAUAACUACCUUCUUCCUAGGAUAGAUGAUCUAUUUGACCAACGUUUGAGUGCUAGAUGUUUUUCUAAAAUUGAUCUUUGGUUGGGUUAUCAUCAGUUGAAGAUUAGAGAGGAAGAUAUCCCUAAGACUGCCUUCCGAACCUAAUAUAGUCAUUAUGAGUUUUUGGUGAUAUCAUUUGGGUUAACUAAUGCCUCGACUGUAUUUAUAUACUAGAUAAAUUGGGUAUUUAGAUAGUUCUUAGAUUUAUUUGUAAUUGUAUAAUUAACAGCAUCUCGGUAUAUUCUAAUAGUAAGAAGGAUCAUGUCAAUCACCCUAUAUAGUUUUGCAGACUCUGAAGACUCAUCGUUUGUAUGCCAAGUUUUUCAAGUGUGAAUUUUUGUUGAAUGCCUUAAACUUCCUUUGUCAUAUCAUUUCAAGUGAGGGGAUUAUAGUGGAUCUACAGAAAGGUGAGGUGGUUAAGAAGUGGCUUGGACCCAUGAUUCCAACCGAUAUUUGGAGCUUCUUAGUUUAGCCGGGUAUUAUAGGGGAGAUUUGGGGAAUAUUUUUCAUCUAUUUCUUCUCCAUUGACUAAGUUGACUAAGAAAAAGGUAAAGAUUUUGUGUUCUGAUGCUUGUGAAGAAAUCUUUGAGAAGCCAAGGGAUAAGUUGACUUUUGCUCCAGUUUUAACCCUGCCCGAGAGUAUUGAUGGAUAUAAUAUAUACUAUGAUGUGUCGUAUGUGGGACUAGGGUGUGUCUUUAUUAAACAAGGUGAGGUUGUGGCCUAUACUUCUAGGUAGAUGAAUGUUCAUGAAAGGAAUUUUCAGACUUAUUAAUUGGAAUUGUUGAAUUUAGUUUUUGCUUUGAAGAUUUGGCGUCAUUACUUGUAUGGGGUUCGUGCAGGAGUUGAAUCUUAGACAAAGGAUAUAGCUUGAGUUGCUCAACGACUAUGAGAUUAGUCUUCAUUACCAUCCUGUUAUAGGUAAUGUAGUUAUUGAUCCUCUUAGCAUGUUGUCCAUGGGUAGCUUAUCUCAUAUGGAUGAAGAGAAGUAUGUAAGGGUUAAGGACAUUCACCAGUUGGCUAAUGUUAGAGUUUUUUCUUAAGGGUUAUAUGGAUAGAGGAGUGAUUAUACAAGAGGUGUUGAAGUCAUCUCUCGGUGUAGAGGUAAAGGAGAAGCAAGGUUUGAACCCCAACUUAAUGUAGAUUAAGGAUGAGGUAGGUCAGCAAAAGGCCAUCGCACUUAAGAUUGGUAGAGAUGGUAUCUACAGGUACCAAGGUAGAUUGUGUAUUCCUGAUGUGGAUAGGCUAUGNNNNNNNNNNNNNNNNNNNNNNNNNNNNNNNNNNNNNNNNNNNNNNNNNCUAGCUCGAUGACGAUGUCUCAUAACCUGAAGAAGAUUUAUUAGUGGAAAAACAUGAAGAGAGAUGUGGCAAACUUUGUGGCUAAGUGUAUAGUCUGUCAGUAAGUGAAACUUGGGCACUUGAGGCAUUACAGCAUGUCUCAAGAGAUUGAAUUUCCCACGUGAAAGGGGGAGGUAAUCAACAUGGACUUUGUUACUGGGUUUACAUAGUCUUGGAAUCUGUAGGAUUCGAUUUGGGUUAUCGUGGAUAGGAUGACUAAGUCUGCCCACUUUUAACCUGUGAGGACUACUUACACUAGAGAGGAUUAUGUGAAAUUAUUUGUUUUAGAGAUUGUAAAAUUGCAUGGUGCUCUAUUUUCCAUGAUUUUGGAUCGAGGUACGCAGUUCUCUUUUUGUGUUUGGCAUUCAUUUCAUCAAUGCUUGGGCACUCAGGUAAACCUUAGCACUGCAUUCCAUACUAAUACGGAUGGACAAACAUAGAGGACUAUUUAGACUUUAGAAGAUAUGCUAAGGGCCUAUGUGGUCGAUUUUGAAGGUAGUUGGGUGGAUCAUUUGCCUCUUAUCGUGUUCAUGUUUAAUAGCAACUAUCACUCUAUUAUUGGGAUGGAUCCUUUGGAAGCUCUUUAUAGAAGGUGGUGUAGAUCUCCCAUCGGGUGGUUUGAAGUUGGUAAGACCAAAUUGUUCAGUCCAAACUUGGUUCACCAACCAUGGAGAAGGUGAAUGUGAAUUGAUAUAGACUCAAGACUACACAGAGUUGCCAAAAGUCCUAUGUAGAUGUGAGAUGAAUGGAGUUAGAGUUUGAUGUUCAUGAUUCAGUGUUUUUAAAGGUGUCUCCCAUGAAAUAAGUGAUGAGGUUUGGGAAGAAGGUAAAGCUCAACCCUCAUUAUUUUGGUCCGUGCUUGAUUUUGAGGAGAGUGGGGAAGGUUUCUUAUGUGUUGGUUUUGUUUUCGAGUUUGGGUUUCGUAUAUCUAAUUUUUCAUGUUUCAAUAUUGAAAAUGUGUAUGAGGGAUCCUUCUUUUAUUUUGCCUAUUGAGAGUGUUGGUAUUUUGGGUUCAUUUUUUUAUGAGAAAGUCCCAGUGGAGAUUUUGGAUAGAUAAGUCCGUCAUUUGAGGACUAAGGAUGUAGCUUCGACAAAGCUUCUAUGGAGGAACCAAAAUCUUGAAGAAGCUACUUGGAAAGAUGAAAGGACAUAAAGUCGAGAUAUCUUUUCUUCGCCCUUGGAUCAGACAACUGUUCUAAAGGUAUGUGUUUUCCUUAUCAUCUUUGUUUUCUCACUUUGUUAAAGGAAAUUGUGUUUGUGUUUCGGUCUCAAAAUCAUGCUAAAGAUGCCUUGACAGAUCAUUUAGGGAUGAAUAAUCCUGGUGGUGGUGGGUAGGUAAUAUAACACCCCAGAUUUUUUCCUUCAAAAUUUCUUAAGUUUGGAGCUCACUGUUCAGACUACGACUAACUUAACGAGUCACAAGGUCUCCUUAUAGGUCGUAGGGUUCGAGUCGUAGGGUGACCAGUGAGGGUUGACCAUUUUCUUAUUGUGACUAUGACUUGGAUAUCACUAGUCGUAAUGACUCUUUACGAGUAAUAGAGUGCUUUUCGCGGUCAAACUAGUACAGGCGCCCAAUGUCACUAUUGUGGUUAUGACUAGGAGCCUACGAGUCAUAAGGUUUUUGGAUGAGUCAUAUGGUCCAACUCGUAUGGUCAACAAUUGGGAUGCCUUGGGACUCUAUUAAGACUAUGAGUCUAGGGGAUGACUCAUAGUCAGUCGUUACGGGCCAUAAGGUGACCCGUAAUGACUACGCGGCAAAUCUUUAGUGUUUCAUUAAGGGUACUUUGGACAUUUCCCCUUUCCCUAAUUGUGACCCACGACCAUACAACCAUUUUGGGACACCAUUAUCAUCCAUAAAACAUCAUCAAAAGCAUUCUUAAACUCUCUCUAAUACCUAAGUCAAGAGCAACCUAUGGUUAAUCAAGGUUGAUCAUUUAGAGCUUCCAAGUGGUGAUUUGUCUCCAUUAUUGUGCUACUUUUCGGCAUGUACCUUUCCCCUUAAACUUGUCAUGCUUAAUAUUAUUCAUAUGGAUUUGAAUAUGGAUUUUCAUUCGGGUUGAGGUCUUUGGGAAGUAUUAUUACUUGAUUUGAAUUCCCAUGGUUUUCAUGCAAAUAUUCAUAUCUUAAUUAUGCAUUUUAAAAGUUGUCAGGGUGCAUGGGUAUGGUGAAUGGAAUAGUGGUCGAGGUAUUCCCUCAAAUUUGAUGAUUUUAAUUUGGAAUUUGGUUUUAGAAAUUCUGUUACCCCAAUCCACUUGCAUAAUUGGAAUUGAAAUAUCGUUCAUCAGAUGAUUUGGUUUACUUCGCUAAACUAUUGCAUUGCAUAAAUAGUUAAAUGGAUAAUGAGGGUUUUGAAGGCCUUGUUGGCCAUGUUUUGAUUUUUAAACUUGAUUUAAUGAACAAAAGGGGUAGUAUUCCCCCAAUUGAAAUUAAUACACAAAGGCGGACGUGGUAUUCCCCUUGGAUGGUGGAAUUGGUAUGGCAUAAUUAUAAGCUUACAAGAGUAAUGGCAUGACGAUACCUGUGGUUGAUGCCUUAACAGAUAAUUCCAUGGUUAAAUGGAUAGGUUAUGUGAAACUUGAUUUAAUUGGGCUUAAAGGGGGUUGUGUAGCUCACUAUGGAAGGUCGAGGUCCCAGGGGGGCCGAUAAUGGAAACCACAUUUAUCAGUGCGGGAGUAUUUAUAAACAUGUACAAGGUUCACACUUGAAUAUAUAUAUAUAUAUAUAUAUAUAUAUAUAUUUGAUAUGUUGGGGUCGAGGUAUUCCCUGGCUCAUCUUUGAUUUUCCUAGUUCGUGCGGCUAGCAGGCACUGGGAUAGUUUCAGUAGGGGGAGCAGAACUCAUAUAGCCAGUGGAUGCCCUUAUGACGAUUAGAGCUACAUAGUCCAGGUUAAUGAUUUUAAAUUUUAUGUUAAAGUUAAUGAUUUUAAAUUUUAUGUUAAACCUUUUUCCCAAUCCCUACAUCUUAUAUGUAUGUGUAUGUAUGCAUGUAAGUGGACAUGUACACUGAGUUUGGACUUAAUUUCAAGUUGGCAUUAUUUUAUCCCUUCCCUGAGUUACAUGGUAGCGUCGACCCUGAUAACUGUGUCCAAAUGCUAUAUCCCCACACGAUGCAGGGAACAAAGACACUUCCACUUUUCUUGCACAAUGAUCAGGCGAUUCCUGGAUUGAUUAUUAGUCCACUUGGAGUGGUGAGCUUCCAUACUUUAGAAGACCACUAUUUCAUGUUGUUGUUUCAUUUUGUUUUGCACUAUUCUUUUUGGACUCUUAUCUGCUAUGGUCGAGGUCAUGCCCCGACAUACGUUGUUCUUGAAUUUUAGAGGCUUGUGGAAUAUUGUGGAUCGGGAAGGAUGUUAAAGUUCCUAGAUUUCCGUAUGAUUUAGUUGAGUUGCCUAUCUUGUUAUAGUUUGAAACUCAUCUCUAUCUUGUUAUAUGUUCUGUAUUCAUCCGCUGCUAGCUAUAUUAUGUUUUCGUUGGCUAGGGUUUAGGUGGUGGUCUCCGAUCCUCGGUGGAAUAGAAGUACCCAUCACAUUUAGCUCCUAGUUCAUGUCAUGGCAUAAGUUGGGUGCCCAACUCAAAAUCAAUAACAAACUCAAUAUUAUGAGCAGGAGUAAUUCCAAAGAGACUGGUUGGCAAAACAUUAGGAAACUCAUGAACUACCGGAACAGUGUCAAGUGACAGACUCUCCACAAUAACAUCAUGAAUAUAAGUGAGGUAAGACUUUCAAACCCUCAAAAUAAUCCUCUUAGUAUGGACAUAAGAAAUAAUCCUCGUCCGCUCGUAGCUCAUCGUUCCCUGCCAUACAACUUGGUGUACGCUGGACAUGGCUAACGUAACGGUCUUAGGAACAUAGUCCAUGCCCGCAUGAUAGUGGGAUAACCAAUCCAUGCCCAGAAUAACAUCAAAUCUACCAUGUCCAAUAUUAUAAGAUCAACAUUAGUAUCAAAAUCUUGAAUAAUCAUCACAUAUGAUCUGAAAGCCUGAUCCACUGCUAAAGAGUCACCCAUUGAAGUAGAUACACAUAAUAGCAUUGAUAAUGCAUCUCAAGAUAACUCUAACCAUAGGUCAUAGCAAACACAUAAGAACAAGUGUAUCCCUGGUCAAAUAAAGCAAUGGUUGACUCUAUCCAACGACUCUUGGAGAAAGUCAAUACCACAUGGUCUAAUCUCGGAGGUCUCAAACCAACCAAUCGGAGAACGACAUUACAUACCAUAUAAAGCAUCGAAUGAUGCCAUCUCAAUACUCUAAUGAUAACUGUUAUUAUAUGCGGACUCUUCCAAUGUUAUGUGUUGCUCCUACUGACCAUUAAAAUCCAUUACAUAGGCUUUGAGUAUAUCGUUGAGAACCUGAAAAGUCCACUUUGACUGCCGGUCAAUUUGGUGGUCAAUGGUUGUAAGAAGAUCCACCUGAGUACCCAAAUCUUCUUAAAAUCUCUCUAAAAUCUUGAAGUGAAUACUUAACCAAGGUUUGAAAUGAUUGAUAAAGUCACACCAUGCAAAUAGACUAUCUCAUGAACAUAGAUACGGGCUAACCUUUCAGCACAGAAGGAUAUUUGAAAAGUAAUAAAAUCUGUCGAUUUGGUCAACCAAUCCACAGUGACCCCAAUACCAUCGAACCAUGGGAGGUGUCAGGAAAUCCACUAAAAUAGUCCAUGGUAAUCCGCUCCCACUUUCACUUAGGAAUGGCAAACCUCUGAAUCAAUUCACUAGGUCUCUAAUGCUCGACCUUUAUCUACUGAAAACAUAGGUAAGGAGAUACAAAGUCUGCCAUAUCUCUCUUCAUGCCACUCCACCAAUAAUGCUUCCUCAAAUCCCUAUACAUUUUAGUUGUGCCUAGGAAAAUAAAAUAUUUUGAGUUAUCGGCCUAAUACAAAAUUGCCGAAAUCAACCCAUCAACUCUCGGAACACAAAUGCUGCUAUAAAUAUCAAAACACCUUCUAAAUAUAUGGUAGCCCUCUUAGACUCAUCACUCAACUCAUUUUAAUGGAUGAUGAAAAGUCUCUUAUCCUUAAAUUGAUGAGUCUUCUGCUCAAAUAAUGAAGACCUCGCCUCAAUUCUAGCAAGAAUCCUCCUAGGAUCUGAAAUAUCAUGUUGGACCAUCAAGUUAUCUAAAGACCAAAAUUCCUAUGCCAACAACCUCGAAAAUUAAAAUACAAGCUAUGCUACCCAUACUCACCGUCUUUUGACUCAAGGCAUUCGCUACUACGUUUGCCUUUCUCGGAUGAUACAAGAUAGAAAUGUCAUAGUCUUUUAGACACUCCAUCUAUCUCUACUGCCUAGAAUUAAGCUCUCUCUGGGUUCUAAGAUACUAAAGACUACGAUGAUCCAUAAAUAUUUCACAAGGCAUGCCAUAAAGUUAAUGCCUCUAAAUCUUAAGCACAAAAACUACUACUUCCAACUCUAAAUCAUGAGUGGAGUAGUUGAGCUUAUGCACCUUUAUCUCUCUCAAAUCAUAAGAAAUAACAUGACCCUAAUGCAUCAACAAAAAUCAGCAAUAAAAAUGAGCAGAACUACAAUACAUGGUGAAUCCCUCACCAUCAAAAGGAAGAGCCAAAAUAGUAGUUGAAGUCAGAAAUGCCUUAAGCUUUCUAAAGCUUAACUCACACUCCUUGGACUAUCGAAAGGGAACUUUCUUUUGAGUGAUCUGUCAUAGGUGCUACAAUAGUUAUAAAACUCUCAAUUAGCCACCUAUAUUAACCAGCCAAACUAAUGAAGCUACAAACCUCAGUCGAAGAUGUAGGCCUUGCCCAAUAAAGAAAGGCCUCAAUCUUUCAUGGGUCUACUAUAAUCCCAUCAUUGACUCCAUAUUCCCAAAAAAUGUCAUCAACUCAAUUAAAAACUCACACUUAGAGAAUUUGGGAAAAAGUAAAUAUUCUUUCAAAGUCUAGAGCACAAUCCUCAAAUAUUAUGCAUGCUCCUAUCUACUUCUCAAAUAUAUAAAGAUGUCGUUGAUGAAUACAUUCACAAAGGAAUCAAAAUAAGGCCUGAACACCUGAUUUAUCAAAUCCAUAAAUGUAACUGAAGUGUUAUUCAUCCUAAAAGAAAUCACUCAAAACUCAUAAUGACCUUAACGGGUCCUAAAGAAUGUCUUUGGUUAUCCUCACCCUGAAUCCUCAACUAAUGAUAACUGGAACUCAAAUAAAUCUUAGUAAAUAUUGUUUAACCUUAAAGUUAUUAAAAAAUAUCACCAAUGCAAGUAAUAUGAUACCUUUUCUUCACUGUCACCUUAUUAGGCUACCUAUAGCCAAUACACAUAUGUAUAGAGCCAUCCUUCAUCUUCAUAACCUAUACAGGAUCUCCCCAAAGAGACAUAUCUAGUCUAACAAAACCCUUACCAAGAACAUCCUAAAAAUAAGCAUUCAUCUUUCUAUUCUCCAUAGGAGCAAUAUAGUAGGGUACUAUAGAAAUAAGUUGUAACACCUCAGGUUUUUACCUCAAAAAAUUUCUUGAGGUUGGAGCUUACUGUUCAGACUAUGGCUCACCUAACAAGUCAUAAGGUCUCCUUACGAGUCAUAGGGCUCGAGUCAUAGGCUGACCAGUGAGGGUUGCAUAUGUUUCUGCUGUGACUACGAUUAGGAUGCCAUGAGUUUUCAUGGCUCUUUACUAGUCGUAAGGUAUUUUCCAUGGUCAAACUAGUGUAGGUGCAUAAUGUCACUAUUGUGGUUACAAAUAGGACCCUAUGAGUCUUCUGGUCCAUGUAUGAGUCAUAUGGUAUGACUUAUAGGUUCAAUAGUGGGGAUGACUUAUGACACUACUCAGACUACGAGUCUAUGGGAUGACUCUUAGUCUGUCUUAAUGAGUCGUAAGGUGACCCAUAAUGACUAGGUAACAAAUAUUUAGUAAUUCAUUAAGGGUACUUUGGACAUUUCCCCAUUUACUCAAUUGUGAUCCACGACCUUAAAAACCUUUUGGGACCCUAUUAUCAUCCAUAAAACAUAAACAAAUGCACUCUUAAACUCUCUCAAAUACCUAAGUCAAGAAAAAGCUAAGGCUUCUCAAGGUUGAUUAUUUAGAUCUUCCAAAUGGUGAUUUCUCUCCAUAAAUGUGAUACUUUCAGACAUGUACCUCACCCUUUAAGAUUGAUUUGGUUAAAGCAUGUGUUCAAAUUAUUACUCAUGUGGAUUUGAAUAUGGAUUUUUAUUUGGGUUGAGGGUUUUGGGAAGAAUUGUUACUUGAUUUGAAUUCCCAUAGUUUUGAUGCCAAUUUUCAUGUUUUAAUUAUGUAUUUUGAAACCCGUGAGUAUGGUGAAUGGAAUAGCGGUCGAGGUAUUCCCCCAAAUAUGAUAAUUUUGGUUUGGAAUUUGGUUUCAAAAAUUGUAUUCCCUCAACCCACUUGCAUAAUUAGAUUUGAAAUAUGUUUAAUCACAUGACUUGGUUUACUUUCUAAAACUAUUACAUUAUAUAAAUGGUUAAAUGGAUAACAAGUGUUUUAAAGUCCUUGUUAACCAUGUUUUUAUUUGUAAACUUUAUUUAAUAAACAAAGGGGGUCGUGACAUUCCCCCAACUAUUAUUAAUAUACAAGUCAUGGUAUUCUCCCAAUUUGAUGAAAUUGGUAUGACAUAAUUAUAAGCUUGCAAGCGUAAUGAUACGAUGAUACUUAUGGUUGAUACCUUAACGAAUAUUCCCUUGGUUAAAUGGAUGGUUUAUCUGAAACUUAUUUUCAUUAGGCUUAAAGGGUUUUGUGUAGCUCACCAUAAGAGGUGGAGGUCCCAAGUGGUCGAUACUAGAAACCACGUUUUUCGGCAUAGGGGUCUUUAUGACCAUGUGCAUGGUUCCCUGGAUCAUCCUUGGAUUUUCCUAGUUCGUGCGGCUAGCAUACAUAAGGACUAAUUCACUUGGGAGAGAUAAACCCAUAUAGCCAGUAGGUGCCCUUAAGACGGUUAGAGCUAUAUAGUCCAGGUUAAUAAUUUUAUACUUUAUGUUAAACCUUGUUCCCUAUCAUAAUAUUAUAUAUAUAUAUAUAUGUAUGUAUGCAUGUAUGCAAACAAGUACACUGAGUUUGGAUUGAAUUUCUCGUUGGCAGUAUUUAUCUAUACCCUGAGUUAUAUGCUACCUCUUACCCCGCGAACCAUCUUCAGACGUUUAUGUUUGGAAUUUAUCCACUGCUUGAUGUAUUGUAGUUUUGUUGGCUAGAGUUCAAGGGGUAGUCUCUUGUCAUUGGUGCACCUGAGAUACCUAUCACGACCUAUUACAGAGUUGGUUCAUGGUUAUUGGGUGUCCACAAAGUCGGGUCAAGUCUCUUUUAUGGGUUUGUAGUGCACCAAACUUAUGAGGGAGAGUUUACAGGGCAUUUAGGAAUGUUUCCCUUUAUUGUGAUCUAUUUUUUUGGGGCUAUAGAGUCUAAGGUAUUGAAAUCUCCCCUAAUUCUAUUUGUUUACAUUUUAGAUUACGCCUCCCUGAAGAUCUGAUGCUUGUAGAAACUCUUUUUUCCCACCUGAGGAUACUAUCGGUCGAAAUUGUUCUACCUAUGAAAAAAUAAACUCGGUCUAGGGAAUCUGCUCCUGCCUGCCUACAUGGAUUUUUACAGGUCUCUACCCAUCCUCUUUGGGCUUCUUAGGCGAUGAUGUGCAUGCCCUAUUACCCCAAGAAGAUAUUUCUAAUUUCGAAUUUAAUCAAUCUAUUCAUAUGCUAACUUAGGUUGUGACUUCUCAGUCUCAUUAUCCUGACUGUGUUAGUUCUAUUGUUCCAUCUUUUGAGGUUACUAGAGUUGGCCAGUUUAUACAAUUAUAUCCCCCUACAUUUAUAGGGUCUAAGGUUAAUGAGGAUCCUCAAGGAUGUUAGGAGUAGGAGAAAUCGAGUGGUGAUGAUAUUGAGCAGUGGUGAUAGGAGUGGGAGCAAUCGAGUGGUGACGAUGCUGAGUAGGCUAUGUAGGAGGAAUUUUCUAGUGCUUUCCUUGGUCAUUUCUUUCCUCAAGAGUUUAUGGGGUUAAUGCUGAGGAGUUUGUGAACUUGAGGCAAGAAAGGGUGAGUGUGAUAUAAUAUGCCUUCAAAAUCCAUUAGUUGUCUCAUUACACUUUGAACUUGGUGUCUAGCAUGAGUCCAAGAAUGAGGAAGUUUGGUUUGGGUAUGUCUCGGGACUUGGUGAUAGAGUGUAAGGCGGCAAUGUUGAACCAUGACAUGUAUAUCUCUAGAUUAGUGGUUUAAUUUUAGUAGGUUAAAGAUGAAAAAAGAAGCAAGAAAAAAUAGUGUAACGACCCAAAAUUGCCUCCUGGGACAUCACACGGUGCUUAAGGCUACAAGUAGCGUAAAGCUUACCCUUUGAGCCUGUUUCUAUUAAUAACACUCAUUUCAAGAUGAAAUAAUUCAAACACUAGCAUAGUCAUAUCAUAUGAAAGGAAAUAUAGAGAAAAUACUCGGUCCAAAUGACCACAAUACUGGAAACCUCAACACCACCACAAUCUGAUAACUGGUCUGAUAAAGCCUCUACUAAUCCAUGAACUAGAGAGCCAUUGGGAUAGGUCCCCAACUGACUCGAAAUGAACUGAAAAUAACAACAUAGCUCUCAAAAUAUGAAGAUGUCUAAAUAUAGGUCCUCGAACCACGAAGACACAUCACUAUAGGAAUGUAGAUAGAGGUACUCAAAAAACACUGACGAGGUUGGGAUUGAGCAACUAAACCUACAUUAUAAGACAAUGUAGCACAUAGACGUAUAUGUAGAUCGGCACUUGAGAAUGUACUAAGUAUGUGGGAGUGCAUGCAUUUAUAUAAAAAACCAUCAAUACUCUUUUAUUAAAUCAUGCAUAUAGUAAGUAAUGACUCACAUGGCUUGAAUAAGUAUAAAAUGCAAAGCUCAUGAAUCAUGUAAAAUGGAACAUGUAAUACAAUCUCGUGAGUCAUUAUACUUUUAGCUUUGAAAUUUGUACUCUUUUCUUAUUCUCAUUACUCAAGGCUAAAGGAAACUUUAAGCAAUACUUUCAACUCAUGCAUAUGUCUCAUGGAGAUUAAAACUUCUUUAAUGCUCAAGAACUCAUAACUCUUUUGAACUCAAAUAUUUGGAAUUCAGAAUCAUAUAACCUUGGAACAUACUUGAAGGCAUUUCAUUCACAUUAGGAAAAUAUCUCAUUUCAAGCUUUAGGGAAAAAUACUCAUAUCAAGGGAAAGUAUUUUAGUUUUAAAGGAAAAUAUCUCAUCUCAAUGCUUUAGUUUUAAGGGAGAUUCUUUUAACCGACAUAAACCAUGUGAGCUACAUAGAGUCCAAUGUUUUAUCCUCCUAAGAAAGAGACCUCACAUUGGGGAGAGGCAUCAUACUCUUGCCAAAGAGUAUAAUCUCAACUCAGUGAUCACUUAUCUCAUCCUCGAGCCUAAUAUCUCAGCCUUAGGCCCAACAAUCAUCUCGGCCUUAGGCCUAUCCUAUGGUGGCAUGUAGUUCUAGGGUAAGAAACCAUGGUAACUUACCCAACUUGGUGCUAACUACUACUCCCUUUAGUUUAUCUCGCUCAUCUCAUGAAAUUCCACUUUAGAAUAAUCUCAUAGUUCAAUAAGAACCCAAUAAUCAAAUCUGUAAUCUCAUGUAGUAGAGUGAAUUUCAAAACUCAAUGACCAUUAGGUCAAAACAUUUCUCAAUAAUCUCAGAAUACUCAAAUCAUGGGUGCUUAUAGCAUAAUAGUUCAUAAAAUCUCAAGUCUCAAGUAAGGCUUAAUAACCCAUAAUUAAAUCUCAAGUUAGAACUCAUCAAAAGCAUAAUAGAUAGCAUAUAGAUUCAUAACUCAUGUAGAAAUCUGGAAAUUUCAGCAAUUUAUCUCAAAAUCUCAACAUACUCAUAUACUUCAAUGUUUCAAACAUUUCAACUAUUAACUUCUCAAGAAUUAAAAUCAUGGGGUAUAGACCCAGCUAUAAUUUCUCAAGAAAACAUGUAAAAAUCACUCCAUUGGACUCUGAAUUAAGGGAAACAUCAAAAUAUUACAACCAAUAACAAUGAGUGAAAACCCCCAAUUCAAUUUUAUGUAAAAUCUCAUAAAUUACAGAGAAUUGUAGUUUAAAUAAGCCUUUGGGUAUAAGGAUGAAAGGAUUACCUUUGUUCAAAACCCCACAUACCUUGAAUUAGAAGCUUUGGAUGAACUCUCACUUUUGGAAUUCUAUUCGUAUUCUUCAGUGAGGGUUCUUGAAGCCCUUGACUUGGGAACUUUUAAUCUUGACUCAAUUUAGAAAAUCUAUGGUGGAUUCUUGAGAUUCUUGGAAGAGGUUUUGGAUACUUAGGAUUUUUUUGGUUGAGAGAAAUCUUGAGAAAAACUUCAUAGUAUGCUUGUCGAUGACAUCAGUUUUAUGGGCCACCGUGAUGUGCCACUAUCGCAGUGGCUCACUGGAAAUUGACAAAUAGGAAUUUGAGAGUCGCCACGAUGUGGAGCCAUCGUGUUGUUCCACUGGUUGGGACCUAGAUCUUCAGCGCGAUGCAUCACAAUCACGCUAGGCCACUGAAAAUUGACUAUUGAGAAAUUGGGGUCCUCCGCGAUGCACCACUGAUGCAGAGUUCCAUUGGAAUUUGAAAAUUGUCAAAUAAACCCUCUCCGCGAUGCGCAAAGCACUAAAAUGAUGUUGUUUUAUGGCUAGGACUUAGAUUAAUAAUAACUUCUUACCCGGGUAUCAGAUUUGGGUGAAUUUUAUAUCGACGGAAUCUUAUCAAACUUCCCAUGUGAUAAAAAUUCGAAAGUAGGGAAAUUCUAUAUGGUUAACAUGAUACUCAGUUAGGAAGUCACUUUUCAAUCUUUUAGGGCCAAAAUCAUACCUCACUUGGCAUGCCCUAAGGCUCAUUCUAUGAGAGAAUUUUUGUGGGAUCUUAUAAUAUCUCCCCCUUGGAAAUAUUUGAUAACGCUCAAAUUACACGUCAAUUUAGUGCAAGGCGGUCGUCUUCAAUACAUUUACCCAACUUUGGAUUCGGGGUCGAAUCCACAGGGAACAAUGUGAUUGGCAAUUAAACUCAUUGGAAACUAAAGCUACAAGUUAAAUUCAAACAACUGGUACAACAAGACAAAAUGGGGGGUUUUGGAGAUUAGCAAAUAAUUGUUGGUCACUUUAGUUUUAGUGUUUGUAAUCAAGAGUUUAUGGAAAACCAGAGUUAUGUUCACUAUGGGUUUUGGUAUUUUACAGAUACUAAUAGUGAUUCAAGAUUCUCACGAUAGGUAGGAACAACAGAUUGUCUUUUUCGAAGUUAUGCCUAAAUAUCUCUCGACCUACUUAAGCAUUUAAUUACCUAAUCCUCUCGGACUUAGGAAAUUUAUAUUCUCUGGCCAGACUUCACCUCAGGUCAGUUAACCUUGUUACAACGUCAAUUAUUAAAUGGAAGGUUGGUAGCUUCCAAGUACCUGUCAAUAAUUCACUUCCUACUAUAGUUGAUUUCUUAUCUCAAGCAAAUCAAAGUAGGUGCUAUCUAUCAUUUGUAACCAAUAGACAAUAAUUAAAACCUCAGAAUUAUCAAGGAGUUCUAUUACCUUUAAAUCUUGAACACUUAGCAACUUACCAAUACCUAACCCAUAGAUUCCAUAAUUCGGGUUAAGGGAAUUAGCCACUCAUAAUGUAUUAAUCGAAACAACAAGUUGAAUUCAUAAUUCGAAAAAUGAACCUACAGCAAGCUGAAUAGAAACGUGUGUUUCUCUGAUUAGAUCAAAGUAGAAAUCCCAAAAUAUUGAUGAUAAUCUCUUCAAAGUUAAUUGUUUUGUUCAAACCAAGAAACUAGAAAGAAAAUAAAAAAAUAUGUGCGUUGCAAAAUAGGUUCAGAAUCCUCGAGUACCAGCCGCCAAGAAAACCCUAAACAAUACUUUAAAUAGUUCACCCUAAUUAUGGAAAUGAAAUUACAGAGUUCAGUAAUUUCUCAGAAAAGUGAUGACAUUUUGUGAUGCCUUAUCAAGAGUCUGACGACUUAUCAUAGAUGUCGUCAGCUCCUCUUUGCUUUUGACAUUCGCUACCUUAGGCUGAUGAUGCAGCGUGAUGGCUUAUCAGAUCUUUGAUGACUUAUCACAGAUGUCGUCGAUGAUUUACUUCAGCUCUCAUGUUCUGACUUAGGCUAAUAACGAUCUUGAUAGCUUAUCACAACUCUGACGGCUUAUCGCAUGUCAUCGUCACUUUUUCCAGCUGAAUCCCAUUCUCUAUUUAAGGCUGAUAACUUAUCAGAGUGCUGACGAGUUAUCAGGAAUGUCGUCAGCCACACUUCUCUUCUUGUUGCUUCAGAUUUCAACUCUUUUACUUCCAUCAUUGUUGGUUCUCUCUCAUCUUGACUUCCACUGCAAAAUCAAAGAUAAAACAAUCAAAAACAACAAAAGUUGCUUAUCACUUUGCAAUUAUUCUCAGUUAAAAGCCUCAAAUGUGUUAGCUUCUCACACAUCAACACCCUCAACUUAAAACAAUUGCUUGUCCCCAAGUAACUAAAACACAACCAAGAGGAUAAAAAGUACAUUCGACAGUCAACCAUUCAUAUUAUCUCAAAACAUCUUCUCUAUCUCCAAGGUCAAUUAAUUUUAAAAAACAACUGUGCAUAUUAUUGAAGAACAACAAUGCGACACAUAGGAAUCAAGAUAUAGCAUCAAUUCAGCAACAACAACCAUGCAUUUACCAAGAUUACACUAUCCCAACAAGUUAGCAACUAGUAAUGUAACCAGUGUGCCCUUACAACAAAGAAGUCCCACUUCACUUAUAUAUGAAAUCAAGCAUGUAAAUAAAGGGACGGUCAAGAGACACUCGCUUGCAGAAAGAAGUUCCAGUCAAUGUAUGCCAAAUACCAUAAGCUUGCCCUUAUUUUCAUUACCAAGGCUUUCAGAUAGGUUAGCUAGGAUCACUAUAGGUCUUCUCUUUGGCUUGUAAUACAGACUAGGGGCUGGUAUAAUACUCGAUGAUAUUUAAAGUGACUAAGCCUCCUUGACACUACACUAGAUUAAGGGAAACAUCAAAAUAUUACAACCAAUAACAAUGAGUGAAAACCCCCAAUUCAAUUUUAUGUAAAAUCUCAUAAAUUACAGAGAAUUGUAGUUUAAAUAAGCCUUUGGGUAUAAGGAUGAAAGGAUUACCUUUGUUCAAAACCCCACAUACCUUGAAUUAGAAGCUUUGGAUGAACUCUCACUUUUGGAAUUCUAUUCGUAUUCUUCAGUGAGGGUUCUUGAAGCCCUUGACUUGGGAACUUUUAAUCUUGACUCAAUUUAGAAAAUCUAUGGUGGAUUCUUGAGAUUCUUGGAAGAGGUUUUGGAUACUUAGGAUUUUUUUGGUUGAGAGAAAUCUUGAGAAAAACUUCAUAGUAUGCUUGUCGAUGACAUCAGUUUUAUGGGCCACCGUGAUGUGCCACUAUCGCAGUGGCUCACUGGAAAUUGACAAAUAGGAAUUUGAGAGUCGCCACGAUGUGGAGCCAUCGUGUUGUUCCACUGGUUGGGACCUAGAUCUUCAGCGCGAUGCAUCACAAUCACGCUAGGCCACUGAAAAUUGACUAUUGAGAAAUUGGGGUCCUCCGCGAUGCACCACUGAUGCAGAGUUCCAUUGGAAUUUGAAAAUUGUCAAAUAAACCCUCUCCGCGAUGCGCAAAGCACUAAAAUGAUGUUGUUUUAUGGCUAGGACUUAGAUUAAUAAUAACUUCUUACCCGGGUAUCAGAUUUGGGUGAAUUUUAUAUCGACGGAAUCUUAUCAAACUUCCCAUGUGAUAAAAAUUCGAAAGUAGGGAAAUUCUAUAUGGUUAACAUGAUACUCAGUUAGGAAGUCACUUUUCAAUCUUUUAGGGCCAAAAUCAUACCUCACUUGGCAUGCCCUAAGGCUCAUUCUAUGAGAGAAUUUUUGUGGGAUCUUAUAAUAUCUCCCCCUUGGAAAUAUUUGAUAACGCUCAAAUUACACGUCAAUUUAGUGCAAGGCGGUCGUCUUCAAUACAUUUACCCAACUUUGGAUUCGGGGUCGAAUCCACAGGGAACAAUGUGAUUGGCAAUUAAACUCAUUGGAAACUAAAGCUACAAGUUAAAUUCAAACAACUGGUACAACAAGACAAAAUGGGGGGUUUUGGAGAUUAGCAAAUAAUUGUUGGUCACUUUAGUUUUAGUGUUUGUAAUCAAGAGUUUAUGGAAAACCAGAGUUAUGUUCACUAUGGGUUUUGGUAUUUUACAGAUACUAAUAGUGAUUCAAGAUUCUCACGAUAGGUAGGAACAACAGAUUGUCUUUUUCGAAGUUAUGCCUAAAUAUCUCUCGACCUACUUAAGCAUUUAAUUACCUAAUCCUCUCGGACUUAGGAAAUUUAUAUUCUCUGGCCAGACUUCACCUCAGGUCAGUUAACCUUGUUACAACGUCAAUUAUUAAAUGGAAGGUUGGUAGCUUCCAAGUACCUGUCAAUAAUUCACUUCCUACUAUAGUUGAUUUCUUAUCUCAAGCAAAUCAAAGUAGGUGCUAUCUAUCAUUUGUAACCAAUAGACAAUAAUUAAAACCUCAGAAUUAUCAAGGAGUUCUAUUACCUUUAAAUCUUGAACACUUAGCAACUUACCAAUACCUAACCCAUAGAUUCCAUAAUUCGGGUUAAGGGAAUUAGCCACUCAUAAUGUAUUAAUCGAAACAACAAGUUGAAUUCAUAAUUCGAAAAAUGAACCUACAGCAAGCUGAAUAGAAACGUGUGUUUCUCUGAUUAGAUCAAAGUAGAAAUCCCAAAAUAUUGAUGAUAAUCUCUUCAAAGUUAAUUGUUUUGUUCAAACCAAGAAACUAGAAAGAAAAUAAAAAAAUAUGUGCGUUGCAAAAUAGGUUCAGAAUCCUCGAGUACCAGCCGCCAAGAAAACCCUAAACAAUACUUUAAAUAGUUCACCCUAAUUAUGGAAAUGAAAUUACAGAGUUCAGUAAUUUCUCAGAAAAGUGAUGACAUUUUGUGAUGCCUUAUCAAGAGUCUGACGACUUAUCAUAGAUGUCGUCAGCUCCUCUUUGCUUUUGACAUUCGCUACCUUAGGCUGAUGAUGCAGCGUGAUGGCUUAUCAGAUCUUUGAUGACUUAUCACAGAUGUCGUCGAUGAUUUACUUCAGCUCUCAUGUUCUGACUUAGGCUAAUAACGAUCUUGAUAGCUUAUCACAACUCUGACGGCUUAUCGCAUGUCAUCGUCACUUUUUCCAGCUGAAUCCCAUUCUCUAUUUAAGGCUGAUAACUUAUCAGAGUGCUGACGAGUUAUCAGGAAUGUCGUCAGCCACACUUCUCUUCUUGUUGCUUCAGAUUUCAACUCUUUUACUUCCAUCAUUGUUGGUUCUCUCUCAUCUUGACUUCCACUGCAAAAUCAAAGAUAAAACAAUCAAAAACAACAAAAGUUGCUUAUCACUUUGCAAUUAUUCUCAGUUAAAAGCCUCAAAUGUGUUAGCUUCUCACACAUCAACACCCUCAACUUAAAACAAUUGCUUGUCCCCAAGUAACUAAAACACAACCAAGAGGAUAAAAAGUACAUUCGACAGUCAACCAUUCAUAUUAUCUCAAAACAUCUUCUCUAUCUCCAAGGUCAAUUAAUUUUAAAAAACAACUGUGCAUAUUAUUGAAGAACAACAAUGCGACACAUAGGAAUCAAGAUAUAGCAUCAAUUCAGCAACAACAACCAUGCAUUUACCAAGAUUACACUAUCCCAACAAGUUAGCAACUAGUAAUGUAACCAGUGUGCCCUUACAACAAAGAAGUCCCACUUCACUUAUAUAUGAAAUCAAGCAUGUAAAUAAAGGGACGGUCAAGAGACACUCGCUUGCAGAAAGAAGUUCCAGUCAAUGUAUGCCAAAUACCAUAAGCUUGCCCUUAUUUUCAUUACCAAGGCUUUCAGAUAGGUUAGCUAGGAUCACUAUAGGUCUUCUCUUUGGCUUGUAAUACAGACUAGGGGCUGGUAUAAUACUCGAUGAUAUUUAAAGUGACUAAGCCUCCUUGACACUACACUAGCUUUUGGGAUUUCACUCAUUAGCCUUUUUCUAUUCUUUUCUUUCUUGAUCACACUUAUUCAGGAUGGGUGCGGUUCUUUUAGACAAUCAUUAUUUCUUUUUCACCACUUUUCUUUUCUUAUUUUUUUCCACCGCACCUAGAUUUUUAUUCUACCUUUCUUCAUACUCAUUUUACAUCACGCACCCCAUGGUAGCCACCCUCAACUUAGGCUAUUUGCCUAAGUCAAAGUGCACAAUGUCCAAGGAGGACCAGGGCCAAAACAGGUUUAUUAUGAUUAAAAAUGGGACGGUGAUUGGUAUCAUAAAAAAAUAGGAUAUUCAGGCUCAAAAUAGGGAUCAAGGGAUAUUAUUCACACAUGGAAGGUCAUUUAGGCUAAAAGUGGAGCCUAUGAUCCUUUCCUAACUGCUAUCCUACAACCAAGGCAAGACCAACCAGGCAAGUUCUGGAUUUAACACACAAUGGGAACUAGAUAGUAUCUAACACACACAGAGCACAAAGGUACAUCACAAGAUACUACCCAUUCGGUUCAUGCAAUUGUUUAGCAAUGGUUAUCAUGUCACGAGUACUAAUACUAUACAAAGAUGAACAGUGGUCACAAAUAGAUGCAAAUCACACAGUUAAAGAAUUAGACCACUAGAGAGAUGUUCAAAAAAUAUCAAAAUUGUGUUAACUACCUCAAGUACUUGUAUUUCUCCUAGUCAACUACAAAAUGUUACAACAAAUCAAAAUACACCUAAAUAUGCCGGCUCUACUAGGAAUAAGACUCUAGGGAAAAGAGGCACGACAACAAAACCCCCAAGAGGACAUCAACUCCCAAAAGUAGGCCCACCCUCAACUUAAAAUCAUGCAAUGUCCCCAAUGUGUCAAACCAAAACAAGAGAGUUAGAAACAUACCUAUGGCACCAUGGGUGCGAAGAUAUAAUGUCAAUCACAUAAUACGAAUACAAACAAAAAAAUAUUUUGGGUUGCCUUCCAAGCAGCGCCUAAUUUAGUAUCGCGGCACAAUCCAAAUCAAUUUUUUCCUCCACCUUGAGGAUAUGAAUUUCACCCCCAACUUAGAGUCCAUCUUCUUGCCUUACUCAUAGGUGGUGGUACAAAAAUUAAUAAGUUGAGUAAUGGAUUGAGCAUUGUAAACUAAUCGGUCUAAAAGUGAAGUGUGUUUUUAUGUUGCUUAUCAAGUGUAAAAUAAAGAAUAUAGGAUUCUUGUUCCUCAUCUUCACACUCUUCCAUUAUUCAGAUGAUUCUACAAACAAGAAAUCAUCUUAAGAUUAUGUGGAAAAAUGCUUCGAGUGAAGCCCAAUUAAUUCUACUUCAAAAUUUACACUAUCUACUACACACUCACUUUUAUUCACCUUCUCAAUGUUAGCCUCAAGAUCAAGAUGACAAUCGAGUGGUUGCGAUUCUUGAGUUUUCUCCUCAAAUUGGCUAAUGUCCUCCUUAUAUUCUUCUUUGUUUAGCCACCGUAAACAUGGUGGGAGUGGUAACUCAUUUAGCUCUGCCCACAACUAUUCUUGAUUCUCUAAUAUUUAUUUCAUCAAUUUGUUUGCUCACUUUGACCACAAGCCAAACACCAAGUUACAGUAAGUAGGACAGUAUCUGCAUCAUAUUAUGAAGGUCCAGUCCAUGAACUUCCAGGUAAAUCUAGACAGCAAGCCUCAAAAUAUAGUCCCCCACAAUAAUAACAAGAAUUGUCAUCACUCAAAAAACUGUCUAUCCAGGCUGACAUCUCAAGAAAGGUGUGAUAAAAUAAAAAAAAUAAAAAAUAAACUAAACAAAUAUUUACAAGUUUGAAUUCAAGCAAGUAAACUAAAAUUUUAAACCAACUCAAUAUGCCAAAUUGUUCCCCAACAACGGUGUCAUUUUUGACAACGCUCAACUUACACGUCAAUUUAGUGCAAGGCGAUCGUCGUCAAUAUAUUUACCCAACUUUGGAGUCGGGGUCGAAUCCACAGGGAAUAAUAUGAGUGGUGAUUAAACUCAUUUGAUACUAAAGUUACAAGUUAAAUUCAAACAAAUGGUACAAAAAGACAAAAUGGGGUUUUUGGAGAUUAGCAAAUAAUUGUUGGUCACUUUAGUUUCAGUGUUUGUAAUCAAGAGUUUAUGGAAAACUAGAGUUAUAUUUACUAUGGGUUUUGGUACUUGACAGAUGCUAAUAGUGAUUCAAGAUUCUCAUGAUAGGUAGGAACAACAGAUUGUCAUUAUCAAAGUUAUGCCAAAAUAUCUCUUGACCUACUUAAGCAUUUAAUUACCUAAUCCUCUCGGAUUUCGGGAAUUUAUAUUCAUUGACCUGACUUCACCUCAGGUUAAUUAAUCUUGUUACAACAUCAAUUAUUAAACGGAAGGUUGGUAGCUUCCAAGUCCCUAUCAAUAAUUCACUUCCUACUGUAGUUGAUUUCCUAUCUCAAGCAAAUCAAAGCAGGUGCUAUCCAUCAUUUGCAACCAAUAGACAAUAAUUAAAACCUUGAAAUUAUCAAGGAGUCCUAUUACGUUUAGAAUUUUAAACACUUAGCAACUUACGAAGACCUAACCCAAAGAUACCAUAAUUUGGGUUAAAGGGAUUUAUCCACUCCUAAUGUAAUAAUCGAUACAACAAGUUGAAUUCAUAAUUUGAAAGAUGAACUUACAAAAAAUGAAUAGCAAUGAGUGUUUCUCAGAUUAGAUCAAAGUAGAAAUCCCAAAAUAUUGAUGAUAAUCUAUUCAAAGUUAAUUGUUUUGUUCAAGCCAAGAAACUAGAGAGAAAAUAAUAAAAUACAUGCAUUCCAAAAUAGGUUCGGAAUCCUCAAGUACCAGCCCCCAAGAAAACCCUAAACAAUACUUUAAAUUGUUUACCCUAAUUAUGGAAAAAAAUCACAGAGUUCAGUAAUUUCACGAACUGGUGACGACAUUUUGUGAUGCCUUAUCAGGAGUCUAAUGACUUAUCAUAGAUAUCAUCAGCUCCUCUUUGCUUUUGACAUUCGCUGCGUUAGGCUGACAUGAAGCAUGAUGGCUUAUCAGAUCUUUGAUGACUUAUCACAGAUGUAGUCGAUGAUUUACUUCAGCUCUCAUGUUCUGCCUUAGGCUAACUACGAUCUUGAUUACUUAUCACAACUCUGACGGCUUAUCACAUUUCGUCGUCACUUCUUCCAGCUGAAUCCCAUUCUCUGUUUGAGGCUGAUGAUGAAGCUGAUAACUUAUCAGAGUGCUGACAACUUAUCAGGAAUGUCGCCAGCCACACUUCUCUUCUAUUUGCUUUAGAUUUUAACUCUUUUACUUCUAUCAUUGUUGGUUCUCUUGCAUCUUGACUUUCACUAUAAAAUCAAAGAUAAAAGAAUAAAAAACGAUAAAAGUUGCUUAAGACUUUGCAAUUAUGCUCAGUUAAAAGCCUCAAAUGUGUUAGCAUCUACUCACACAUCAACAUUCGUCCUCGAAUAUCGCUAGUUAGACUAAGAACAUAGGAAAAACUGAGUACACAUAGCUGAAGCAAGUUGCUAAAAUGGGUUCAAAAUCUCUCUAAAUUCUUGAAUGCCUUGGAAAUGGGAAGAAUUUAUACAAGGAUAGAUGCAUAUAGCUGAACUUUAGAUUAGAAGGGCUGAAUUAAGGAAGAAUAAUACCUUCGGAUUAAUCUAAACUUGCAAAAAAGAGGUGCGGGUACUUGGCUCGCAUGUUUGCUUCUGCCUCCCAAGCAGCACCCUCAAUAGACUGGUUCUACCACAAACUUUGACCAAGGGAACUUCUUUGUUCCAUAGUCUAUGGAUCUGAAAAUCUAGGAUCUCAAUAUGAAUCUCACGAAGGAAAGACUGUUCUGAAUAUCGGCAUUCUUUGAAGGAUUUACUACAAUGGAAUCACCAAUAUGCUUCUUAAGCAUGGAGGCAUGAAAAAUAAGAUGAACAACUGACAACUCUGUGGGAAACUCAACCUCAUAUGCCACCUUACCAACAUGGCUCAAGACUCUGUACGGGCUAACAUAACGGGGACUAAGCUUCCCUUUUUUAGCAAACCUUUUCACCCCUUUCAUAGGUGAAAUCUUCAAGUAUACCAAAUCACCCACUUUAAACUCAAGAUCUCUUAUCCUCACAUUGGCAUAAGACUUUUGAUGACUCUGGGCGGUCUUCAACCUCUCUCUAAUCAAUUAAACUAUCUCCAUAGCUUUAAAUACUACAUCAGGCCUGUCACGGUAGCUUCACCCACUUCAAACCAACCUAAGGGUGAUCUAUGUAUCCUAUCAUACAAGGCCUAAAAUGGUUCCAUCCCGAUGCUAGCAUGCUAAUUAUUAUUAUAGGCAAACUCUAUCAAUGGAAAAUCCUCAUCCCAACUAUCUUUGAAAUCAAGAGCACAUACCCUCAACAUAUCUUCUAGGGUCUAAAUGGUCCUCUUAUCUUGACCAUCUGUCUGUGGAUGAAAAGCGAAACUCAAAAGGACUUGGGUACCAAGACCCUGCUGGAAUGCCCUCUAAAAUUGAGAAGUAAAUUGAGUGACCUUAUCCGAAAUGAUAGACGAGGGAACUCUGCGAAGCCUGACUAACUCCCGAAUAUAUAAUCUAGCAUAAUCUUCAGCUAUAUAAGACCUAUGCAUGGGCAGGAAAUGCACAGACUUAAUCAGUCUGUCUACAAUAACCCAAAUAGAAUCAUGAUGACGACGUGAAAGAGAUAACCCAGUUACAAAGUCCAUAUUCACCACCUCCCAUUCCAAGUGGGUAUACCAAACCCUUGCAUCACACCACCAGGUCUUUGGUGCUCUACCUUAACCUAUUGGGACGUUACAUACUUUGCUACGAACUCAGGUAUAUCUUUCUUUAUACCAUUCCAGCAAUAGAUUUCCCGCAAGUCGUAGUACAUCUUGGUAGUGAUGGGAUGAAUAAAAUACCGCACGCCAUGUGCUUCAGCCAUAAUUCUCUGCCUCAAAUCAUCAACACAUAGAACACACAAUCUACCUUGCAAUAUGAACACACCAUCUCCUCCUUGGGAGAAAACCUCUACCUUUUGUCCUUUAACGGACUCCUUCACUUUGACUAAACUAGGAUCCCUAUUUUGCUUCUUUUUCACUUCUGAAACUAAAGAGAAUUCAGAACUACUCUGCAUCAACGUACUCCCCUUGGAUGAAUCAAGCAACCUAACACCCAAUCUAACCAGAAAAUGCACAUCAUGAGCUAAAUAUUUCUUACCUUCCUCUACAUGAGCAACACUACCCAUUAACAAUCUGCUAAAGGUAUCCACCACUAGUUGGCCUUGCCCGAGUGAUGUAAUACACUUAUAUCAUAGUCUUUUAACAACUUCAACCACCUUUUCUACCUAAGAUUCAACUCCCUCUGAGUAAAUACAUACUGCAGGCUCUUAUGAUCAGUAAACACAUCAACAUGAACACCAUAAGGAUAGUGUCUCCAGAUUUUCAAAGUAAAGACCACAACAGCUAACUCAAGAUCAAGGGUUAGGUAAUUCUUCUCAUGCUACUUUAACUGUUUAGAGGCAUAGGCUAUAACCUUACCUCUUUGUAUCAACACACAACCCAAACCAAUUCUUGAGGCAUCACAAUACAACAUAAAACUAUCUAUACCAUCAGGCAAAGUCAACACAUAGCUGAAGUAAGUUGAGUGUUCAACUCCUAAAAACUCUUCUCACAAGAAUUUAACCACUGGAACUUAACUUUCUUUUGGGUUAAAUAGGUCAUGGGAGAUGCAAUAGAAGAUAAACCCUCAAUAAAAUGGUGGUAGUAGGCAGCUAGACCCAAAAAAAUCCUAAUGUUAGACGGGGAGAUAAGUCUAGUCUAAUUUUUCACAGCUUAUGUUUUUUGGGGAUCAACUCUAAUACCUUCGGCUAAAAUGAUAUGACCCAGAAAGGCUACAUACCUUAGCCAAAAUUCACACUUACUGAAUUUGGAAAACAACUGGUGCUCUCUGAGGGUUUGUAAAACAAUUCUAAGAUGAUUCGCAUAGUCAUUCUCAUUACGAGUGUACACAAGGAUAUCAUCUAUAAAAACAAUAACAAACAUAUUAGGAUAUUGCUUGAACACUCGAUUCAUGAGGUCCAUAAAUACGGCUGGGGCAUUGGUUAGCCCGAAGGACAUGACUUGAAACACAAAGUGACCAUAGCGGGUUCAAAAAACUGUUCUUAGAAUAUCACACCCCCUCACUUUAAGUUGAUGAUAGCCGAAUCUAAGGUCUACCUUGAAAAAAUAACUUGCACCAUGUAAUUGGUCAAACAAGUCAUCAAUUCUCGAAGGAGGAUAUUUAUUUUUUGACUGUGACCUAGUUAAUUUGAUGAUAGUCAAUGCACAUACGCAAAGAAUCAUCUUUUUUUUGCAUGAAUAAAAUAGGUGCGCCCAAGGAGAAAUACUGGACCUUAUGAAACCUUUGUCUAAAAGAUCUUUGAGUUACUCGUUCAACUCCUUAAGCUCCGCAGGUGCUAUAUGGUAUAGUGGAAUAAAAAUGGGAAAAGUGUUGGGAAGAAGGUCAAUCCCGAAUUCUAUCUCCCUAUCAGGAGGUAUCCCGGGGAGAUCUUCUAGAAAAACAUUAGAAAACUCAUUAACAAUGUUGACUGACUAAAUAGUUGGAGCCUCGUACUUAGUUUGUUUGACUCUAACUAAGUGAGAGAUGCAACCUUUGGAUAUUAUCUUUCUGGCUUUGAGAUAGGAGAUAAAAUAACUCUUGGGAGAUAUUGAACUCAUAGACCACUCAAAAACUGGUUCAUCAAGAAACUGAAACUUGACCACUCGAGUACGAUAGUAUACAUACACAUAAAAAGAAUGAAUCCAAUCCAUACCCAGAAUAAGGUCAAAAUCUACCAUGUCUAACUCUAUCAAAUUCGCAAGUAUACCUCUAUGAAGAAUAGUAAUAGGAUAAUAUCUAUACACUUGUUUAGCAACAAAUCAUCCCCUUCUGGUGUGGAGACUAGGAAAUGCUCAGGAAUUCUUUCGGGACUCAUUUUGAAAAUCACAGUCACAAGUGGGGUCACAUAGAAGAGACUUAACCCGUGGUCCAACAACACAUAAACAUUAAAACAAAAGAGGCGGAGCACACCAGUAACAACAUCGAGAGUGUCCUCCUGCUCCUGAUGGGAUGGUAAGGCAUAGAAUCUAUUGUAGCACUGACCACCAGCAGUGCUAGAUAAAGCGCCCUAAGCAAGAGCGGGAUGGGAUGCAGGAGCUGGUGCACUAGUAGCCGGUGCCAGAGGUCGAGCAUCUCUGUUCCCCUGUAUAGCAUUAGGGAAAUCUCUAAGUCUAUGGCCCAGCUUUCCACAACCAAAACAACCCCUCAAAUCUACAAAACACUCAUUGGGAUGAUCCCUACCAUACUUAGCACAAGAAGGAUAACGGGGCCUGUUACCAAUACUGUUCUGUGACCUAGACAUAAAGGAUCUUCCCCCUUGCUCCUACCUCCUUCUAGGUGCAGGAGCACUAGUUGAUAAAGGCACUGGUACAGACAGACGCCUCUGAAACUAAGAGCACUUCCCUCCAUGGAACCUAGGAUGGCUAUACUCAUGCUGCUCAGAUCUAGCCCUUUUGUUACCCCUCACUUGAUCUCUCUCCCUAAUCUUAUCCACCUCUAUCUGUUGGGCAUUCAUCAUCAACCUAACGAAAUCCAUAUCCCUAUGUAGCAUUGCAGUCCUAAACUUUUUUAGUACUAACCCAGAAACACCGGUCACAAACAUCCUCAUACUAGUGCGUGUCAGAAAUCAAAUCAGGAGAAUAAUUGGCCAACUGAUUAAAAUUCAAGCAGUACUCCUUAACAGUCAUGGAGCCCUGCCUCAAGUUCAUAAACUCCUUAAUCUUUGCUUCCCUCAUAUCAAGAGAAAAGAACUUGUCCAAGAAUGCAUCUUGGAACACCUGCAAGUCAUAGGAGCAACAUUCUCACCUCACCCUUUCUCCAUGAUCCAACCCUAUCAUAAGCUACAAGUAGCCCCAAGCUAACCCUUUGAGCCUGUUUCUAGUAAUAACACUCAUUUCAAGAUGAAAUAAUUCAAACACUAGCAUAUUCAUAUCAUAUGAAAGGAAAUAUGGAGAAAAUGCUCGAUCCAAAUGACCAAAAUACAAGAAACCUCAACACAACCACAAUUUGAUAACUAGUCUGACAAAGCCUCUACUAAUCAAUGAACUAGAGAGCCAUUGGGACAGGUCCCCAACUAACGCAAAAUAAACUAUAAAUAACAACAUAGUCUCUCAAAAUAUGGAGAUGUCUGAAUGUAGGUCCUCAAACCAUAAGGACUCACCACUAUAAGAAUGUAGAUAGAGGUACUCAAAAAUCACUGAUGAGGUUGGAACUGAGCACCUGAACCUACAUUAUAAGAUAAUAUAGCACAUAGACAUAUAUGUGGAUCAGCACUUAAGAAUGUACUGAGUAUGUGGGGUGCAUGCAUUUAUAUAAAACAACAUCAAUACUCUUUAAUCAAAUCAUGCAUAUAAUAAGUAAUGACUCACAUGGCUUGAAUAAGUAUAAAAUGCAAAGCUCAUGAAUCAUGUAAAAUGGAGCAUGUAACACAAUCUCGUGAGUCAUUAUACUUUUAGCUUUGAAAUUUGUACUCUUCUCUUAUUCUCAUUACUCAAGGCUAAAGGAAACUUUAAGCAAUACUUUCAACUCAUGAGUAUGUUUCAUGGAGAGUAAAACUUCUUUAAUGAUCAAGAACUCAUAACUCUUUUGCACUCAAAUGCCUGGAAUUCAGAAUCAUAUAACCUUGGAACAUACUUGAAGACAUUUCAUUCACUUUAGAAAAAUAAGUCAUUUCAAGCUUUAGGGAAAAGUACUUAUAUCAAGGGAAAGUAUUUUAGUUUUAAAGGAAAAUAUCUUAUCUCAAAUCAUUUCUUUUAAAGGAGAUUCUCUUAACUGAUAUAAACCAUGCGAGCUACAUGGAUUCAAACAUUUUUUCCUCCUAAGGAAGAGACCUCACAUUGGGGAGAGGCAUCAUACUCUUGCCAAGGAGUUUAACCUCAACUCAGUGAUCACUUAUCUCGGUCUCGAGCCCAAUAUAUCAGCCUUAGGCCCAACAAUCAUAUCGGCCUUAGGCCCAUCCUAUGGUGGCAUAUAGUUUUGGGGUAAGAUAUCGUGGUAACUUACCCAACUCGGUGCUAAAUACUACUCCCUUUAUUUUAUCUCGCUCAUCUCAUGAAAAUCUACUUUAGAAUAAUCUCAUGAUUCAAUAAGAACCCAAUAAUCAAUUCUGUAAUCUCAUAUAGUAGAGUGGAUUUCAAAACUUAAUGACCAUUAGCUCAAAACAUUUCUCAAUAAUCUUAGAAUACUAAAAUCAUGGGUGUUUAUAACAGAAUAGUUUAUAAAAUCUCAAGUCUUAAGUUAGGCUUAAUAACCCAUAAUUCAAUCUCAAGUUAUAACUCAUUAAAGGCAUAAUAGAUAGCAUAUAGAUUCAUAACUCACGUAGAAAUAUAGAAAUUUCAGCAAUUUAUCUCAAAAUCUCAACAUACUCAUAUACUUCAAUGUUUCAAACAUUUCAACUAUUAACUUCUCAAGGAUUAAAAUCAUGGGGUAUUAACCCAGCUACAAUUUCUAAAGAAAAUAUGUAAAAAUCAUGCCAUUAGACUCUCAAUUCAGGGGAAACAUCAAAAGCUUGCAACCAAAAACAAUGGGUGAAAAUCCCAAUUCAAUUUCAUGUAAAAUCUCAUUAAUUGCAGAGAACUCUUGUUUAAAUAAGCCUUUGGGCACAAGGGUGAAAGGAUUAUCCUUGUUCAAAACCCCACAUACCUUGAAUUAGAAGCUUUGGAUGAACUCUUGUUUUUGAAACUCAAUUCUUACUCUUGAAUGAGGGUUCUUGAAGCCCUUAACGUGGGAACCUUAAAUCUUAACUCAAGUUAGAAAAUCUAUGGUGGAUUCUUGAGAUUCUUUAAAGAGGGUUUAGAUACUUAGGUUUUUUUUCUUGAGAGAAAACUUGAGAAAAACUUCAUAGAAUGCUUGUAUAUGACUUCAAUUUGGUGUUUGCAUGGUUUAAGAGGCUUGAAAAAAGUCCAAAUUGCCCUUUUGAACUUCUAUACGAAGCUAGAAUAAUUGAACUAGGAACCCAGUUUUAUGGGCCUCUGCGAUGCACCACUAUUAUGGUGGCUCACUGGAAAUUGAAAAUUUGGAAUCUGGGAGUCACUGUGAUAUGGAGCCAUCGUGUUAUCCCACUGGUUAGGACCUGGAACUUCAGCGCGAUGCAUCACAAUUGUGCUAGGCCAUUGAAAAUUGACUAUUAAGAAAUUAAGGUCCUCCGCGAUGUGCCACUAUUGCGGAGUUCCACUGGAACUUGACAAUUAUCAAAUAGAACCUCUCUGCGAUACGCCAAGCACUAAAAUAAUGCUGUUUUACAACUAGGACUUAAAUUAGCCAUAACUUCUUUCCCAGGUGUCGGAUUUGGGCGAAUCUAAUAUCGAUGGAAGGCAUAUCAAAUUUUCCAUAUGAUAAAAAGUUAAAAUUAGGGAAAUUCUAUAUGGUUAACAUGAUACUCACUUAGGAAGUCACUUCUAAAAUAUUUUAGGGCCAGAAUCAUACAUCUAUGAGAGAAUUUUUGUAGGGUCUUAUAAAUAGAAGAGAGGCAAAAUAAGAAAUUUAGAUUUUUAUAAAAGAGUGGAGGCCUGAAGAAAAGUAGUAGAGAUGGUAGGCAGUAGGGCGAGAAGAAGGCUUAGGGAAAUUCUAGUUCUUAUUAUAUGGCUAGUGCUUUGUCUACUAAGCCAUGUGGCGAUCGUUACUUUCAAGAUGAUAGUGGGUUUAAGUCAUAGGGUGCUCGGACCCAAUCUAGUUGAUCACAGUUUGCUACAUCAUAUCCUCCCUGAAGGUUCUUUAGAUAGAUGCACUAUGAUUAUUGUGAUGAAAGAAGGAUUCUGUGUUUUAAAUAUAGGCGGCCUAGUCAUUGUCAGAGGAAAUUUUUGAUAGAAAAUAUUGCUAGAAGACCUAAUAAGGUUUUAGUUUCUACUUUUUCAGCUCCUACGUCAAAGGGUACUACUUCUAGUACCAGCGCUGUCUGAAACCAUCGUUAUGCUCUUUCACCCAUCAAGAAUCUGAGGCAUCUCCUAAUGUUGUUACUGGUAUGUUACAACUUUUCUCUCAUAAUGUAUAUUGUAUGCUUGAUUCUGGGUAUACCCUUUUUUAUGUGACCCCUUAUGUGGUUGUUCAUUUUGGUUUUGGUCCUAGGAGUAUUAUUGAUCCCUUCUUUAUGUCUAUCCCAUUCGAUGAUUUUAUUGUUGCUAGAAGGGUCUAUAAGGGUUUUCUAGUAUCUAUUUGGGAUAGGGAGACAUUGGUGGAUUUGAUUAAAUUAGAUAUGGUAGAUUUUGAUGUGAUCUUGUGAAUGGAUUGGCACCAUUUGUGCUAUGAUUCUCUAGACUGUCAGACCUGUAAGGUCAGUUUUUAUUCCUAAAUAAACUAAUAAUGGAAUGUGAGUGAAGUUCCUUAGUUCCUAAGGGAAGAUUCAUUUCGUAUCUUAGAGAAUGGAAAUUUUUUAUUAAGGGGUGUCUAUAUAAUCUAGUUUUAGUUAGAGAUUCUAGUUUUAUGGUUCCCUCUCUACAGUCUGUUCCUAUUGUAAAUGAAUUUCCUGAAGUGUUUUUUGAUGAUUUUCCUGGUAUUCUCCCGAAAGGGAAAUAAACUUUGGGAUUGAUCUUCUACUGGAUACUUGUCCUAUCUUUAUUCCUCUAUACAUAAUGGCUCCAACAAAUUUGAAAGAACUUAAGGAGGAAUUAAAGGAUUUUCUUGAUAAGGGUUUUAUCUAUUCUAGUGUGUCUCCAUGGGGUUCUCCCAUGCUUCUCACAUGUUAGAAGGAUUGUUUCCUUUGGAUAUCUAUAGAUUCUUGGCAAUUGAAUAAGGUGAUUGUAAAGAAUUAGUACCCUCUUUAUAGGAUGGAAAUCUCUUUGACUAGCUUUAGAGUGCUAGAUGUUUUUCUAAAAUUGAUCUUUGGUCUGGGUAUCAUCAGUUGAAGAUUGGGGAGGCAGAUAUCCCAAAGACUACCUUCGGAACCUGAUAUGGUCAUUAUGAGUUUCUGGUAAUUUUAUUUAGGUUAACUAAUGCUUCAACUAUAUUUAUAGACUUGAUGAACUGGGUAUUUAGGAAGUUCUUGGAUUUAUUUGUGAUUGUGUUUACUAAAGACAUCUUGGUAAAUUCUAAGAGUGAGGAAGAUCAUGCCCAUUGCCUCUGUAUAGUUUUGCAGACUCUUAAGAAUUAUUGAUUGUAUGCAAGUUUUUCGAAGUGUGAAUUUUUGUUGAUUGCUUUAACCUUUCUUGCUCAUGCUGUUUCAAGUGAGGGGAUCAUGGUAGUUCCACAAAAAGUUCAGGUGGUUAAGAAGCGGCCUAGAUCUAUGACUCCAAUUAAUAUUUGGAUCUUCUUAGGUUUAGCCGAUUAUUAUAGGGGAGAUUUGGGGAAUGGUUUUUGUCAAUUGCUACUCUGUUGACCAAGUUUACUUAGAAAAAGGUUAAGUUUUUGUGGUUUAAAGCUUGCGAGGGAAACUUGGGAUAAGUUGACUUCUGCUCUAUUUUUUACCCUACCCAAGAUUAGUAAUGGGUUUGUUGUUUUACUGUGAUGCAUAGCGUGUGGGACUAGGUUGUGUUUUGAUACAUCAUUGUCACUCGAAAGGAGUUAAAUCUCAAGUAAAGGAGAUGGCUUGAGUUUCUCAAGAACUAUGACAUGAUUCUUCAUUACCAUCUAGUUAAAGCUAAUAUGGUUGUUGAUCCUCUUAGUAGGUUGUCAACGGGUAGCUUAUCUCAUGUGGAUGAGAAGAAGCAUGGAUGGGUGAAGGACAUUAACAAGUUGGCUAAUCUUAAAGUUCAUCUUUUGGAUUUUAUGUAUGGAAGGGUGAUUGUACAUAAGGAGUUGAAGUCAUCUCUCGGUGUUGAGGUGAAGGAGAAACAAGUUUUAGACCCCACCUUGAUGAAGAUUAAGGCUAAGCUAGGUCAGUAAAAGGUCAUGGCAUUUGAGAUUGGUGGAGAUGGUAUCUUAAGGUACAAUGUUAUAUUAUUUGUUCCUGAUAUGGAUGGGCUACAGGAAAGAGUUUUACUGAGGCUCACGAGUUGAGGUAUACCAUUCAUCCUGGCUCGAUGAAAAUGUAUUAUGACUUGAAGGAGAUUUAUUGAUGGAACAACAUAAAGAGAGAUGUAGAUAACUUUGUUGAUAAGUGUAUAGUGUGUCAUAAAAUGAAAGAUUAGUACAUGAGGCCUGGCAGCAUGUCUUAAGAUAUUGAAUUUCCCAUGUGGAAGGGGGAGGUGAUCAACAUGGACUUUUUUACUUGGUUUCUGCAGUCUCAAAAUCUAUAGGAUUCGAUUUGGGUCAUAGUGGUUAGGAUGACUAAAUUUGCCCACUUCUUACCUAUGAGGACUACUUACAUUGGAGAGGAUUAUGUGAAAUUAUUUAUUCUGGAGAUCGCAAAAUUUAGUGGUGCUCUAUUUUCUAUCAUUUGAGAUUGAGGUAUGCAGUUCUCUUCUUGCUUUUAGCAUUCGUUUUACCAAGACAUGGUAAGUCGAGUGAACCUUAGCACCGCAUUCCUCCCUCAGACAAAUUAAAAAGUGAAGAGUACUAUUUAGCCUUUGGAAGAUAUGCUAAGGGCCUAUAUGGUCGAUUUUAGAGGUAGUUGGGUGGAUCAUUUUCCUUUCAUCGUGUUCGCAUUUAAUAACAACUAUCACUCUAGUAUUAGGAUGACUUAUUUUAAAGAUAUUAAUGGUAGGAGAUAUAGAUCUAGCAUCAGGUUAUUUAAGGUUGGUGAGACCAGAUUGUUUUGUCCAGACUUGGUUCACCAAGCCACGAAGAAGGUGAAGGUGAAUCUAGACAGACUCAAGACUACUCAAAGUCGCCAAAAGUCCUAUACAGAUGUGAGAUGAAAAGAGUUAGAUUUUGAUAUUCCUACUUUAGUAUUUUGAAAGGUGUCUCCUAUGAAGGGAUUUAUGAGGUUUGGAAAGAAGGUAAAAUAUCCCAAGUCUUGAACCCUAAAAAAAUUUCAAAGGUUUUGGGACUUUAUGGAUUGGAACGACUCAAGGGAGUCAGUCAUACCCUUGAGUAUGAUUCGUAGGCUGCCUUGAGGGUUCACUCAUACCAUAGGUAGUAUGUUGGGCUUAUCUACCACCUAAGAUUAUACUCAACUAAGUAAGAGUACUAUAGGAACAUACGAGUGAUUUAAGGUAAUUUGUAUGGAGCAUAUUUGAGUGAUCUUAGGUAAUCUGUCCAAGGUAUGAUUGGUGGGUACGAUUGGGGGUGUCACUCAUACCAUUGGUUAUGAGUUGAGGGAGGUAGAGUCAUAUAGAAACCAGUAGGUAAGGUUUCGCUAGGUCUUGGGUAUGAAUUGGGGUACCACUCGUACCCUAGGAUACAAAUGGUAAAGGCAGUCGUACCCCUGGGCCUGACUUGUUUUAAUUUUAAGUCAAGGGUAGUUUGGAUGUUUCCUACUCCUAAAACCUUAUGUCCUCACAUUAUAUAACCAAAUAUAGCCUUCCAUAAUACUUUUUAAAGGAUUAAAACACUUUAAAUACUCUCUCAAACUCACUUUUGAAAGAUUCGAGGCUAGGGUUUCUUAAGUGUUCUUCAAAGGGCUCAAAGGUCAAGAUUUCUCCUGUUAAUCUUUAUGUAUAAGGACUGUACUCCUUUGCUCAUUGUUAUUUCAAAUUAAAGACAUGUUUGUUGUGUUUUAAACAUUGGUUUAUGAAUCAUGAAUGGUGGAUUUUGAAAUAUUGUUGAGGGUUUUGAUGUAUACGGUUUGGUAUUGGAUUAAACAAUGUUUUUAUAUAUUUUUGUUAAUGGUUUUACAUAUGUGGUUGGUUGUUCGUUAUGCUUUAACUAAUGGGUCUUAAUUAACCCUAAUUAUUGUGAUUUGUGCAUUCUUUUUGGUCUUGGUAAAUGUAUGCCCUUAACAUGUUUGAUAAAUUGCCUCAAAGAAUAUUUUUACUGUAUUGUUGAACUUUUAUUAAAAUUCUUGCGUGGUUUGGUUGGUAAUGGAUCUUUAAAUAGUUUUGGAUGGUUUUGCAUGGUUUAAAUGAUAUAAAUGCUUUAAAAAUUUCGCAUGGUUUUAUAUGGUUUGGAAUGAUUUAAAAGGUGAAGGUUUUGGUGGCGAUGAUUGGUCUAUUUUGCUAACAUUGCAGGAUAUAUGCAAAUCGCUCAAGUGAAUACAUCAAUAGAAUGUGUUUAAAAAGUUUGGAAAGGUAAAUAGCUACACAUUUAAGCUUUUGGGGUAUAGACUCUCCCAAGUUGAUUUAAUAUGGUAAUUGGAACGGGUACUUAAGGUCCCUUAUACCUACAUAUGGUUAGUAUGAUGAUACCACCACUUAAUGGCCUUUGUUAAUAAAUGGUAAAUGGAUUGCUUGGAAAUGGUUUUAAUUGGUCAUUAAAGAGGAAGGUGUAGCUAAGUCGUAGAAGGUGGACGUCCCGAAGGGACCAAAAUUAGAAACUCAUAUUUGUCGGUAUGAGGUUGGUCUUGGUGGACCAUGCACAUUAUGUCAUACCUCAUAUUGGUGGAUGAAAUAGUUAUCGCAAUGGGAUACUUCCUUGGUCGUGCGGCUAGAUAGAUUGGGGUCUUUCAGCAGGGGGAGCUGAACCCAUAUUGCUCGUGGGUAACUUAGGACGGUAAAGGUGCAAAGCCCAGGUAAUAGCUUAAAUGUAUGCUAAACCCGGUUCUCUUUCUCAGACUUAUAUAGGUAUUGUUGUAUGUAUUAUGGAUGAUUUUACUUGAUUUUAUAAAUGGCAUUAUUUUAUUCUUAUCCUGAGUAUAUGCUAGUGUUCACCCACUAACCCGUCUAUAGGCGGAUGCAUUCCCAUACUUGUAGGAUCUGGCCAUUUUAUUCUUCUUGCAUAAUGAUCAGAUUCGGGAUCAGCUAUUGGAUUAAAGUGGUGAUCUUCCAUAGUUCAAAAGGCAUCUAUUUCAUGUCAUGGUUUACUUUACAUAUUUUUAUCUUUCAUAAACUAUGGGUUUUGGCUAUGGUCGAGGUCAUAUCCCGACUAGGUACUCUUUGGUUGGUUUAGAGUCUUUGUAUGGACAAUUAUGGACUUGGGUAUAGUAUGGAUUGGUUAUGUUAUAUUUGUAUACAUUGGUUUAUUAUCAUGGUAUUAGUUUAUGGUUUUUGCAUUAGUUUGGUUGGUUAUUGGGUGGUUGGACUCGAUUGGGUUGGUCUCGGUUAUAGACUUAUCCUAGAGUUACCACAUGCUUGGAUACACUAUCUUGUUAUAUGUUCAGACUUCAGCUGACUUAAUGUAUGCAUUUAGUGGUUGGGUUGGGUAAAGGGGGAGGUUCCUGGUCCUAGUUGGGCUUGGAUUUGCCUAUUACGUCUAGGCCCUGGUUUGGGUCGUGACAAGUUGGUAUUAGAUCCUUAGGUUUGGUGUCAUAGGGUGUCCACAAACCCUUAUUGAGUAGAGUCUUGCUUAUGGGUGUGUCUUGUACCACACUUAUAAUCAGACGAAUAUGAGGCAUCUAGGAAUAUUUCACUUUCUUAGUUAUUCUACGUUCGGGAUAUGAAGUCUAAGGUCUUGAACUCUUCUCUGAAUCUUUUCAUCUCAUCUUUUGGAUUAUGCCCUCUUAAAAAUCUAAAGUUCUUGGAAACUUACCUAUCUCACUCGGGGACAAUAUAGAUAGAUCUAGUCCAACGCGUGGGGCUUUAGGUUUUUAUAUAAUGGGGAGGCCAAUGGUAUGGUGGUAAUUGGUCUAAGAGAAAGAGUUGGGUAAGUCCUAACUCCUAUUCUAUGGUUGGUACUCCUUACUUGAAUUUAUGGAGAGAUAAAUAUUCUCAGGUUGGUUAUGCUUCUAGGGAACAAGGCGCCUAAUCUCUGUCUAAUGAGGCUAAUCCGCAUUAUAGUAUCCUCUUUAUAAAUUUUAUGGUAGGUCACACCAUGGUUGUUGCGAUGAAAUAGGGAAUCAUUAUUAUAGUUGUGGUCAAUUGGGUCACAUACAAUGGGAGUAUCACAUAAGGAUUACCGCUUGGGCAAAUAGGAAAUUGGAUGCUACUUGUUUAGGUCUUGCACGCUGGGGUGCUACAUCUAGCCCCAACACUACCCAAGACUAUCUUAAUGUUUGACUAUCUUUUUGUAGUUUGAGGCAUCUAUUAUUGCCGAUAUUGGUAUGUUGGAAUUUUUUUCUUUGUGGUGUGUUUGGUAUACUUUGUUCGGGGUCCUCUCUCUUUUGACCCCAAUGGUGGUUGUGUAUUUUGUGUAUGGUCCUAAGGUUAUUUCAAACUCUUAUCUUUCUAUUUCUACCCUGGUAGGUUACUCUGUAGGUGUCAAAGGAGUCUAUGAGGAUCUAUGGUAUUUGUUCAUAAUAAAGGAGGGUCUUGGUGGAUUUAUUUGACUCAGAUGUGGUGGAUUUCAAAGUCAUUCGAGGAAUGGAUUGGUCGCACUCGUGCUUUUCACUAUUAGAUUGUCGAACUUAUUAGGCUUCAUGGUGAGUUGGUUAUGGAAUAAGAAGGUGGUUUCAUUACCUUGCUAUUAAGGGAAAGGUUAUAUUGCAUCUUAAAACUUAGAGUCUGAUCUCCAAAAGAGUGUCUUUAUUAGUUUUUCCAGGUUAAAGAUUAUAACCCAGAAGGUCCUUCUUUGUGUUGGGUUUAGGUGGUGAAUGAAUUUUGUGAGGUCUUCUUGAUGAACCUCAUCAUGUCUUUCUAGUUGGGAGGUUGGUUUGGGAUUGAUCUUAAUUUGUACAUUUGUCCAAAUUCUAUUAUUUAUUUGUAAAAUAGUUCUGGUUGGGUUAAAGGAGCAAUUAAGGGAUCCUUUAGGUAAAGGUUCCAUCCGUUUUAGUGUCUCUCUAUGGAGUGAUUUUGUUCUUUCAUGCAUAAGAGGAAUGUUUUUCCACGACAAUAGGUAGGUUGUUGGUGGGUGACUAAGAAAUGUAAGGUGUCCUUCUAAUAUGGGAGGGCCUCAUAUGUAUAUUCUAUCUUACAUGGAGUUAACUCUAUGUUCAUAUUUUAUAUAGGGUACUUUGCUAGUAGUGCAUGGUGGUUGCUAGACACUAAGUAUGCAUCUUAGAUGUUGAUUUUGAUAAAAGAGAGUAUGUUAGCUCGGGGGUAGCAAUACGGGAAUUGUGGAGGUAAAUUUAUAGGUUGGACGAGGAUGAUGACUCUAGGAAUACAAUAGUGGAAAGGUUAUGAAUUAGGCCGAGAAUUUAGGUUGAAUGAAGGGAUAUGGAUUGGGGUUCAAGUCAAUCGAUCGGUUAGAUUAUGGAGCUUUCAUGUAUCUUUGUCCCUAUAGCUAAACUUUAUUAUUGAAAUGAAAUCGAUUAUUAAAUUCAUGGUUUUGAAAGUGAGUUUUUGGCAUAAUAAAGGGUUGUGUCAUGAUUACUUAUAAAACUGAUUUUUCCAUAUAUUAUGAUGCAUUAUUCAUACUUCAUUAAUGUUUAUGAACAUUGUGAGAUGCAUGGGAAUGGUAAAUGAAUUUUAGGGUACUAUGGAUUCCCCAAUUACUUAUUUUGGUUUUGGAAAAUGAUAUUUCCUCAAAUUAUUUGUGAAAUUUCCAUUGAAUAUAAUUUUGUCAUAUAGUUUGAGUAUUCUUAAAUAAUUUCAUUGUAUGAAUGGUUAAAGAAACAUGAAUUGGUUUUGGUUAGAUUCAAAUUAUUUUUCAAAGGCCUUGGUGGCCAUGGAUUGACUUCAAAUGAUUUUGGUUUAAUUGGGAACCUUGGAGUCAAUUUGGUUUAAUUAUUUUCACAUAUAUAUGCUGGUAUUUAAGUAGCAUUAGGAUGAAUAAGGUUUUGGGUAUACGGAAACUAAGUGUCUUUAGUGUAUGCCCUUGGUGAUACCCAUUAGGGUGGAGUAUUGUGGUUGUAGGUGUAAUGGGAUGAAGGUUGAAGGUUAAUUUUAAGCUUCCUUUUUGUGGUGGACUUUAAUAGAAGUUCGGGUUGCAUGGUCUAGUGAUACUCUUCUAUUUUGAUUAAGAGAGUACUCUGCUAGUGUUGCAUGUAUUGUUAUAGUGCUUAUGCUUAAGGGUUGCGUUUUGCAUUCGCCUUGUUCUCGAAAUAUGAGUCUUGACUCUACAUUGUUUUACUUAUGGUUUAGGUGGUUAUGUUUUUUUUGGUGUCCAUUUCUAAGGACUCCUUUUAUGGUAUGGUUUGGUCAUGAUGAUUCUUUGGUAUGACCUAGGUAGUUGUUAUGACAUACUUCAUGCCUAUGGUCUCUUGUCUUAUUUAUGGGAUCUUGCCUUGGGUGGAAUGGAUCAUCUUCAACUUUGAUUCCCUUAAUGAUUCUUUCUGUGCUAGGACAGUAAUAGCUUGGGAAGCAUUGUGAUGUUUUGAAAUGGAGAAUGUAGAAAUCCCUAAGUGGGGGAGAGUCCUGGGUGACUACUAUAGUUACCAUUUUGGAAGUUGAAGUAAGGUUAUUGACAUGGGAAAUAGCUAGGAAAGGAAUAGGUGGUGAAAGUCCUUAUGAAAUUCUAAAGGGUGCUAGACCUUUUGAUUUAUAUAUCAUAUCACGAGAAUAUGAGCGUAGGCUCGAAUAUUAUGACAGGUAGAUAUACCAAUAGUGGUGUUACGUACUUAAGAGGUUUGGUAAGGCAUGGUUGUGUGAAUGGUUUUCCUAGCAUAGCUGCUGCAUGGUUUUGGGUGUUCAAUUAUAGGUUGGAUUUUUUGUUAUAAUGGUUGGAUGUGGGUUUGUUCAUGUUCUUUACUCAUGGCUUCCAUAGUAAUAAGGUGAUGAAAGCAGAAUAGUGUUUUGGAUAAAUGCAAGGAGUAGAGCCUGGUGGCUUAAGUUAACUCCAUUGUGCUUUGGAUUGGCUUGAACGUGGAAUUGGUGGUGCGUAGUUAGACUCAGGUUCUCAUAUUAGUGUAUCUUGGUAAACUCUAGAUCAAAAUGGACUUUCUCUCUAGCAUAAGUCCAUUCAUCCGAUAAUCUAUAAUGUGUGUAUAUGGAGGGGAAGGGGGGGGGGUAGAGGUGUGGAUGGUGCUUGUCUGGUUGGUUCCUUUGGUUGUUAGUGGUAGGACUUGAUUUUAGUCCCAAAUUAGCUUGGAUUUUACCUAUAUGAUAUAUAAACUAGCACCCUGAGUAUUCUAGCAUUAGCUCCUACUAUAGUUAAGAGGUCCAAAAAAGCUAGUUUGAUGAUUUAGGUUUUACUUUGAGUAGACAUUGUGAUAUAUAUGUGUGUGUGUGUGUGUGUGUUCAUACAUAGCUAUAUGUAGCUAUGAUGUUACAAUAUAUCCUUUUCUUUCAUUCAUUCAAAUUUUAUAUUCCUUUCUUGGCCUUGUAUACUUAUAUAUAUAUAUAUAUAUAUAUAUAUCUUUCUUCAACUUUUACUUUGUAUAUUGGCCAGUGAUAUAUGGUAUAAUGUUGAGAUUCCUAAGUAUGGCUGGAAUAAGAUAGUGCAUUCUUAUUGCUUCUUUAGUCUUAUCAUGUUAGUCUCCUAGACAUAAUUAGGAUAGUUUAUCCUUAUUAUAUCAUUGUCUAUCUUGUAUGGUUGCUGGGCAUUCAGGUGUAGUUUUCCAUUCUGUUUAUAUGCUAAGCAUAUCUUCUUUGUCUUCAGAGCUUACUCGGUAGGUGCCUAUUGAUUACCACAUGUUUGGUACUCAUACUAAACUUUUGCAGAUCAUAGUAUAGGUUAUCGCCAUUGAUGUGCGUGGCAUGUAAAGUAACCAUGGUUUGGAGAAUUAGAGCGAGAUCCUGAUGUUUGGAGUAUUACUUAUCUCCCUCUUAUGUACUAGACAAAUCUUUAUGUUAUAUUCAGAGUUAACCUGUGUCUGUAUAUUCAUUGUACUUUUAAUUUGGAUUCUUGUUUUGUAGAAGUUCUUGUGCUGAUACCCCCAGGUUUUUGGACUAUAUUAUGUAUUUGAUCUCUUACUUCAUCUUUUCUAUAUUCUUGUAUUUAUAUAGUUGGGUUGUCCAUUAGUAGUCAUUUUAAACCACAGGUUUGGCAUGCCUACCAGCGGGUUAUAGUAGGCGCCAUUAUGAUAUAAAAAAUAGGGUUGUGAUUAUGGAGCUUAUAUCUUUCAACCUUAUGGGGGUUCCAUAGUUAUAGCCUCAGAAUGUUGUUAGCUGAGUAUUAAUUAGACCUUCUGAGCCUAUGAUGGUGGUGGUUUUGGUUCAAUUAGGUAUUGCUUGUCCGGAUUAGUCAGUUACCUUAUAUGAUUAUGCUAGUAUGUUUAGUUCAUUAUAGGUUGAUUAUUAGACAAGUAUUGACAUUUGAGGUAUAAUUCUGAUUCUUUUAUCUUAUAGUUAUAUUAUAACGCAUGAUUAUUCAUUGGUUAGAUAUUAUGGUUUGAUUCUCUAAUAUUCUAUUCAUUUCUUUAUAGUUGAUUCAUUAUGCUUACUAUCUAAUAUUUGGAUAUAUGGAUUAGAUACCCUAGUUAUAUUAUCACUAGUUCCUACUAUGAUUAGGAGGCCUAGAGAUUCUAGUGUGAUUACUUAGCUUGUACCCUUGAGUUAACCUUCUUAUGUAUAUGUAUAUAUCUAUAGUAGUUAUGGUAUGACUAUAUAUCUCUCCCUUCUUUAACUUAUUAAUAUUGUAUAUCCAUUCAUUCACCUUUUAUACUACUAUAUAUCCUUCUUCCAUUAUUUAUUUAUAUAUUGAACAAUGAUAUACGGUAUAGUGCUAAGGUCUCGAAGCAAAGUUUGAAUAGGAUAACUUAUCUCUAUUGUUCCAUUAGCUUAUUAUAUUAGUAUCUUAGAUAUGAAUAGAAUAGUUAUCCUUAUUUUUUCCUUAGCUUUAUUAUGUCAUUUGUUGGAUAUUUGGGUGUAGUUCCAUUCGUGCUUGCAUGCUAUUUAGAUUUGCAUUAUCUUUGGAGCUUAGUUGGUAGUUUCCUACCGAUUACCACGUGUUUUGUGCUUAUACUACACUUCUGGAGCUUUCACAUCAUACUAUGGUUUCUCGUCAUUAUUGUGUGCAUCGUGCAUAACAACUAUGCUUCAGAGACAUAGGGUAAACUCCUAGCGUUCAGAGCAUUUCUAUUCUUCUUCCUAUGUAAGACUGAUCUCUAUGUUGUAUUCAGAGAUAGGUUAUAUCAGUAUAUUCAUUAACUACUUUACUUUGUAAUCUUAUUACAUUAACAGCUCUUUUACUAAUUUCACCAGGUUUUAGGACCAUCUUAUGUAUUUUUAUAUUUUAUUUCAUUUAUUUUGCAUUCUUCCUUUAUUUCUCUUUAUAGUCUGUUACUAGUAGUUCUGGACAACAGGUUGGAUUUCCUACAGGUAGGUUAUAGUAGGCUCCAUCAUGACUUGAGAAAUUGGGUUAUGACAAAUUGGUAUCAGAGCCAGGCUUACUGGUGUGUUGGUAUAUGAGCUAAGUGUCUGGUAGAGUCCUAUGGAUGAACAUGGAGACAUUCAUAACCUAUCUUUCAGAGGCUAUAGGGAAUUCAUAAGAAAUUUUAUUCUUGACUCCUUAUUGUGUGUCCAUAUAUCUAUGAGCCUUAAGUAUUUCUUUGACUCUAUUCUAUCCCAUAUGGACGAUGUGAGAUUGCCAAUAGACACGGAUUUGCCUUUAACACACAUUUCUAGAGCUUUAGUGUGUCAUUAUAUCGGCGAGCUAGGGAUGGAUGUUGAGGACCUUCAAUGUGUCAUAGGGUUUGGGAAAACUGAGGCUCUGGUAGAGUUUGUAACUACUUUAGCUUUUCGAGAUUCAAAAUUAGGGAUCUCAAAUCUCUUUAUGGAUACCUUACAACCAGGAAUGACAUUCGGUUCAUCGAGCACUUCCAAGGCUAGAGUUAGGUUUGUUGGUGUUCAAUAGUGUUUCCAGUUGGUUUCAGAGUAUGUGAUUCAUUUUAUUGAGUAGUACAAUAAUAUUCCUAUGCUAUAUCCUUUAGAGCAUGAUAUGGUGCAUGGAUUUAUUAGAGGAUUAUCAUUGCCACUCUAUUUAGUAGCGAGGCAUCUGAUAUUAGAUAGGUCUUCUUUGUCUAAGGUUGUUGACCAUGCAAGGGCCACAGAAAGAGAGUAUAUUGAGACUUAUAGAGAUGGAGGUAAGUGGUUAUGUCAUCAGUACAGUGCUAUUAGUGUUCCAUCCAUGCGUGAAGAUCCUCACAAUGGGGGUUAGCUUUUCUUGUAACAUAUCAUUUUCACAUAAGUAGCAUCUCAAGCUAUAGGUGGCUCUUAGAUUAGUCUUGGUGAUCACAAUGGGGAAAAGUUCUCAUUGGAUCUUAUAGAGUUUUUGGUAUAGGUUUUUAGGAAGUGGUAGCUAUUCUAGAUUAGGAGGCAUAGCAUCUCAAAAUAUUCUAAGAGCUUAUUUUGAUUGUAGUGAGAUAGGACAUUGGUUUAAAGAGUGCCCCAAAUGCGGGUUAUUUUUUUAGACAUAGUUAGGAUAUAUUCUUCAUUAUCCUAGAAUUCUUGAGGUAUGUUAUGAUUGUGGGAAGGAUGAUAGUUUCAGAAGGUAUGCCAUCAGCAUCAGUCGGUCAGCUAGUUGGAGUCAGCUUAUGUUUCCCGCCCGGUUAGGGCUUUAGGAGUUUAAUAUGACUUAGAGAGAUAGGUCACUAUUCCAAAUAGUAUCCUCAGUGUGGGAUCUUUAUUCAUUUAACUCUUCCAUAUCAGCCUUUUAGUGUUGUGGCACUAUCUGUGUGAGACAUUACACUUAGUGCCUCAGUUUAUAAUUUAGUUGGUCAGUUCAAGUUUGGACACAAAUAGAUUUGUUCUUUUUUGGACACAUUAGGCAUGUGACUUUGGUUUUCACCAUGAUUGGUGUGCCUUUUUAUUUCUUUCCUUUACCUUUUCAUUGGUAUGUAUAGGGGUUCUCAUACCCAUCAGUGAUUACACGCCUUGGUAGGGUUAUAUUGAUUGUUGUGUGCCUUGAUAUAGAGUUCGUGAUUAUAUGACUACCCGCAUAGAUUAUCUUUUUAGUAGUGGACAGAGUGGAUUUGUGUUGAUAUUUUCCUUGGGGGUAUAGCAUUUGGGUUCAAGUCCUAUAUAUCUUGGCAUAUUGGCCUUCUAAUGGGCCUAUAGUUGUACUUGAUAUUGAUCUUAAUUUUGUUCUUUAUCAUUGUCAUUAUUUGAUGUAAUUAAUUCUCACUUGGCGGAUGGCUAGACUGUUAGUAUAUAGUUUGAAUUUUCUUUUCCUCGUAGUUUUUAUUUAUUAGCUUGGGCAGCAAGAUUGGUUAGAGGAUUUCUCCUUUUUAGUAAGAUAAGGUUGGUUGUAUUUCUCUUUUGUUGGUUUCUCUAAAUUGGUUGUGAAGUGGAUUAUGGAAGUGAAGGUAAGAUGACAAUUCGUGGUUCUAUUAUGGUUCUAGAGUUGACAAUUUUGUUAUAUUUCUCAUUCUUAAGUUUAAGAUUUGAGGAAUUUCCUCUUAGGUUAUAGAGGUUUUUGCAUUGGCUAUCUCUCACCAUUCACCUGAUAUCUGAGGUUGAUUAAUUUGGUGUAUGUUCUUCUAAUUUGGCUAGUUCAUCGCCUGAUAGUGGUUUUGAUGUCAAUGUCGAGAAGUCAUGGAUUCAUCUUUCUUGUUUGUUUGGUUUAUCUCCUAGUGAUGGUUUGCUCUUGGUAUUGGUGUAGAGAUAUAUUCUAUGUUCUUGUCGUGUUAUGGUACUUGUUGUAGUUGAGUUAAAGAUUAUACAUAGGUGAUCUUUCGUAUGACCGCUUUUUUAGAUGGCAAUUUGGAAUCCAUCAUUUUGAGAUGCUUGAUUCAUUUACUGGUAGGGGUGAUGACCUUGGCUUGGUUGUCGAGAUUUGGUUCAUUCUUCUCUGGCAAUGCCAUUUAUGGGUUGAUUGAGUUAAGGUUACAUUACUUUAGUGGAUUUAGGAAAUCCUAAUUUUGGAAUUUGUUUGGCCUAUUUCUCACCUAAAGUUAUGUUUCUCCAAGUUGCUAGGGCUUUGUUUAUCUAUUGUAUGGUUUGUAGCCAUGGCGAGUUCUAGAGUAUGCUUUGGCAUUUUGUGCCAUCUAGUGGAUACAGAGUUGGUUGUUUCUGUCUUCAAACAGCGAUCUAUCCUUCGUUGUGAUUUCUUUAUUCUUACAUUAUGUUUCAUUUUUGGCUUGACAUAAUUCAGUAAGGAUAUGUUUGAUUCGAAUUGUAAGGUUUAUUUGAGCCGUUGGCCUUAGCUCAGGCUCCUUGGAAUGAAAAUUUGGAAGUUAUGAUAGAUUUGGUGUAUUUGUUCUUACCCAUUUUUAGGUUUAGUUUGGUUUGUUGAGAUCGAGUGGUUCAUACUUGGUGUCGAGAUAUUAGCUUAGAGUUCUAGAGAUUGGGUGCAACCAUCAUUUACAAAUUUGUCUUAGUUGGGGCUUCAUAUAUAUGUUGGUUGAGCCUACUCCAUGAUUACCUAUUCACUCUUCUUGAGUUUGAAUAGAUUAUGGUUGAUACAUAAUCAGAUAAUAGUUUGUGGAUACAUUAUUGGUUCCUUUAGAUUUGACCUUGGGCUCUUAGUUUUCAUUGAGAUUUUUGGAUGAUAUACUCAACGAGACUAGUAUGCUUGAGUUAGAUUCAACAUGACUUCAUUCUCAAUUGAUGGGACAUCCUUGAGCAGAACGUUUAGUGGUGAGUACUUGUGAUUCAAAAAAUUGGAUUUCAGUUUCAGUUGUCCUCCAUAUUAGUUGUAGCAUUGACAUAGGUUACAGACCUUGGCUAUCUUCUUUAGUGUGCCAAAGUAGCACCUUGUAGAUUGAUUCUCAUAUUUGCCAUGAUGGAUUUUUCAGUGGAUUAGCUUCAGGUCUUUGAGGUUAGUGUGGUGAGAUUGUGUGGACAAGACUUUAGUGACAUUCUACUUGGUUUGGAGUGUUAACAGGUGUUGGAAGGCAAAAUGUCACGACCCGAGGCUACCCCCUAGUCGCGACAAUGGUGCUUACGGUCAAAAGUGACCUUAAGCUAACCCAUGUGUUGGUACCUGUUAAGAGAAGUGUAAUAAUAAUGGAUAUGUGUGGAAAACAAUCGAUAAAGCCAUAAUGUCUAAAUACUGAAAAAAGCUGGAUAAAUCACAAGUCUAAAACAACUGAUAAGACUGAUAAAGCUGACUAACUGACUGUAUAGAUGUCCGAAAGACUCUAAACUAACUGAGGAGUUGAAAGGACAGACCCCCAACUAAAUCCGACUAACUGAAUAAAAUGAAAUACUGAAAUAACUGAAUAAUUAUAACAUGUCCUCGAUGGAUGAGGACUCAACCACUAUGGCUGUUGGAUUAUGCUGAGCUGUCUAACUGCGGUUGGGAAACUGGGUGUCCGAACCUAUGAUAUAAGACAUCAUAGUGCAAAGAAAAGUAUGUGGUUAGUUCUUUGAAUAUACUGGUAUAUGAGAUGAGAAUAGGUUGAUCGCAUGGGGUACUGUGAAUAUGAAAUAAGGACUAAUUGAAUAGUACGAGAUAACUGAACAUGGAUGCAUGGAAACUGAAAUAUCUGAGAAUGCAAGACUAAGUGUAUAUCUAUUAUGUUACUGAGAAAAAUCUGUAAUCUGAAAAACUGAAAGUUGUUAAAUUGAAUAUCUGAAAGUCUGUACACUUAGUCAAGCAAACCUAAACUCAAACAGACUGAAUACUAUACUGAGACUAUGGGAGGUAUCAUCUAACCGAUAUGCCCCUAUCUGAGCUAAUUGGAUCCAACCUGUAACCCUAGUUGAAAGGGUGUCAGUACUAUGCCAUGGGUACUAACAUUGGCUGUGUAGAUCCACUAAUCUGGUGUCUCGAAGGACCAGGAUGUCAAUCCUAAACUCACCGAUGAUCCCUGAGAUGAAGUCAAGCCUAAAUUGACAGGUGACCCCUGAGAUGAAGUCAAGCCUAAACUGAUGGGUGACCCCUCAUAUCCUAUGCUAGCUAUGUAGUUCAUGAAUAUAGGGACUGCUACUAAUGUUUCUACCUAACUGGCGGGGAAGUUGCCACCCCAACAUUCGCUCGGUGCUAAAUCCUACUCCCAACUGAACUGAUACUGGAACUCAAGAUAGACUGAGUUAAACAAGAUAUUAUUUCAUGAUUGAUAGUGCUCAUUAUGAUUAUAAUAACUAAAUAAAUAGGAAUAAUCAUUGUUUAACUGAAUCAUACUUGAAAAUCUAAAAUUCAUGUAAAACUCAUAGGUAUCGGGUGUUCAUAACCCAACAGCCCCGAAUAAUCUCUGAAUGUAACAACAAGCUUAGAGCUGUAGUAAAUGAUCAUGGUUCAAAAACCCAUAAGCAUAAACAUUUCAUCAAAUAUAGGGGAACAUGAAUUUAACAAGGGAAUGCUUGCUAAGAAUCAUAAAUUUAGGAUUCAUUAUAAAAUUCACUUGAAUAAAGCAUGGGAAACACAAAUUCGUAGCAUGAGGAAUUCAAAAUCUUGCAUGGGAUCAUACAUGGAUUGAAUUGCAUUUAAAUUAGUGUAGAAACAUGAAUAAAAUCCAUCUUAAGCAAUACAAAAUACAAUAAUGAUAAAAAAAUUCAAUCUUUAUUCGAAGAGAAGGUUUUUGAGCUCUAUGGGUGAAUGAAAACCCAUGAAUGAACAUCCCACAUACCUUAAACCUUUAACUUAAAAGAGAAACACUAAUCUUGAUGCCUUCUUGAAGGUUCUUUAACAUAGGGAACUUGAAUUCUUGAUUUCUUAGGGAGAAAGGAAUUGAAUUUGUGUUCUUGGGGAAGAGGGGAGGGUUUUAUUGAGAUAUAUUUGGAGAAGAAAGGAAAAUAAUGCCCUAAAUGAUGUCCUAAUUCGUAUUUUGAAUGAUUGUGUUAAGGGGGGAAAAGUCCCAAUUGCCCCUCAGACAUUUAGAUUCGAAACUAGACAAAACAAGCUUACCACGAUGUGGCAUUAUCGAGGUAGUUCAUUUCCUUCACUGCAACGUGAUCUGCAUGAUGACGGGAAUAACACCGCACCACGGUCUUAUCGUGAUAAUCCUCUGGUUUUGUGAUCUAAUCUUGACCCAAACCCCAUCCGAAAAAAUUCAAAACUUCUUUGAGUUAUGUUUCUUACAUCCAUGAACAUGAAUUAACUCAAAAACCAACAUCUCGGGGUCAGGCAGACCAAGUUAAAAAUCCUCCAAGUUUAGAAGCCUUAAAAAUGACUAAGUCCCCAACUCUUAGUGAAAUUUUCAGGACUUAAGUCCCAUUAUGCAUGGAACUAGAAGCUGAACUAAGCUAUGAAUUAUACGAGGUAUUACAAUAUCUCUCAAUUGGGAACAUUCAUCCUUGAAUGAGACUAGUUAGACUGAGAGUACUGAACUAAGAUAACUAUGAUCACAUACUGAAUAUGUAUGGCUGGAAACAUGAUUACAUAACUGAGUCUGAAACAUGAUACAUGAACUGAACUAAUUUCAUGAAUGUACGCAAUGACAUAAGAAGAGUUAUAUAGCUGGAACUAAGAAUGGAAAAGAGUCAAUCUAAGGAAAAUUGUUAGCUUAAGCUGAGUCUGAGUUUGCGGAGAAAAGAUGAGGGUACUUGAUACGCAUAUCUACUUCUACUUUACAAGUAGCUCCCUCAACGGAUUGAUUCCAGCAUAGAACUUUAAUCAAAGGAACUUCUUUGUUCCUUAGUAUAUGAAUCUGACGAUCUAGGAUGUCAAUUGGAACUUCUUCGAAAGAAAGGCUAUCCUGAACACCUAUACUAGAUAAAGGAAUAACAACAGCUGAAUCGCCAAAUCAUUUCUUUAACAAAGAAACAUAAAACACCAGAUGCACAGAUGCUAAAUCUGUGAUGUAUGAGCCUACGCUAACACAUUUGAGGCUUUUAACUCUAAAUAAUUGUAAGGUCUUGAGCAACUUUAGUUGUUUUUGAUUAGUUUGCUUUGAGUUUUGCAAUAAAUGUUGAGAUGUGGGAGAACAAAAAAUAAUGGAAGCAAAAAGGCUAAAAAGUGAAGCAAAAUAAAGGACAAUUGUGGCUGAUGACGUUCAUGAUAAGUCGUCAGCCUGGUGAUAAGCUGUCAAGGAUGCCGUUACCCUUAAACAAAGAAUAGGAGUUGAAGAUAUUUUUGUGACGACGUUCGUGAUUAGCCGUCAGGUUGGAGAUAAGGCGUCAACGUCGUCAUCAGCCUUAGGCGGUAAGAGCUAAAAUUAAAGAAGAGCUGACGACAUCAGUGAUAAGCUGUUAGGUUGGUGAUAAGGCAUCACCUUCAUCGUCAACAUUAGACAGUAGAAGCCAAAAGUCCAGAGGAGCUGACGACAUCCGUGAUAAGCCGUUAGACUCCUGAUAAGCCGUCACGGAUGUCGUUAUCUAUUCCGAGAAAAAUUUGCAACUUUAAUUUUAUUUCCUUAUUUAGGUUGAACUAUUUAAAGCUUUGUUUUAGGGUUUUCUAGAAAUUAUUCAUUCAUUCAUCAACAUCAUUGUUCAGAAAAGAGAGUUUGAUACUUUGAGUCUAGGAGAAUAUUUUUCGAUCUUUCUUUUUCUAUUUUUUUUGGAUUCAAACAAUACAACUAUUUUGGGGAUUUUCCUUUAUGAUCUAAGCUAUGAUUCACUAAUUAUUAUUCAUCCUUGUAAGUUAAUCUUCUCAAUUAUGAAUUCAAUUAUGUGUUUCGUUCUUUGCAUCAUGAGUGGCUAAACUCCGUUAACCUGAAUUAUGGGAUCUAGGGUUAGGUCAUGAUGAUGUGCUAAACACUCAAGAUUUAAUAGGUGUUAGGAUUUCUUGAUAAUUCUGAGACUCGGAAAUACUUCGUUUAAUAAUCAGCACUGUAACAAGGUUGAUUAACCAGAGGUAAAAUUUGGGCAGUGAAUAGCAAUUUCCUAAGUUUGAGAGGAUUAGGAAAUUAGAUGCUUAAAUAGGUCGAGAGACAUUUGAGCAUAUCAUCGAUAAAGAUAGCUUGUUAUCCUAACCACCGUGAUAAUCUUAAGUCACCUUUAGCAUCUGUUAUGUACCGUAAGACCUAGUGAACAUAAUUCUAGUUAUUUCAUAAAAUCUUGGUUUCAAACAUCAAAAUUUAAGUGACAAAUAAUCAUUUGUGAAACUUAAACCCCCAUUUCAGGAAACGUUAAACUAUUUGUGAAUUAAAUCGCGAACAGCUUGAGUUCACUCCAUAUUCCCUGUGGGAUUCAACCCCAACCUAGUUGGAUUUUAUAUUGACAACAAUUUCUUACACCCAUUUAAGAGUGUAGUUUGAGCGUUAUUAAAAAUGGCACCGUUGCCGGGGAAUAAGGUUGAAAACUAAAAGUUGUGUGUUCUAAUUGACUGUUAGUUAGGUUUCCUAGAUUUACUUUUAUUUGUUGUUUUUGUUUAUUGCAGUUUCCUUGUUGUUUAUACCAAAAACAAGAAGUUCCGAAGAAUCAUUAUUACCAAUUAAUCUGAAACCUCAGCUGAUCGGGAGAAUGGCAGAACAACAAGAGGCUAACAUACUGGCACUUUGUCCAGGGCUCAGGUGAACGUACAGAACCAGGGUCAACAAGUAAGUCACCCGAACCAUGAUGAUGAAGACUUGGGUGAUGAGGAAUUGCUGAAUCCUCAAAACCCAAGGUGAGCUAAGCAAAUUGUUGCACCAGUGUAGUGAAAUUUUGACAGAAACCGUCAAGUCAGAGAAAGGUAUGGUCAACAUCCUACCCAUUACGAGGUUGAUAACGAUGACAAACUAAUGGACGGAAUAGGUGCAAUGGGUGCUAUCAUUCCUCCACCAUUGGCACCGCAUACAAAAUUCAGUAUAACAAGUACUAUGAUUCAACUCUUGAAUCUGAAGGGGUUGUUUGGAGGCUCGCCUGGUGAUGAUCUGAACACGCACUUGGUGAACUUUAUCACCAUUUGCAAAUCUUUUGAUAAUUCGAGAGUAAGCCAGAAUGCGAUUCGGUUGAGAUUGUUUCUAUUGUCUCUGUCUGGGGAGGCAACAAUGUGGUUAAAUGAGCUGGAGCUCGAUUCUAUAACCAACUAGAGACAGUUGAAAGAGGCAUUCCUAUAACAGUUCUUUCCACCCUCCAGGAGGGUGCAGUUGAGGGAUAAAAUCAGUAACUUCAGGCAGCUCCCGACUAAAGCAUUGCAUAAAACUUGGGAGAGAUUUAAGAAGAAGAUGGCACAAUGUCCGAACUAUAACAUGACGGACUUGCACUUGAUGGAGACUUUGUACAGAGCUUUUAACUCUGUGACAAAGUUAAUUGUAGAUAAUGUUGCAGGUGGUUCGUUAAUUGACCUUUGUUUUCAAGAUACUUCAGACAUGCUAAAAAGAAUGACCAAACGGAGUUGGUCUUGGCAUACCAGGGAUUCCGUGGUAGCUAGCGCGAUUAUUUUUGGUGGUAUGGCUGUAGAGCAGCGCAGAAGGGAUGAGGAGCGAGACCAAAACAUGGCCCACUUAAAGUCUCAGAUGGACUUACUGACCAAGAACUUGCUGUCAGGCAAGAUUGAAAAGGUUAAGGCUGUGGAAUCUCAGUGCACUAUUGCUAUUGAUGCAGAUGAGGAGGCAAAUUAUGUUAAUAAUCAGGGGGGUUUCCGAGGCAAUAUCUAAGGUAAUCAAGGUCAGAACUUUUAUGACAAGCCUAAUUAUAAAGAUAGGGAGCAAGGAACCUGGAGAAGCAAUAAUGAUAGGAGUGGUUUGUAUGUUCCUCCUGGAAGUCGGGAUAUUCAACAACUAGAUUUGGCAAGAUGUCCAUGGUGGACAUAAUGGAAAAAUAGUUGAAGGUAGUUGAGGAUACCAGCUCGGGGGUAACCACUAUGAAGAAUGAAUUCUCUACCCUGUCAGUUGGUUAGUUCAUACUCCACUUCUAUCAAGCAGUUGGAGCAACAAAUGAGCCAACUUUUCGCAACACUGAACCAAAGAAAAAGUAUUACUUUACCUAGUGAUAUAGUUCAGAAUAUAAAAAAUGAUGGCUCAUGUAUGGAGAUUACCACUAGGAGUGGUAAGAUCUUACCCGACCUUUCGGUAGGAAAAUCUGUAGAUGGUGAGGUGGUUAUUGAUGAAUCCGAAGAAAGCUAACCAGUGGAGCCUGAGAAGCUGGAUAGUUCUGUUGAUGCUUCGAAGAAAGAAAAAGAGAAGGAAGAGGAAGUGGUGUUGAAAUCUAUCCUAAGACCACCACCUCCCUUUUCUCAACAAUAGAAGAAAAAGGCUGAUGAUACAAAAUUUAGCAAAUUCAUGGCCAUGCUCAAGCAAUUGACAAUUAAUGUGCCUUUGGUUGUGGCACUUGAGCAAAUGCCAGGAAAUGUGAAGUUCAAGAAAGACCUUGUAACCAAGAAAUGGAAGGUUAUCCAUGAGCCGGAGGAUAAUCUUCUCCAUUGUGGCGCUAUCUAUACAAGGUCUUUAGUGCAAAAAAAGGCAAAUUUGGGAGCGUUUACCAUCCCGUGUACUAUUAGCCCCCUAAAGUUCAAAAAAGCACUAUGCAAUCUGGGAGCCAGUAUAAAUUUAAUGCCACUGGCUGUGUAUAAGAAAUUGGAUUUGGAGGAUCCUACCCCAACAAAUAUGCGGUUGGUAAUGGCAGAUAGAUCUAUGAAGUGGCCUGUGGGCAUACUACAUGAUGUUUUGGUAAAGGUAGCUGAUUUUGUUUUGCCUGCUAAUUUUGUGGUCCUAGAUUGCGAUGUAGAUUUUGAAGUGCCCAUCAUCUUGGGUAGGCCAUUACUUAGAAUUGGGAGAGUGCUAGUAGACAUGGAGUUGAAUGGGCUGAAGUUCAGGUUCAAUGACAACGAAGCAUGCUUCAAAAUACACUCAUCGAUGACUCAGCAACAUGAGAUGAGUGUUUUCUCAAUCGUUGAUGUCUUCUAUGAUAAAGGUAAAGGGGUAUCAACAGGUUGUAUUGGCGAAAUCUGAUUAGUAAAGGCAACCAAGUCGUGCCGCAAUAGUAAAUCAGGCGUUAUUGGGAGGCAACCCUAAUUUUUUAUGUUUAAGAAAGUGUUUUUACUUUUAUAAUUAGGAUUUAGUACAAAGAAGGUAAAAAAUGAGGAGGUCAGCUGAAAGGCCAUUAUAACAUCUUUGAUAAGACGUCACAACUGCGAUAGGCUAUCAGAAAUAUAAUCAGAUUGGCCAAACUUGAGGCAAAUUCUUCUUAGGGGCUAUGAUGUUUGUGAUAGUCUAUCACACUUGUGAAAAGCCGUCACAAGUCAUCAUCAGCCCAAAGCCUUAAAAGCUAAAUUCUGGGUCCAGUUUAAAUCAAAUCUAACCCAGCCCAGUAUAGGAACCCUUUCAAAUUUCCACUAGUAUAAUUCUUUUCCUUUAAUUUAUUUCUUUCCUUAGUAAGUUUAUCUCUUACUCUUUGCGAAACACUUCAAGAAAACAAGUUGCCUUGUGCGUGGGUUUGCAAUUCACAAUUAAGAGAUUCUUCCUACUUCCUACUUUCUCUUGUACGUGUAAUCAGAUUAAGGGCCCCCAUCAGGUAUACUCUAACUUUAACUCUUCUUUUCUUGUGGUAAGUGAUUGAUAGAUGACAACCCAAGUCCCCAAGAUGCUUGAACCAAGUUCAACUUGGAAAGAAGCUAAAAUUGCACCUAGGGUCUGCUGUGCAGGCCCAGGGUUUAAAAAGAUAGCUCACACUCGGAAUUUAAGUGGAUUUUGAGAAAUAAUAGGGACCAAAAUUGAGUUAAAAUCAAAAGUGGUUUCUGAUAAGAGCUGAUGACAUUCAUGAUAGGCUAUAACAAUUGUGAUGGCUUAUCAAGAAUGUUGUCAAAGACUGACAAGAAUAAAGUGGUUUCUGUUUAGAGCGACGACAUUUGUGAUAGGCUAUCACAAUUGUGAUGGCUUAUCAGGAAUGUCAUCAAAACUUGUUAAAAUUUAGAAGGUGCUGGAUAAGGUUGAUGACCAUUGUGAUAAGAUAUCACAGUCAUGACAGCUUAUCAAGAACUAUCAUCACACCUGGAACCUGAAGCAUGAAUAAGCUGAAAUGAUUAAUAUGUUUGUGUUUGUGCUCUUGUGGACUAACUAAUGGUUUUUCUAAUGCUACAAGAACCUUAAAAUGGCACCAAAAGGAAAGAGCCCCAAAGCACCAAAUAAAGAAACCAAAGAAAGUGUACGUUGUAAGCUCAUUGACAAGGAAUCUGAUUACAAGAAGGAGGAACCCCUGCUCAAGAAGCAAAAGGAGAAGCAAAUACCGAAGAAACCUUCGACAACUCCACCCAUUGAAGUGGAGGAUAGUGAUGAUACUGAGACUACAACAUCACCAAAAAGUGUAGCUUUUGAACAUACUGCCUCUGAGCAAGAGGGUUCUGAACAGCACGAGUUUGACCAUGCCAAAUCUGAAGAAGAGGAAUAGGAAGGGUCUUAGGAGUUUGAGUCUAAGGGAACAGCAUCUAGAUCCCUAUCCACUGAACAACAAAAUGAUGAAGAGUCUCCAGCUUAGGGAACACUUAUCAAAUAUAAGAGCCCCAAAGUUUGAGAUAAUGUUAGAUGGAAAAUUCCCAGGGAAGAGAGCAUCUUCAUCGCUGGGCUUCGUAGAACUGAUACAAGAAGUUCUAAGAGGCCAAUUUAGGAAGAAAAGAUGAUUAUCACCAGAGGGUUGAGCAGGUACCCUGAAGUAGAAUAGAAGUUCCAAGAGUAUGGCUUGAGAUGGACCAUAAAAUGAGAAGGUUCAUUUUGCCUUGCACUAGUUUGGGAGUUCUACUUGAACUACUACGCUCGGUUGGAAAAUAUGUACAGGCUAGGUGAAAGAGUAGCAGACCGACCCCUGUUGGAUAGAGUGUAGGUAAGGGCGUAAGGGUUGAUGUCUCAAUCAUAACAAUCAAUAGUUUCUUGCAUGGUCCCUACUUCACUACUUAGGCCACCUUACCAUCAGUCUAUGCUCGGAUUAGGAACCAGGAGAAACAACGUCCAUAGUUGGCAAACAUCAUAGCUGAAGGAGAACCAACAUGGGUAACAAACCCAAAUAAAAGAAUAUGUAAGUCCUCUUUGACUCAAGAGGCAAAGUUUUGGUGGGGUAUAGUGCGUGUCGCUGAUGCCCACUGAUGGAGAUAACAUUCUUGGUGAUGACCAAGCUAUUUUAGUGGUGAGCAUGGUGCAGAACCUUCCCCUAAAUUUGGGAAAUCAUUGCUGAUGAGAUAAAGAUUAGAAUGUCGAGAACCGACACUACUUACCCUUUCCCUUGUAUUAUCAUAGAGUUAUGCCAAGCUGCUAAUAUGCCAAAGAUUGCAGGGGUUGAUAAUGACAUUCCUGCCUGAAAGAGUCACAACCCCAUACGGUAUGAUGAAAAUAAGCUAGGAUUAAGACUUGAUGGAGGUGCAGAGGUAGCAGCAGACCCUCUAGUUAUAGAUGCCGGUGCAAUACCUCAUGUGGAAGUGCAAGAUUCUGAGGCUGUGCAUCCAACUUCUUUAGCACAGGCAGGAUCCAUGCCUGAGACUGAAGCUAGCCCUUCAGUCCCUAAAACAGCAGCAGGAUUUGCAUUUCAUCUGAUUGAUAUCCAAAAAGUGGCUAAACAAGCCAAGUGGUGUGAGGCACAGCUACAUGUUUUUGCCAAAUAGUUUGCUGCUACAGUAGACAAGAGAAUUAAGGCUGCCCUUGAUCUUUUUGUGACUUUGCCUGAGCGGGUUGCAGCUUUGGAGAAUCGAUUCGAUGAGUGGGCAAAGGAAAUGUCAGGGGCUGAUCUUGCUAGAUUUAAAGCGGCAUUGGACAAGGUAAAGGAAGAUAUAGAGGUAUUGUAGAAGCACCAAUUUAUGAUACCAACAGGUCAGGCCAUACAUGAAUCUGAGGAAUAAAUUCCAAUGCUUGACCUCACUGGAGACUCACCAAAGAAAAAAAAGUGAGAAGAAAGGUAAAGGAAAGAAAAAGAGGUCCGAUAGUAAUAAAGAGCAAAAACUAAAGAAGAGGGAAAGAAAUAAGAAGGAGAAGGAUGAGAUGAAAAGGGUAUAAAUUGAGUCCUUAGUUGAUAACGAGAAAUGUGAGGCAGCCAUUCGAGCUAGGGCUGCAGGUGCCUCAUCUAGCAGGGCUCCAGCUACUGCAAAUCUAGAUGCUCCUAAUGGAGAGAAGACAGUAGAUGAUGCAGUAGCAGGGUCGGAGACCCAGGAUCUAUGUGCUUGAUUUCCUUCAGGUAUACCCUAACCCUUAGAGCAAUUUAUUUUUGAUUUUAAGUUGAGGGUGUAGGGUAGGGUGUUGUUGUAUCAUAUUUUAUAGAUAAUUAGGAGUAAUACAAGUUCAUGAGGAAGUUAGCUUGUUUUGUGAUUUUUGAGUACCUCUCCAGUGGUCUGAUAUAUUGUUUACUGUGUGAAUUACAUCCAUUUAUGCCCACUAUGCAUCUUUUUUUGGCUAUAGUCUGGAAAUUGAAUAACCUUUGUUAAACAAGUACAUGAACCGGAUAAGUAGUGAUAUGAAAGAUACUUGUGUGCCAUGUGUGUGUAAGGUCUUACUCAGUUCCCGUUGUGUGUUGAAUCUAGAACUUGCCCGGUUAGUCUUGCCAUGGUCAUAGGAUAGGAGUUAGGAAAGAAUCAUAGUCCGUUUUUUAUGAUUAGUCCACUUUUAUCCUAAAUAACCUUCCCAAUGUGAUUAAUAUCCCUUGAUCCCUGUUAGAGCCUAAUUAGCCUAUUUCUUUCUACGAUACCUCUCACCUUCCCGUUUACAUCACAAUGAACCUGUUUUGGCCCUGGUCCUCCUUGGACACAGUGCACCUUGACUUAGGCAAACAACCGAAGUUGAGGGUGGCUAUACAUGAUACAAAAUGAGUAUGAAGAGAGGAAGAAUAACAAAAAAGAAUAAAAAGUUGGUUCCAGUGAAAAAGGAAUAAUAAAUGAGAAAGCUGUGUAAAUGAAGAUAAAAAGAUAAUGUGAUAAUUGAAAAUACCGCAUCCAUCUUGAGCAUGUGUGAUCAAUAAAAGAGAGAAAGAAAAGAAGGUUGAGGGUUGAAACCCCGAGAGUUGAGUGUAGUUUCAAGGAUACAUAGUCACUCUAAAAUAUCCAUGAAUAUCAUACCAGCCCCGGGCCUACGUUACAAGCUUAAGAAAAACGCUAUAGUGAUCCUAACUGACCUGUCUGAAAACUUGGGUACUGAUUAUAAGGGCAAGCCUUUGGCAUUUGACAUACAUAGUUUGGAACUUCAUUCUGAGAGUAAAUCUUGUUUUAUCCCUCUUUUUAUGUAUUUGAAUUCUGAUAUGAGUGAAAAAGGGAUUUCUUUGUUGUGAGGGCACACGGUGUAUGUUACUAGUCACUGACUUGUUCAGAUGAGUGUGAUCUUGGUAUGGCAUGGUUGUUAUUGCUAAAUUUUUGUCGUAUCUUGAUUUUUCUAAACUGCAUGGUUGUUUUUUAAAACAUCAACAGUGAGCUUUAAAAUUGACUGACCUUGGAGGUGGUGAAUGUAUUCUGAACUAGUAUGAGUAGUUAGCUGCCAAAUUGUACAUUGUAUUCUCUUAGUUAUGUUAUGGUUGCUUGAGGACAAACAAUUGUUUAAGUUGAGGGUGUUGAUGUGUGAGCCUAUGCUAACAUAUUUGAGGCUUUUAACUCUAAAUAAUUGUAAGGUCUUGAACAACUUUAGUUGUUUUUGAUUAGUUUACUUUGAUUUUUACAGUAAAUGUUGAGAUACAGGAGAACAAAAAAUAAUGGAAGCAAAAAGGCUAAAAAGUGAAGCAAAAUAAAGGACAAGUGUGGCUGACGACGUUCAUGAUAAGUUGUCAGCCUGGUGAUAAGCUAUCAAGGAUGCCGUCAACCUUAAACAGAGAAUGGGAGUUGAAGACAUUUUUGUGACGACGUUCGUGAUAGGCCAUUAGGUUGGAGAUAAGGUAUCAACGUCGUCGUCAGCCUUAGGCAGCAAGAGCUAAAAUUACAGAGGAGCUGACGACAUUAGUGAUAAGCCAUCAGGUUGGUGAUAAGGCAUCAACAUCGUCGUCAGCAUUAGACAGCAGAAGCCAAAGGUGUAGAGAAGCUGACGACAUCUGUGAUAAGCCGUCAGACUCCUAAUAAGCCGUCACAGAUGCCGUUGUCUAUUCCGAGAAAAAGGUGCAACUUUAAUUUUAUUUCCUUAUUUAGGUUGAACUAUUUAAAUUUUUGUUUUAGGGUUUUCUAGAAAUUAUUCAUUCAUCAGCAUCAUUGUUCAGAAAAGAAAGUUUGAUACUUUGAGUCUUGGAGAAUAUUUUCUAAUCUUUCUUUCUCUAUUUUUUUUUUUGGAUUUGAACAAUACAACCAUUUUGGGGAUUUUAUUUUGUGAUCUAAGCUAUGAUUCACUAAUUAUUAUUCAUCCUUGUAAGUUAAUCUUCUCAAUUAUGAAUUCAAUUAUGUGUUUCGUUCUUUGCAUCAUGAGUGGCUAAACUCCGUAACCUGAAUUAUGGGAUCUACGGUUAGGUCAUGAUGAUGUGCUAAAAACUCAAGAUUUAAUAGGUGUUAGGAUUUCUUGAUAAUUCUAAGAUUUUAAUUAACGUUUGUUCGUUGCAAACAAUAGACACACCUACUUUGAUUUUCUUGAGAAAGAAAUCAUAUACAGUAGGAAGUAAAUUAUCAACAGGGACUCGGAAAUACUUCAUUUUAUAAUCAGCGUUGUAACAAGGUUGAUUAACCUGAGGUAAAAUCUGGGCAGUGAAUAGCGAUUUCCUAAGUCCAAGAGAAUUAGGAAGUUAGAGCUUAAAUAGGUCGAGAGAAAUUUGAGCAUAUCAUCGACAAAGAUAGCUUGUUAUCCUAACCACUGUGAGAAUCCGAGUCACCUUUAGCAUCUGUUAUGUACCUAAGCCCUAGUGAACAUAAUUCUAGUUAUUUACUAAAAUCUUGGUUACAAACAUCAAAAUUAAAGUGACAAACAAUCAUUUGUGAAACUUAAACCCCAAUUUUAGGAAGCGUUAAACUAUCAGUGAAUUAAAUCACAAACGACUUGAGUUCACACCAUAUUUCCUAUGGAAUUUGACCCCAGCCUAGUUGGGUUUUAUAUUGACAACGAUCGCUUAAACUCAUUCAAGAGUGUAGUUUGAGAGUUAUCAACCUGCAGGCAACUCUAGCUAAUAAGCUACCUUCCUAAAAUAAUUCAAAAUUCUAUAAGGGCCAACAUAUCGGGGACUUAGCUUCCCCUUCUUGCCAAAUCUCUUCACUCCCUUCAUGAGCGAGAUUUUCAAAUAGACUAAGGCACCAAUAUCAAACUCAACAUCUAUCUUCCUCACAUUUACAUAAGAUUUUUGUUAGUAUUAGGCUGUCUUCAGCCUCUCCUUAUUCAACUGAACUUUCUCUAUCGCACCAAACACAAAAUAUGGCCCUAUAAAAGCAACGCCAGCUACCUAAAACGAACUAGUAGAAGAUCUAUAUCUCCUCCCAUAGAGAGCCUCAAAUGGAGCCAUCUGGACAUUAUAGUGAUAGCUGUUAUUGUAGCCAAACUCAAUCAAGGAUAAGUUGUCAUCCAAACUACCUUUAAAAUCAAUAAUACAUUCUCUCAACAUCUUCUUUAAGGUAUGAAUGGUCCUCUCUGCCUGAACUUCUGUCUGAGGAUGAAAAGUUGUACUGAGAUGAACUUGGGUACCAAAACCCUUCUGAAAAGCUUUCCAAAAGUGAGAGGUAAACAGGGUACCUCUAUUUAAUAUGAUAGACAAUGGAACUCCAUAAAAAAUAACCAACUCUCUAAUAUAAAGCAUGGCCUAAUCCUCAACUGAAUACAAAGUAUGAACAGGUAGGAAAUAAGCAGAUUUGGUCAUUCUGUCUGUAAUGACCCAAAUCGAAUCAUGAUGACGAUGAGCACGAGGCAAACCUAUCACAAAAUCCAUGUUCACCACUUCUUACUUCCAAGUAGGGAUACUGAACUCCUGCAAUGCACCACUAGGUCUUUGGUGCUCAACUUUAACUUGCUGACAAUUUGAACACUUAGCUAAAAAUUUUGCAAUGCCUUUCUUUAUACCAUUCCACCAAUAGAUUUCCCACAAGUCAUGGUACAUCUUAGUGGCUCCUAGAUGAAUGUAAUAUCAUUCACCAUGCGCCUCUACCAAAAUCCUCUACCUCAAACCAUCAACACAUGGAACACAUAACCUACCUUGACAACGAAGCACACCAUCUCCCCCUUAGGAGAAAACCUCUACUUUCUGAUCUCUAACUGUUUUCUUCAACAUAACCAAACUGGGACCCCUAUCUUUCUUUUCCUUUACUUCAGGAACUAAAGAAAAUUUUGAACCAUUCUGAACCCAUAUACUGCCUUCAGCUGAAUCAACUAAUCAAAUACCAAAUCUAGCAAGCCGAUUAACCUCCUAGACUAACUUCUUCUUAUCCUCCUUAACCUGAGCAACUCUACCUAUAGACAAUAUAUUAAGGGCAUCUACCACUACAUUGUCCUUGCCAAUAUGAUACAACACAUGUAUAUCAUAAACUUUUAACAACUCAAGCCACCUUUUUUGACGAAGAUUUGAAUCUUUCUACAAUAACAUACUACAAACUUUUGUGAUCCAUGAACACAUCAACAUGAACCCCAUAAAGAUAGUGCCUCCAAAAUUUCAAGGCAAAAACAACAGCUGCCAACUCAAUAUCGUGGGUAGGAUAAUUCUUUUCAUAGGGUUUAAGUUGUCUAGAGGUGUAGGCUAUGACCUUACCUCUUUGCAUCAAUACACAACCAAGACCAACUCUAGAAGUAUCAUAGUAAACUAUGAAUCCCUAUGAACUAUCUAUCAAGGUCAGGAUUGGGGCUGAGGUAAUUCAAGUUUUCAACUCCUGAAAACUCUUCUCACAUGAAUUUGACUUUCUUCUGAGUCUGUUGAGACAUGGGGGAUGAAGUAAAGGAGAACCCUUCAAAAAACUAUCUGUAAUAACCAACAAAACCCAAGAAACUCCUGAUAUCUGAUGGAGAGAUGGGUCUGGGCUAUUUUCUCACUGCUUUGAUAUUUUAAUGGUCAACUCUAAUACCAUCAGUGAAAAUAAUAUAGCCAAGAAAAGCUACUGAUCUUAGCCAAAAUUCACACUUACUAAAUUUGGUUAAGAACUGAUGAGUUCUAAGGGUCUAUAAAAUAAUCCUCAGAUGAUUUACAUGAUCAUUCUCACUAGGGAAUAGACAAGGAUAUCAUCAAUGAAGACUAUGGCAAACAUGUGCAAGUACUUCUUAAACACUCUAUUCAUCUAGUCCAUGAAAGGUGUAGGGGCUAUCAUUAGUACAAAAGACAAGACUAGGAAUUCGAAGUAACCGUAGCGAGUUGUGAAGGCUAUCUUUGAAAUGUCACAUUCUCUGACUCUAAGCUGAUAAUAGCCAGAUUUGAGGUAUAUCUUAGAGAAAUAACUGGUACCCUAAAGUUGUUCAAAUAAGUCAUCAAUUCUAGGGAGUGUCUUUCUUAACUGUGACUUUGUUCAACUAACGAUAAUCGAUGCACAUUCUGUGAGAACCAUCUUACUUAUGCAUGAACAAGGCUGAGUAGCCUCAUAGGGAAACACUGGGCCUGAUGAAUCCUUAUAUAAGAGUUCCUUCAACUAUUCCUUAUAUAAGAGUUCCUUCAACUAUUCUUUCAAUUCCCUAAGAUCAGCUGGAGCCAUUCUAUAGGGAAAAAUAGAGAUAGGCUGGGUAUCUGGAAGAAGAUCUAUUCCGAAGUCAAUUUCCCUUUCACGAGGAACUCUCGGGAGGCCAUCAGGGAACUCAUUGGGAAAUUCCCAUACUACUGAAACUGACUUGAGACUAGGAGUCUCAGAACUAGAGUCUUUGACUUGAACAAGAUAGUACAUGGACCCCUUAUAUAUCAUUGUUCUUGCCUUAAGAUAAGAAACAAUUUGACCCUUAAGAACUGAAGUACUACCCCGCCAUUCAAUAACUAGUUCAUUGGGAAACCAAAACUGAACAACUCUAUUUUUGCAAUCCACUAAGGCAUAGCACGAAUAGAGCCAAUCCACAUUUAGGAUGACAUCGAAAUCAGUUAUCUCUAAGUCUACAAGAUCUACUAAAUUGUUUUUCUAAGAGUCAGGAAAUUUCUGUAUAUCCGUCUGGCUAUAAUAGAUUUACCUAUGGGGGUAGAAACUAAUAAAGUCUCUACUAAUGUUUCUGGACUAUCACUGAAAUUGAAAAUUAUAUAGGGGUUAUAAAAGAAAGUGAAGCUCUGGGGUCUAAUAAAACUUACACUUAAAGAUGAAAAACCUAUAACGUACCCGUAACCAUAUAAGGAGAACUUUCCUGAUCAUAUCGGGAUAAGAGUUCAUACAGUCUGUUAUGGUGUUGCCCGCUGAUGGCACUAGAAGUAGUGCCCUUUUGGGUCAGACGACCUGGUGGUGCUGCUGAAGAAGUAUUCUGGCCCUAUUGGCGAUCAUUUCUGCCCCUCCGCGCCACCACCAUACACUCUUGAAUCCUAUGGACUAUUAUCCCACAUGCAAAACAUGUCACUACCAGCCUUUCAGACACCCUGAUAAUUUCUACCACUCUUCUCGUACAAAAGAUUUGUACAGCCACUAUUCAUACUACCCUGGGACUUAGAUCCUAGCGCUCUAUCCUGAUUAUCAUUCUUGAACUUUGGCACUGGCACACUAGCUAAAGAUGGAGAUAGGGCUGAGAACUUCUGACAGAACUAAGAAUGAUUUCCACCUUCUGACCUCGGCUGAGAAAAGUUAAAACUACCUGGUUUGGCCCUCUUAUUCUUUCUCUCUUUCUCCUUAAGCUUCUCUUCCUCAGUCUGCUAAGCAUGAACUAUGAGCCUAUUUAGGUCCAUGUCCUUAAUCAACAUAGUAGUUCGACACUCCUUGACCACACUAUUAGAUACACCAAAAACAAACUUACUUAUUCUAGACCUAUUAUCAGCCACCAAUGAAGACGCAUACCUCACAACUUAGUGAACUUAAGUGAGUAUUCCUUUACACUCAUAUUACAUUGUUUCAAAUUGAUGAACUCUUGAACCUUAGCUUCUUUCAAAUCUAAAGGAAAGAACCUGUCUAAGAAACUAGUGGAAAACUCCUACUCUACAGGCCUUGCCUCAACAUUUCUAUCUUUCUUCCACUUCUUACACAAUGUGUGAGCUGCAUCUUGCAACUGGUAAGCAUCAAAAUCGCACUCUCACUCAAAGUGUAACCCAUGAUAUCUAUCACUUUUUGAACCAUAUCAAUAAACUCCUGCAGAUCUUUCUCAGUCUUCAAUCCCAAAAAACAAAGGGGGAUUUAUUCGAGUAAAAUCUUGAAUCCUAGCUAUAACUUUAUUUUCCACUGGAUUAGCAAGGGCAACAGCCUACUGAUUGUUCUGAAUAGCUACUGAGUGAGCUAAGGUAGUGAAAACAGCUCUGAAUUUGACGUGAGAGACAUGCUUGUUCAGGGGGUUUUCCUGAACAAGCGGUGGUGCAGGAUGGUUCUCGUUGCUUUUUCUAUUUUUUCUUUUUGGAGGCAUUAUUUGUAAAAGAAAUGAAGGAUGAGUUAUAAAGAGAGUUUAAAUAGAUUUCAUGCUCAUUCGCACGAAAUGAAUAUUGAAAGAAGGGAAACAGUUCCUAAAAUAUCUCAUAGCCUCUUAUCCAUAAGAGUGGCGCGCUUCACACCCAUGAAUAAGACUCUACUCAAUGCGGCUUUCAAAUUUCCUAGGACACUUAAAAACCUUAGGCUCUAAUACCAAGUUUUUUCAUGACCCAGGGCUUCCCCCUAGUCACGACAACAGUUCUUACGGUAACAAGUGUCAAUAAGCUAACCCAUGUGCUGACACCUAUUGAGAGUACUGAAUAAAAUAAUAAUAAUGGACAUAUAUGGAAAAUAAUUGAUAAAGACAUAAAUUCUAAAUACUAAAAGCUUAUAGGUGAAUCAAAAGUAUAAAACAUCUGAUAAGACUGAUAAAACUGACGAGCUAUCUAACUGACAGUCGAAUGUCUAAAAGCCUCUAAUCUGACUGAGGAGUUGAUGGGACAGACCCCCAACUAGCUCUAAUUGAUUUAAUAAAAUUAAAUACUAAAAUAACUAAAUAAUUAUAACAUGUCCUCGAUGGAUGAGGACUCACCACUAUGGUUGCUGGAUUAUGCUGAGCUGUCUAACUGCGGUUGGGAAACUGUGCAUCCGAAUCUAUAAUAUAAGACAUCAUUGCGCAAAGAAGAGUAUUCAGUCAGUACUUUCGAUAUGCAUGAGAUACUGUGUAUAUGAAAUAAGAACUAACUGAAUAGCAUGAGAUAACUAAACAUAAAUGCAUAAAAACUGUAAUAUCUAAAUGUCUGUACACUUAGUCAAGAAAACCUGAUUUGAAAAUACAUUAAAUACUAUACUAAGAUUUUGAGAGAUAUCAUCUAACUGAUAUGCCCUAAUCUAAGCUAAUUGGGAUUCAACCUAUAACCCCAAUUGGAAGGGUGUUAGUACUGUGCCACAGGUACUAACACUGGCUGUGUGGAUCCACUAAUUUGGUGUCUCGAAGGACCAGGGUGUCAAGCCUAAAUUGAUGGGUGACCCCUAAGAGGAUGUCAAUCCUAAACUGAUGGGUGACUUCGCAUAUCUUAUGUUGGCUACAUAGUUCUAGAAUGAGGGGACUGCUACUAAUGACUCUGCCUAACUGACAGGGUAGCCUCCACCCCUGUAUUCGCUUGGUACAAAAUCCUACUCCCAACUUAUCUGACACUGGAACUGAAACUAGACUAACUUUAACUGAAAUUAUUUCAUGACUGAUAGUGCUAAUUAUGAUCAUAAUAACAUAAUAAACAUGAAUAAUGAUGGUUUAACGGAAAUCAUACUUGAAAAUCUAAAAAUCAUGUAAAAUACGUAGGUAUUGGGUGUUCUUAACUUACCAGCACUAAAUCAUCACUGAAUGUAAGAACAAACUUAAAACUGUAGUAAAGGAUCAUGGUUCAAAACCCUUAAGCAUAGACAUUUCAUCAAGCAUAUAGGGAUCAUGAAUUUAACAUGGGAAUGCUUUCUAAGAAUUAUAAAUUCAUCAUAAAAUUCACUUGACUAAAUCAUGGGACACUCAAAUUCAUAGCAUGAGGAAUUCAAAAUCUUGCAUGGGAUCAUACAUGCACUAAAUUGCAUUUAAAUUACCAUGGAAACAUGAAUUAAACCCAUCUUAAGUAAUACAAAAUAUAAUAAUGAUAGAAAAAUUCAAUCUUUCAUCGAAGUUUUGAGCUCCAUGAGUGAAAGAAAACACAUGAAUGAAUAUCCCACAUACCUUAAACCUUUAACUUAAAAAAGAAAUACAAAUCUUGAUGCUUUCUUGAAGGUUCUUUAACUUGGGGAACUUGAAUUCUUUAUUUCCUGGGGUGAGAGGAAUUGAAUUUAUGUUCUUGGGAAAGAGGGGGGGAGGUUUCUUGAGAGGGAUUUGGAGAAGAAGGACAAAUAAUCCCCAAAAUAAUGUCCUAAUUCGUGUUAGGCUCUGUAGCUUUUUCGUCCUAAAUAUUCCAUGGAUGAUAUGGGUUCAGCUCCCCCUGCUGAAAGGGCCUCAUAGAGUAUAGUCAUACUACCAGGGAAGUAUCCCAUAGGAUAACUAGUACAUACCCCAAUAAUCUGACAUCAUGCACACGGUACGCUAAGACCAAUCCUCAUGUCGGUAAAUAUGAGUUUCUAGUUUUGGUCCCCUGAGACCACCACAUUCCACAGCCUUGCGUCAUACCCCACCAUUAAUGCCCCAUUAAAACUAUUUCCAGCAAUGCAACCAAUCCAUUUACCAUUUUAUUAAUCAAGUCUAAAUUAGUGGUAUCGUCACACCACCCCAUUACUUGCAAGCAAUAUCUAUAGCCAAACUAUUAAGGUAAAGGGGACUUUCAAGUGCACUUCCAUAUACCAUAUUAAACCUUUUGGGAGAAUUCCAUCUUCCCUACAAGCAUAACUAUUUAGCCUUUUUCAAACUAUUUAAACUAUUUAAAGCUUUAAUACAUAAGCAGAAAACAAAUAAUAGUUCUUUAAAAGAAGUCUAUGCACUGAAUAUACCUUUAUAAGCAUUAUAUCAAACACCUAGGGGGCAUAAUAUAACCAAAACAAAUUCUACAGACAAAUAAACAAUUACUAUGCAAUCUAAUUUUCCAAAUACCACCAUUAAUGCAUAUAAAAGCAUAAUUAAAACCACAGAAAAAUAUAACCAAGCAUUUAAUAUCAAAACCCCUAAAUAAUAGUCAAAAACCAUAAUCAUGAAAUAGUAAAACCAUGAAAUCAACCAUAUAAACCAUGCGUUUAGUUGAAAUUACAAUAAGGGAAGAGAAUCAUGCCUUAUACCGAAGAAUUGAUGAAAGGAAAUCACCAAGACAAGCCCCAAACCAAUCUGCAAGAUAAAACCCUAGCCUUCUUUCCCCCAAAGCUCUUGAGAAAAAUAUGGAUUGUUUUGGAGUAGUUUUUAAGGGUUAAUGAAUAGAAUAAUAGGGUAAAUAACCUCUUAAGCAUAUUAGAAGUCAUGGGUUAUAAUUUGGGUAAGUAGGGAAAUAUCCAAAAUACCUCUACUUAAGUUGCAUAAAAUUACGUCAUAGGGAUACAACUAACAUAUACGAGUCUCACCUUCUUAUAUGAUUGGUUUCCACCGCUAAUAUUCAAGCCUCACCCAUUUGUAUUAGACACUGUCACUCAUCCACCAAGUCAUGACCAUAACAUACAAUUCGUACCUAUGACCCGUAGCCCUGAUAGAAUGAAAUACAAGGAGGAUCAAAUACUGCCCACCAUACGAGUUCCUAAUACGACUCGUACCAAGCCCUACGACUCAUACCCCUAAGUUAAAACCAUUUCAGUGACCAAAACUAUCCUACCAACUAACACUGGUCAUCAUACGACUAGACCAUACAACUUGUAUCCCAACAUAUGGCUCGUACCCAUGAGUCGUAUUGGGUAUAGAGAAUAAGAAUUCUAGGAAAUUUUCUAAGGGUGAAAACCCAGGAUGUUUAACCAUCCCAUGGCCUAGUAGAGCUAGUACAAGAGCCACUAUAAAUACAGUUUAUGUUCUAAAAUAGUGAAUACAAUCCUGUGUUAAAACUAAAUAUGAGACAUACAUAGAUAGAAGAAAAUGGGGUAAUUCUGACUCCAAAGGCUGACCCUAUCUUCGAAUCAGCAAUAGAAAGAUCGUCAAUAACACAACAAUAGCUAGUACUCAGAUCUACAUAAAAAAGGUACAGAAGUAUAGUAUGAGUACCAAAGCCAUAGAUACUCAGUAGGCAUCAUCGACCAAAUGAGAAAAAUAAUGAUAUAGAUAUAAUAUUAUGUAAGAAAACAUAACUAAGUCAAGGUAAGGAGGAAAACCUAAAAUAACUCCAACAUCACUUUACACAAAUAAUUGAAAAAAAAAACUUGAAAUAACAUAAAUGCUUGAAAUUACAUCUAAUGAAUUUCCCCCAUAAGCUAAUACAUGGGGAAAAAUAAAUAACCCAUCCCCCUAAAGACUAGAAGGUACACUCAAAGAUAGUAUAAUUUUAACCACAAUCAUUUAUCAAUCCUUUGGAUACAACUAGAAUUUAUCCAUAUAAUGCCGCAUUACAACAAUUUCCUCUUCUGUACUUGCACUGUUACUCAUAUCAUUAAUGUCAUAACCUAUAACAGGACUCAAAUCGAUAAGUAUAGUCAGUAUCAUAAUCCAUAGUUAAACUUAAACAUGUAAAUAUAGUCAAUAUCAUAAUACAUGUGAACUCAAACAAGAAAAUAUAUAUAUCGCGAAUACCUUCCUUAAUAUUUAGACCUAAAUCGGAUUAUAUAUAUCAUUAAUAUAAUAAUUAAUAUCAUAGCCACCGAUCUUAUGAUAUUUAGCAACAACUCUAAUAUCCCAUAAUCAUAAAUAUCAAGUAAUUAAUACCAUAAAGCCUCAUAAUAAGCAUUUCAAAUCAUAUCACAAUCCUUCAAAAGUCUGCUAUGACUAGUUUAAGUCUUGGCCUAAAGCAGGUCAAAGAAACCCACUUCUAAUACCCAAAAUCCAUUUUAAGGAUAACUCUACCUUGGAUAAAUAUAAGGUAUAUAAAUUCAGUUUUGGAUAUUAAACAAGCAGUAAUUAGCCAUAAGAUAGGAUCUCUAUUGAGGAACUAAGAAACUUAGUCAAAUAAACCUAAAUUACGAUUUUUGAAUAGCCUAAAAGUUUCAACUAACCCAAGUAUUGAAAAUUUCAUCACCAAUCCCUAAAAUCCAUCCGCAAUCUAAUAUGAUAUCAUAAAUAUAUGAUGACAUUUAUCAAUCUAUAGAGAGGGGGAAACCUAACCUAUGUGGACGUCGAAGAAAGGUCCAAAAAUCCGAUAAAUAAUGGUUUUUCCCUUACGAGAAAGUUUCUCAAGGUUCCACAUUGUAAAAAUCAUAAUCUACUCAUUAAAAAGAAAAUAAUGAUACCAAUAUUGCACUAUUAUGCAUGGGUCACAAAGUACUCAAAAAUCCCAUGGGUCCCAUUUACGAAAAUCACAUUUCUGAGGCCAACCCAAUGUUCCCUCAUGCUCAAUGAGUAAUUACUCUAAAAAAUAGGUGAAAUCUGAGCUACAUUGGUGCCAAAAUAAUGUCACCAAGGUUUAGGGAUCUUAGAUAGUAAAAAGGGAAAUUCUCACAUAAAAAUAAAGGAUUGUUACCACCUAUUCAAAGGAAAAUUACGUAAUAAAUCAUUACCAAGCUCAACAAUCACCCAUAAUUGUGAUUCCUAAGUUAUCUCACUUCUUAAGGUUUAAGUCUCUAUAGAAUGGAUGGAAAAUGGGCAAAAAGGGACUAAAAAUAAAAUAUUUAUAACAUCCCCAGGUACACUGGUAACACAAUCAUGAUGCAACAUCGCAAUCGCAAUCCUUGGCCUUAGGGCAUAACUUGCUAUUGCAACAUGGACAUUGUGAUCGUGAUAAUGGCCAAGCUAGAAAUAGUGUAGCUUUUGGAACUAGAAAAUCCCGCGUUCACAAAAUUUUCUAGUUGGUUUCAAGACCGCUAUCGCGAUCAAUGACUCACGAUCGCCGGUACACCAAUACCAACUUAGACUUGGAAAUUUUCAAGUACCUACCAACCCCUUGAGAAUCAUCCAGAAUUCUAUAUACAUAAAUGGACAAUGCUACCCUAUCAAAUUUGAAAUUCUUGACUCAAUGGUAUAGUUAAAAUUUCCAUCUGAGUAUGUUUCAAUAAAAAGUAGGUCCCACACCCAACUUACCAUUUUCAUAUUUUUUAACCAAUAACUCAAAGUGAGCUCGGGUGCCUCAGGAUCUGAACUAGGAGUCCACCUUAUACAAAUUAAAUUUUAGAGUAAUUGGAACCAUUAGAAUUGGUAUACAAGGCUAUUUAGAUAAUUUUGACACUUGGUAGCUAAUUUGAACAAGCAAAGACCUCAAAAUUGGGAAUUAACUCUAAAAAACAAAUGAACUGCCUAGUGACUAAACUGUCAGUCCCAGUAAGUCAUAAAUGACCUGGUGUAGCUAUAGGAAACUCUAACAAUGAAAAUAAGAAGAAAUACAGAAAAUAACUUCAAGGGUCAUUACACAUAGAUAACAUUUGCAUAAAUUGGGUAGGUAGUAUUUUUUAAUGCAACUCUGUUCCAUGCGUGUGUUAGAUGUUUACCUUGUUGACCUUAUGCAUUUAAUCUAGAAUAUUCCCAGUUAGUCUUGGCUAGGUUGUAGGAUAUUUGGUUAGGAAGUAAUCAUAGGUCAUUCUUGAUUUAGUCCACUCAGAGCCUAAAUGACCUUCCAACUGACAAUAAAAAUCUCUUGAUCUCUAUUUUAAGGUUACAUACUCUAUUUUAUUAUAUUGACCUUUCACCUUCCCCGUUUAGUUAUAAUGAACCUGUUUUAGACCUGUUCCCUCCUUGUACAUUAUGCACCUCAAUUCAAGCAAAACAUUUAAGUUAAGGGUCGUUAUCAUUGGGGUGUAUGAUUAGAAUUGGGUAUGCAAAAAAGUUAAAUAAGAGAAACGAAAGUAGGGUUGGGAGUGGUAAAAAGGAUAAAAAGAAAGAGAUAAUUGAAAAAGAAAAUAAAAGCAUAAGAAAUAAUAAAAGAAACACCCAUUUCGAAUAAGUAAUAAUAGUAAAAUGGGAGAAAUAAGGUAGGCAUAAAAAAAAAGAAAAGCGGUUGAGGAGUAGGCCCCAAAUAUAAUUAUAUUGUCAAUGAGGGUUUGUCACUGAAGUUCUAAUUGCACCAUAACCGCCCCAAACCUCCAUUACAAGCUAAAUGAAGUCCUAUACUGAUCCUAGUACGACUGUUCAAAAAAGUACGAUAAAGAAAAUAAGGGAAAUCCUAUUGUAUUCUAUGCACCUUCAUUGGAACAUCUUUUAUGAGUGUGAGUGUCUCAGGAUAUAUGGGUUGUAUUGCUAGCUGCUUGUCUAUUCGGGUUGUGUAAUAAGUACAUUUGCUUCAUUGUUUGUUGCUAAUGUAAUGAAAUAGCUUGAUUCCUUUGUGUUGCAUUGUUAGGUUACAUAAAUCCACAUAGUUUAUUUUUUAAAAAUGAAAAUAGAAAUGGGUGAUGUUUUUUAGUUUAAAUUGAGUUGACUACCGUAGGUACCUUAGGUAUCUUUUUUAUGAGCAUCAUCUUGUUGUUUUUGUUAUUGUUUUUGUUGCUUGAGGACAUGCAAACAUUCUAAUUUAAGGGUCUUGAUGUGCCAUAGUUGUAUAGCACUCUUAAUGCUUAAAACUAUGAAAAUAUGCAAACACUUAGGCUAUUUUAUUGGAUAUGAUUGUGUUUUUAUGUAUGUUGCAGGAAAAUAUGAUUGGAAAUGAAGUGGAAUCAAAUAAGUAGAAAAAUCUUUGAAAAUUGAAGUUGCUACCUGGACUACGAGUCGUUGGGUGACUAUAUGACUCAUAGCCUAAGUUGUCAUGAUAAUAGUGAUGAUAGCUUAGAGGAAGAGUAAAGUUAAAGUUGGCUAUAUCUUGUAUGGAUUGACAACGAGUUGUAUGAUGAAGUCAUUAUGAGAAAAGUUGACCAAAGUUCUGAAGAUAUUCAAGUUGGAGCCCUAGUGGAAACAAAGGUGAAUACGAGUGGUAAUGAAAAUCCAUGACUCGUAGGGAGGAACUAUUUUGGUAAUAGUAAGAAAUAUCCUAAAAGAUGAAAGUCCACUGUAGCCAUAAUAAUUCCGGACAACGACUCUUAGGGUCUCAUGCCGAGUCAUCAUCACUGAGUAAAAAAAGAAGACAAUGGAAGCUAACAACGAGUCAUCAUCAGUCCAGACAACUCGUUGGCUAUGGCAUAGCCAUUGUUGACCUUAUUUUCCUAUUUAUUUUUUUUAGGUUUCCUAUGUUAUGUUGAGAUGCUAUAAAUACCCCUUAUAUAUUUUUUUUAAUAGAUUAUGCACUCUUUACAUUCACAAACAUAUAUUUGAUUGAAAGAUUCUAAUUUUGAUCUUGGAAUCGUUUGUUAUUCAUUUCUUCGUUGAGUAUUAGUUUAAGAAUUUUUUUUAUGUUUUCAAUUGUUGUGAGAUUCAUAUUAUGCUUACUUUAUUUAAUUCCGUGGAUCUUCUUGCAACUUUGGGCAGCUAGACCACCUUACUAGGGUUAUGGGAACCCUGACUGACUAAAUAAGUAGAGAAAGUGAGAUGUUCUUCAAAAUUAGUGUGUGCAUGUAUUGUGAUCUUCUUUGACAUUAUCUUCACAAAAGAGUUUGAUAUUAGGAAAAGAAGGUUACAACAGUAAUUUGAGGAUAUCAAACCUCAUUUAAUCAACUUGACAUCCAAAAGGAGAUAGUUGAACUAGGAUCAGCGAUAAGAAUUAGUAAGGAGAUACUUUAAGACUCACAAGGUGAAGAGUGAAAUUUACCAAGGCAUUUACAAGAUGGUUGGUGAUACCUAUCUUGUCAGAUUCUGCAUGCAAUGCAUUGAGCUAAUCAGAUUGAGCAUGAUUAGUCAAUAGAGUUAUGAAGCCAGGGGGAUCACUGUCCUAGUAUGACAUGACCUUACACCCCGUGUCAGAUAAAUUCCGAACAUAUAACAAGAUAAGAGAAUAUAAAUUUAGACAUUUAUAAUAAGUCUAUAACCAAACCCAACCAAUACUAAUACCAAUGCCAAUACCAAUUCCAAUACUGGCACCACCCAUGCCUACAGUCGUCUGACAAUGAUUCUAAUCAAGACCAAAGAAUAUCCAGUCGGGAUAUGCCCCCGACCAUAGCUAAAAAAAACCUAAGAAAUAAUAAGGACAUAAAGAAAUUGAUAGCAUGAAAUGAGGCCUUCCAAAGAAUGGAAGCUCACCACUUCAGGCUAUCUGAAAAGUUGUCCUUAAGUAACCUAGUCAUUGAGGAAGAGGAGUGGAAGUAUGAACGGUUCCUGAAUCGCGUGGGAAUACAUCAUCUAAAUAUGGAUAGCGGGGUGAGCACUAGUAUGUUAAUCAAGGAUAAAGAUAAUAUAAUAACAUUAAUCAUAAACACAGUCCAACCAACACACAUAAGCUUAUGCAAACACACACACACACACAUAUAUAUACAAUGCCGAGAUAGGAAAUAAGAUUUAGCUUGUAUUUCAAAACCUUAAACUGGGUUGGGUAGGUUUACCGUCAUAAGUCAAUCCACGGGCUAUAUGGGUUCAGUGUUACCCCGUGAAUGGGGCAAUACAUUUUAUCCGCAUGAACAAGUGAUAUCAUAAAUGUCCAGGGAUUCCCUUGUACCCUUGGCCUUCCAUGAUACAUAUAUACGUAUAUAGGCCUGGGGGAUUCUCUUGUACCCCAUAAGCACACGAUCAUAAGACCAACCCUCAUGUCAUCAAAUAUGACUUUCCAGUGUUCAUCCUUAGAACUCACACCUUCAUAGCUAACUACAUUAUUGCCCAAUUAAAACAUUUAACAAAAAUCCAAAUAACAAUCACAGGAAUCAAUUAUUAAGGCAUUAUUAAGUGGCAUCAUCAUACCGACUAUAGAUUGCAAGCAAUAUCAUUAGCCAACACUUAGGGGAUUCCCAAAUACCCCACAAACUCCAUUAUUAAAAACACUUGGGGGAUUUCUUUGUACCCCACAAGGUUUUCAUAAAUCAUUCACUUAGGGAAUUCUGUUGUCCGCCUAUGAGGUUUUGUUUAAUACUAUCCUUAUCCAUGUAACCAUUUAUACCAUGCAUUAGUUUCAAGAAAUAAUCCAAGCCAAGUGAUAAUGCAUAAACUAAAAUCAACUAUGCAAGUGGGUUGAGUUUAUUACCAAUUUCCAUACCAAAACAACCAAUUUGGGGAUUCCAUUAUACCCCUAUUUCCAUCCACCCCAAUGCAUUGACCAACCAUCAAUUUAAGCACAAUAGUUUCAUAAAUAUCAUAGAAAAAGCAUUUAAACAAUUUAUAUUAAGAACCCUCAACCUAUAAUUCAAAAUCCAACAUCAAUAUUUUAUGAACAAUACUUUAAAUCACAUGCUUUUACAAAAUUGACAAUGAGGGGAGGGUAAUAUACCUUAAACAUAAAGUAGUAUAGAGACAAAUCACCCUUGUAAGCCUCAAUUGAUUAAUCAUUUGGAAACCCUAAAUGUUCUUAACCUUGAGGAUUUGAGAGUGUUUGAGAGUCUAUUUGAUAUGUUUAUGAGGACUAAGGAUAACCUAAAAGAGGUUAUAAGAUAUGGGUUUCAAGUUGGGAAAAAGGGAAAAUAUCCACAAUGCCCUUAACUUAAAAGCUAGAAACAUGUCAUCUUUGACUAUAAGUCAACCAUUGACUCAUAACCUCUCCUUACCACUCGUAAUCAAGAAUUGUAACCAAUAUGGUGACCAUGAUCCCCAUAUAAUGUUAACCUUAUGACUCAAAAAUCUUACUUGAAACAAGACUAUAUGACUCGUAUGGUCAAGUUGUAGUCAACAAACAACUCAAUAGGGUUGAACACCUGACAUCCUACAAUUUUAUCUCAAGACUCGUAACAUAUCCUUACUGCUCUUAGUGAGCCACUCGUACUCAAAGCAGAUAUAACCCACAAACUUACAUGAUUUGGUUAUAAGUCAUCCUAACAACUCGUCACUAGCCUUUACGACUCAUUCCAUCGAAUCAUAACCAGGAUAAAAACUCAAAACUACACACUUUUCACCCUACGACUAGGGUCACUUGACCCAUCAAGACACCCUGCGACUCGUGGGGUCAAGUCUUAACAAAUGCAUUGAGCUCAAAGCUCAAGAAAUUUUUAAGGGCCAACAUCCAGGAUGUUUAAAUUCUCCCCAACUUGGUUUAUUCAUCUUUGAAUGAUGGGAAAAGGUGUUUACCGGCACCAUUAGACCCCAAACAUCACUACUCUUACCUGUAAAAUAAAAAACAAGAAUACCAAGGAAUUUACAAUUUCCAUUUAACAAAGAUAAAAAAACAUGUUAAGCGGCAUAUAACUCAAGCACUAUUUUCUGAAAUAGGGAAUAGAAAUGGAUACUUGGACUUUAUGUCCUCUUCAACUUCCAAAGUAGACUCUUUAACCUUGUGGUUCCUCCAUAGAACCUUUAAUGAAUCUACGUCCUUAGUCCGCAACCGACGAACUUGCUGAUCUAAUAUUUCAAUCGGGAGUUCCUUAUAAGACAAGUAAUCCAAAAUACCAAUAUCCUUGAUAGGCAUAAUCAGGGACAGAUUACCCACACACUCCCUCAACAUUGACACCUGGAACACCGGGUGAACGGAGCUCAAACAAAAAAGCAUCUCUAAUUCAUUUACAUUAUUGUCAACCCUCUUUAAGACCAAGUAAGGGCCAAUAUACCGGGUACUAGGCUUCCCCCUUUUCUAAAACAGUAUUACUCCCUUCUUGGGAGACACCUUUAAGAACACCCAAUUACUAACCUCAAACUUUUGCUUCAUAUGCCUCACAUUUGGAUAGGACUUUUUGUGACUUUGGGAGUCUUUAAGUCUAUCCCAAAUCACCUUUACCUUCUUAAUGGCUUGAUAAACCAAAUUUGGGCCAAACAUCUCUACCUCACCAACCUCAAACCACCCGAUAGGAAACCUACACAUCCCACCAUACAAAGCCUUAAAUGGAUUCAUUCUGAUAAUAGUAGAGUGGUAGCUAUUAUCCUACGUAAUCUCUAUGAGAGGCAAAUAGUCAACCUAACUACCACCAUAGUCAAUCAUGCAAGCUCGAAACAUAUCUUCUAAAGUAUGAAUAGUCCUUUUCGCUUGCCCAUCCAACUGUGGAUAGAAAGAAGUACUAAGGCUCACCUUAAUCCCCAAACCCCUAUGAAACGAGUCCUAAAAGUAUGAUGGGAACAAAGCACCAUGAUCUGACAUGAUGGAAAUAGGCGCCCCAUGGAAAUUAAUAAUUUCCUCAAUAAAUUCUACAUAAUUCUCCACUACAAAAUUAGUCCUCACUAUUAAGAAGUGAGCAAACUUCAUCAUUCUAUCCACGAUGACCCAGAUCAAAUCAAAAUGAUUUCGAGAUUAAGGAAGACUGACAAUGAAAUCCAUAUUAACUACUUGCCACUUCCACACAGGAAACUCAAUUUCUUGAUACAACUUCCCAAGGCCUCAAGUGCUCUACUUUCACUUGUUGACACACCAUGUAUUUAGCCAUAAUACUGACCACAUCUUGCUUUAUAUUAUUCCACCAAUAUAUCUUCUUGAAAUCAUGAUACAACUUUGUCAAACUAGGAUAAAUGGCACAACACAUCCCGUUAGCUUCCGUCAAAAUCCUCUGUCGUAAUCGAUCAAUAUUGGGAACACACAACCUCCCUUGGUACCUUAAGAUACCAUCACUCCUAAUCACUAAGUCCAUCACCUUGUGUGGACCUACGUCUCCCAUAAUCUUUAUUAAGAUAGGAUCUAAUACCUAUUUCUCCUUUAUUUUAGUACCAAGAGAUGACUGUGCCACCUUUUACACAAACCCACAACAAUUUUUAAGUCCAAGAGACAAACUCCAAGUUUAGAUAAAUGGUGAAUGUCCUUCACUCAUUCCCGCUUAUCCUUAUGUACAUGAGCUAGACUCCCCACUAAUAACUACUAGGAGUAUCAGCAACCAAAUUAGCUUUACCUAAUUGGUAGUGAAGAAUCAUGUCAUAAUUCCUGAGUUGCUCAACCCAUAUUCUUUGCCUAAGAUUUAGAUCUUUUCGAGUGAACACAUAUUACAGUAUCUUAUGAUCAUAUUAGAUAUCCACAUACGCUUCAUACAAAUAGUGAAGGCGGAUUUUCAACACGAACACUGCAACUAACAACUCCAAGUCAUAAGUUAGAUAAUUCUUCUCAUGCACCUUCAACUAUCUCGAGUCAUAAUCCACCACCUUGCCAUAUUGCAUCAAAAUGCAUCCAAGCCCGACACGGGACGUAUUACAAUAAACCACAAAACCAUCAAUGCCUUCGGGCAAUGUCAAGACUAGAGCCGAAGUCAGCUUAUCCUUCAUCUUCUAGAAACUACCCUUACAAUCAUAAGACCACAAGAACUUCUCCUUCUUCUGAGUUAACUUAUUAAACUAAGAAGCUAUAAAAGAGAAACUUUCCACAAAUCUCCUAUUAUAACUGGCUAAACCUAAAAAUCUUAAUACAUCGGUUGGAUUCAUGGGGUCUAGGCCAUUUAUAACCUUCUGUGGAUCCACCAUGAUCCCCACACUUGAUAUGACAUGAUGUAGAAAAGUAACAAUGUUAAACCAGAACUCACACUUAGAUAACUUAGCAUACAAAUGCAAGUCUUUCAAGGUCUACAACACUAUACAGAGGUGAUCUGCAAGAUCUGCCUCACUCUUAGAGUGCACCAAAAAAUCAUCUAUAAAAACAACGACAAAUAAAUCUAGAAAUUUAUGAAAGACCCUAUUCAUUAAGUUGAUAAAUGUUGUCGGGACAUUAGUCAAACUAAAUGACAUAACUAAGAACUCAAAAUGUCCAUAUCGAGUAUAGAAAGCAGUCUUAGGGAUGUCCACCUUCCUAAUCAUUAACUGAUGAUACCUGGAUGAUCGAUCUUAGAGAAAAACUAAAACACUUAAGUAGAUAAAACAGAUCAUCUAUCCUUGGAAGAGGGUACUUAUUCUUUACCAUUACUUUGUUCAAUUAAUGUUAAUCAAUACACAUCUGAAAAGAAACCAUCCUUCUUGCGCACUAAAAAAAUAGGUUCACCCCAUAAGGACACACUAGCAUGGAUGAAACCCAUAAUUAGAGGAUCAUUUAUUUUCUCCUUAAGCUCCUUUAACUCAGCUGGAGCCAUUCUAUAAAGGGGAAUAGAGAUAGGACAAGUGUCCAAAAUGAGAUCAAUCCCAAAAUAAAUAUCCCUAUAGAGAGGGACACCAGCAAGGUCAUUAGGAAAAAAUUUGGGAAAUUUUUUCACCACCAGGAUCGAUUGUAAGGAACGACCCUCCGAGUUAGAAUAUUUUACCCUUAAUGAUAAUGGUAUACUUUAGAAAUUAAAUUCCAAGCUCUAAGAUGUGAUAUGAAUCUUCCCUUAGGCACUAAAGAACCCUUUUUCCACUCAAUGACUGACUCAUUAGGGAACAUAUAAAUGACCUUACGGGUUCGAUAAUGUAAUGAGGCAUAUCACGAGUUCAACCAGUCCAUCUUCAAUAUAACAUCAAAAUCAAUGAUGUAUUAUUCAAACAAAUUCACAAAAAUCUUAUUACCACCUAAAGAUACCACACAACCCCUAUAGAUUUUUUUAGUCACCACAUAGUCACCCACGGAGGUAGAAAUAGAAAAGGAGUUCGAAAUGCACUCAUUACCAAAACCAAAAUCCAUAACCACAAAUACAGUCAUAUAAGAAAGAGUGGAACCUGGAUCAAGUAAACAAUACACAUCACGAGAAAAGAGUCUCAUCAUACUAUUAACAAUAUCAGGUGAUGCUUCAGACUCCUAAUGAGUAAUGAUAGCAUAAAAUUGAUUUCAACCAAUGCAGAAGCUAGAUGGGUUACUUUUAGUGUUAGAGUUGAUGAAGAGAAAACUAGAACCUUAUUUUCCCCAGAAGUAAAUUUACCUAUGGAAUAGUUUCUAAGCAUAUGACUUGGAUGACCACACUUAAAAACUCCUAUCCCUUUUCUCAUCACAGAAACCCUGAUACAAUCGACCAUAAAAUUUACAGAAAGGAUAUAUUGGAGCUGAUUGGGCCUUACGAACAUGAGAUUGGGCAACUUUUGCCUUAAACCCACUAUCAUGCUUUGAACGACUAUCACCCGAUGACAUCAAAUAGAGAAAACUAGCCAUAGAGUAGGAACUAGAACUCGCCCAUUUCUUCUUAGACCACUUUCCACCAUCUCUACCACUUUAUUGUUAACCUCUACCCUGAUGAGAAAACCUAAACUUUUUUUUCUGUCUUUCUCUUAUAUCUACCUACUUCUUCUUCUAUUCCUUAACCUUCUGCAUAUAGAUAACCAGUCUAGACAUAUCUAUAUCCUUUUUAGCAAGGCGACCUUACUUUUUAGAAUCAAAUCAUGGGACAACUCGAGAGAAAAUUUUCUCAUUAUAGCCUUCAUGCUAGACUUUAGCGUAGGAGCAUACUGGGAAAACUAUUGAAACUUCACGACAUACUCUAUAACUGUCAUCCUACCUCAUCUUAGAUUUAUGAAUUCUUUGGCCUUCACCUCUCUCAACUCCUGAGGAAAGAAGCAAUCGAGAAAUGCUCUAAAAAAAGUCCUCCCAUAAGGUAGACUCAAUAUCCAUACCCCUGAGCUGCUCCCACUCUUCAUACCAUUAAUGCACUACAUCCUUCAACUGAUAGGCUAAAAACUCCACACCUUCUAUCUUAAUUACAUGUAUCAUGUGAAAAAUAUUUUAUAUUUAAUGUUUGAUAUCUUGAGUUUUCUCCUCAACCCUUGUACCAGUAAAAACUGGAGGAUUCAACAUCAUAAAUUGGCCAAGUCUAGUGGCAUUUGAUGGUGGUACAAUAGAAUCCAUACGCUUAGUCUGAAAGGCAACCAACUGAGUGAACAAAUAGAUCGACUGGCAAAACAUAGCAUUAGACAUGCUAGCUUUAGGUGAUUGAGGAAGAAAAAGAGAAACCGAUGGAUAUCCAUUAAGACCAUCAGUGAUAGUGGUCCUAGACCUAGUCUGAACCUAUGGAGUAGAACGAGCUCUAAUUCUAUUGUUCUCAGAUGGGAUAAAAGGGUUCCCACAAACAUCAGAUCUUCUUGGAGGCAUGAUCUGAAAGAAGAACAAACAUAAAUUAGAUAGAUCCAAGACUUUAGACUCUACAUCCAUAAAAUAAAACACAAGAAAUAAAAACAUUUAUAUAUGCCUCAUAGCCUUUCCCUUCUUACACUUGUGGAAGACUGUACAUUACAUGAUUUUCAUUACUACUCUUCUUUGCCUUAUAAUAUUUAUAAGCCAUGUGAUACAUAUGACCAGAUGAUCAGUGGUAAAACAGGAUGACCCAUGCUAGGCAUUAUACCCCUGGGAUACGUUCCUCAUCAAUUUAUAAAUUGGGAUUGACUCAUGCUAGGUUUUCCUUUCACCCUUGGAAUACCACCCAAUAAUGGGAUCAAUCCAUACUAGGUGUUCCUUCCACCCCUGGGAUACCACCCAUAAAUCCAUGUAGGGAUCGGCCCAUACUAGGCUUUGCCCCUGAGCUACCACCCAUAUAUAAGUGUAUUUACUUUACAUUACUUAUUUAAUAUUUGAGAUUAUUAUUUUUGUGGCCAUAGUGUUAGCUUUAGGACAACCAACCAUAUAGUAGGAGAUAUGUGAUUAUCGAUAUAAGGGAGUAACAACUACAUGGAAAUCAUCUUGAACACCAACAUAAUACUUAGGAGUUUAUAUGACACAAUACGUGUUUGAUAGCUCAAAUGGAAACACAUAUCAAGUGGAGACAUUUAACUUAUUAAUCCAAGAGAUAUGGACUUUAUUCAAUGAAAUAAUGAUAAAAUACCCGGUAAAUGAUACCAAAUAAAAGGAUUACAUGAACAUGGGAAUUAAUAAAGCACAUGGACAUAUUUGACAUAGGACAAAUGCGCUACAUAAUUGUAAAAGAAAAUCUACUUGACAUGGCUUUAUGGACACCUAAUUGACAAUGAAACUAGGCGUUGAUACCAAUAUGACACGACCCAAACUAUAUCCUGGCCAUGUCGAGUAUCUCAAGUCCAACUACUAUCGGAGACCACUCUCAAUAUUCAAACCAUUAUCCAUCUUACACCCUGUGUAGGAUGAAUUUUGAACAUAUAACCAAAUAAUAGAAUAUAAAUUUAGAGACAUUAUAAUAAGAUUAUAACCAAAAUCUACCCAUAAGUGUACCAAUCCCUAUACCAAUAACAAUACCAACGCCACCUAUGCCUACAAUAGUCUGACAAAGCCUCAAAUUAAGACCAAAGUAUAUCCAGUCGGGAUUGCCACCGAUGAAAGCCAAAACCAAGACCUAAGGAAUUAUAAAUACAUAAGCAAAUAUAUGGAAUAAAUAGGGUCUUCCGAAGUAUGGAAGCUCACCACUUUAGUCUUACUCAAAAUUUGUCCCCAAACUACCUAGUCACUGAGAAGGAGAAGUGGAAGAAUGAGUUUUUAAUGCAUAGCAUAGGCAUACAAUGUCCAAAGACAGUUAGUGGGGUGAACGCUAGCAUGUAACUCAGGGAUAAAGAUAAAGUAAUGUCAUCAAUCCAAGACCCAGUCAAACCAAUGGACAUAACCAUAUAUAAAUACAUACACACAUAUACACAUAUAUACACCAUGCCGGGAUAGGGAAAAAGAUUUAGGAUGCAUUUUAAAACCUUAACCUGGGCUAUUUAUAUUUACCGUCAUAAGUCCAUCCGUGGGCUAUAUGGGUCCAGUGUUACCCCUUGAAUGGGCCCCAAUGUGUUUUAGUUGCACAGACAAAAGAUAUUAUAAAUGGCCAGGGAUUCCCUUGUACCCUUUGCCCUUCAUGAUACAUAUAUACGUAUAUAGGCUUGGGGAUUCCCUUGUACCUCACAAGAACACGGUCAACAAUACCAAUCCUCAUGUUAGCAAACAUGAGUUUCCAGUGCCCGUUCUUAGGACUCACACCUUCACGGAUAGCUAUCACAAUCCCUAUUAUUUCCUAAUUAAAAUAUUUAACAAAUAACCAAAUAGCAAUCCCAGGACUUAAUUAUUAAGUGGUAUUGUCAUACCGACUAUAGCUUGCAAGCAAUGUCAUUAGCCAUCACAUAGGGGAUUCCCAAGUAUCCCACAGACUCCAUUACUAAAAUUAAUUAGGGGAUUCUUUUGUACCCCACAAGGUUUUCAUAAAUCAUUCACUUAGGGAAUUCUAUUAUACCCUUAUGAGGUUUUGUUUAGCACAUUCUAUAACCAUUUAUACCAUGCAUUAUUGCAAAGUGAUAAUGCAUAAACCAAAAUCAAUUAUACCAGUGGGUUAAGUUUAUUACAAAUUUAUAUACCAAAAAACCACUUUGGGGAUUCCAUUGUACCCCUAUUUACAUCCACCAUUCCCAUGAACCCCAAUGCAUUUACUAACCAUUAAUUAAGAAUAAUAGUUUUAUAAAUAUCAUGGAAGUAGCAUUUAAAUAAUUUAUAUUAAGAACCCUCAAUCCAUAGUUCAACACCCAACAUCAAUAUUUCAUGAACAAUACUCUAAAUUAUAUGCUUUUACAAAAUUUACAAUGAGGAAAGAGUAACAUGCCUUAAACACCAAGUAGUAUGGAGAGAAAUUGUUCUUGGAAGCCUCAAUUGAUUAAUCUCUUGGAAACCUAAAUGCUCUUGGCAAUGAGGAUUUGGGAGUGUUUGAGAGUCUAUUUGAUGUGUUUAUGAGGGCUAAGGAUAACCUAAAAUAGGUUAUAAGAUGUGGAUUUCAUGUUAUGCUAAAGGGGAAACAUCCAAAUGACCUUAACUUAAAAGAUGGAAAAAAUAUUGCCUUUGACUAUGAGUCAACCAUUAACUCAUAAGCCCUCCUUACAACUCAUAACCACUAUUCUUAACUAAGAUAGUAACCAAGAUCCCUAUACACUGCCAACCUUAUGAAUUAACAAGCUUACUCAUAACAAUACCUAAUGGCUCGUAAGGUCAAGUCAUUGUCAACACAGAACUUAAUUAGGUUAAAUACUGGACAUCCUAUAAUUUUAUCUAUCGACUUAAAACAUAUCUUGACGGCUUUUAGUGAGCUACUUGUACUCAGAGUAGAAUCAAUCCAUAAACUUACAUGAUUUAGUUAUGAGUCCUCCUACUGACUAUUAACUAUGCUUUUUGACUCAUUCCCUCGAAUUGCAACCAGGAAAAAAACUCUAUACCGUACACUUGUCUUCUUACAACUAGGGUCACCUGACCCAUCAAAAAAUACUAUGAUUUUUGGGGUUAAGUCGAAACCAAGGUAGUGUGCUCAAAGCUCAAUAAAUUUUGAAAGGCUAAAAAAUGGGGUGUUUUAUCGUAUUUAUCUCAGAUUAAUUUAAACUAAAGCAAUCAAGAUUUAUUGCUACUUUUUUAGUUUCACAAAAAAAACAACUCAAUUACUUUUCCUCUAUUUUCUUGCUACUUCACAAAAUUUGGGAGAUAUAUUCAACCUAUACCCAAUGUGAUCAACCUUAACCUUUGUUGGGUUACUAUAAUUUGACAGGGACCACAUUGUAUCUUUUUGGAGGAUAUGGUUUGGGCAACAUCAGUCUUUAGUACAUUACGACUCAUAAUGACAUUAAUUUUAGACAACACUAGUGGAUUAAGAUUUUGCGAGACUAUGAUUUCUCUAUUCUUUGCUAUUCAUGCAAGGUGAAUAUGGUUGUUGAUGCGUUGAGAUAUAAAGCAUUAAGUUUUGGGAGCUUGUCCUUCCUUUUAUGUUUUGAGAGGCCAUUAGCCUUAGAGAUCUAGUCCUUAUCUAAUAGGUUCAUUCAAAUUGAUAGUUAUACCCUAGGAGGAUUCUUACUAGUGUUGAUGAUAGGUCUACUUUGUUGGAGAAGAUUCGUGGUAAAAAAUUUAAUGAUAGUAGGUUAGGUGUAAGUAAUGAUCAGGUCUAUACUCAUCAGUCUAGGAGAGUUACCCUAUACUCUAAUGUUGUAUUGAGAUUCGAAGGUUGCAUUAUUUUCCAAUGUUUACAGGUUCAAUUCUGUUAAUACUUUAAGAGGUUCAUAGCUCCAAAUAUUCUAUUCACCUAUGGACAACUAAGAUGUAUAAAUAGAAUUACUAGCGGAGAGAUAAAAGGUCAGAUAUAGCAUAUUUUAUAGCUUGUUUUUUUUUAUUAUUAAUAGAUGGAGAUUGAGCAUUUUAGACUAAGUGGUUUGCUAUAGAGGUUACCCAUUCCUAGGUAGAAAUGGGAACAGAUUACCAUGGAUUUUAUGUUUGUUUUCCUAGUACUUCUCAUGAUUCUGAAAGCAUUUGGGUCAUCAUAAAUCACUUGACCAAGUCUACCCAUUUAAUUCUUAUAAAGCUUCCAACAAUGUUGAGGGUUUUUCUUUAAUUUAUGUUCAAGAGGUGGAUCGACUUCACAAAAAGCUCAUGUCGAUUAUUUCUGAUUGAGGUUCCUAGUUAUGCAUUAGCUUUUGGAGUGAUUUUUAGGAGGAGUUUGGCAACAAGUUUGAUCUUAGCAGUGCCUUUCAGCCCAGACUAAUGAGUAGUUAGACCAGACUAUUCAGGGUUUUUAAGAUAUGCUCCAACCAUAUUUCAUGACUUUAGGGGUCUAUAGGAGAAAUUUCAAGAUUAGUGGAGUUUGUCUUUUGUAAUAUCUUAAAUUUGAGCAACAAGUAGAGCUAUGCUGACCCUAGGCUUCCUGUAUUGAGGUUUGGAGUUUGAGAUCUGAUUUUUCUUUGAAUGUUUCCAAUGUAAAUCAUGAUGAGAUUCAAGAAGAGAGGCCUCAGUCGUAUAUAUAUCAGGCCAUUUAAGAUCCUUUACACAGUUUUUAAGGUAGACUAUAAGUUGGCCUUGCCUCCAAUCACUUUUAUCCGUUCAUAUAGUUUUUCAUAUGUCAAAGUUUUUGCUCUAUAUACUAGAUGAGUCUCACAUGCAUAGUAGGAAUUUUUCACAACUCAAACUAGGACCUGGCCGUGAUGGGUAUCUCAAGUCCCACGUUGAUCGGAGAUUACCUCUUCACCUAGUCUAACCAACAUAUCAACCACACGUGUUAGAUGAAUUCCGAACAUAUAACAAGAUAUGCAAAAUAAUAUUAACAAUAGCUUAAGAAAUGUCUAAAUUAUUCAUCACCACCAUACACUAAACCAUCACAUCCAAGUCCACAGUAAUCCACAAAGCCUUUACAAUCUAAAGUCAAUAAAAUGCCGGGACAUGCCCCCGAUAAUAGCAAAAAUCCAAGUCUAAAAAAUUUUAUGACAUAGAGUAAAAAGACUAUGAAAUGAAUGCCUUUUUAACUAUGGAAACUCACCACUUCAAUGUCAACUCAUAAGCCACUUAAACACCUGGUUACUGCAUAGGAAAAGAUGAAGAAGCUCCAGUCCCUACAUCGGUGGGGAUACAGAGUUCAAAGACGAUUAAUGGUUAGAGCACUAUCAUGUAACUCAGGGGUAGAGGAAUAAAAUAAUGCCAUUAAUAAAACUAAGUCAAUUCUUCAUAUGCAAUAUAUAUAUAUAUAUAUCAUGCUGGGAUAGGGAAGAAGGCUUAGCAUAAACUUUGAAAAUAUUAACCUGCGUUGUGUAGCAUAACCGUCAUAAAACAAGGCACCCAUGGGCUAUAUGUGUCCAAUUCUCUCCUAACUGGAAGGGUCCCAGUGCAUUUAGCUGCACGAACUAGAGAAUAUCUAUAUUCGUAUAUACCAUUAUGGGGAACUCGAACCUUCUAUCAUAAUAAAGGUGACAUAGCUCAAAAGUAUACAAUAUAGGGGCUCAAAUAUCCCAUUCAAAUAUUUAUUCACAGGAUCGAACCUCCCGGUCAUAUGGACAUUCGCAUCGGCUAGCGCGAUUUCCAGUAUGAAUCCUUCGAUAUUCACUUUCAUGGAUCGGCUACAUAUCUCUCUUUAAAUGCAAUUUAAAAAAUCAUUUACACAUACACACAACCAUUAGUCAGAUUACUUACAAAAGGCAUCCUGUUGGUAUCAUCAUACCAACACCACUUGUAAGGUACAACAUGCCAUAACCAUUAUUAUUCAAUAUUUGGGACUCGAACCCAUAGUCUAUACAAAGACCUCAAUUCUAUUCACUAUUUAGGUACACAAACCCAUUUAGAAAAUUAAACCACCAAGGUUAAAAUUCAAAACCAUUUAUGACCUAUAAGGACUUCAUGAAACCAUUUACCAACCAUUUACAUUGUUAGAAAAAUGCCUUAGUUCAAAUCACAAUUCAAUUCAAUUUAUGGUCAUCAACACCUUUACAAAAUCAUUCACCCUUCAUUAACACUGCCAAGCAUUAGUUUAAAAACAUAAUUAAUCAUGUGACUAGAUUCUUCUCAUAGACAUUUUCACAAACAAGUUGAGGGCAUACCAUUAUCUAACAAUUAUUCAAGUCAUAAAUCAUAAAGUUAGGGUUAACCAUGACCCCUUCACUUAAAACAUAAUUUCCAAGCACCCACAUAUGUAGAACCAUCAUAAGAUCAUGCAUUAACACAAGUUAAAACAUGAGAGCAUAAUACUCAACAAUGAGCAUUCAUACCGUAAACCAUGGAUUUUAAAACCACCAUCUAUGAUUCAAGAACAAUUUUUAAAAUACAUGAUUUUUAUGAAAUAACAAUGAUGGAAGAGUCUCAUGCCUGAGUUACAAUGAUUCACAAAGAGAUUUUGACAGUUAAACCUCUAGAUGAUCACCUUAAUAAAACCCUAGCCCAAUCUCCUUGAGAGGCUUUUACAGAGUUUAUGAGAGUGCUUUGAUCUUCCAAAGUGUGGAACGAGGGACCAAAUAGUGUUAUAAGACAUGGGGCCUUAUGUCCAUGGGGUGAGAAAUGUCAAAAAUACUUGUAUUAUAAAAGUUGUAAAAGACUCAAAGGAGGGUAUGGUUUGGCCUCUCCACUCGUACCCACAUUAUAUGAGUGGUACCCUACACUCGUACCUUGAUAAAAAUAAUGGAUAUCACAUUCUAUCCAAUAUAAAACUCCUUAUCCUAACUCGUACCCUUACAGUUUUACCUUAGGAAUAAUGUAAAGGUUAGACACUGAAUAACAUACGGUUUGGCUUUAUGCUUCUCGUAUCAUGACAUAUGACUCGUAUGAUAGCUUUUUGUACCAAGAUUAGAACUUGUCCAAUAUGACACUAACCAACAUAUGAAUAGGGUACUUGACUCAUACCCACAAUAUACGAGUGUUAUGGUGUAAGUCAUAUGAUACAUAAAAGGUUCAAGACUCAGGAUAUAUUUGUAAAGGACAAAGUUUGUGAUGUUUUCUUCUCCCUUUCUUAGGAUCAUUCAUCCUCAAAUGAUGGGAUGAGGUACUACAAGCACGAUUAAUCCCAAAACAUCUCUACUCUUACCUUCUAGUUUGAGAUAUUAUUUUAUCUGAUAUAUUUAUUUUUUUGAUAUAUAGUUCUCCUAGAUUUUAAGACUUUUAACUUGUUUAGAAUUUACUAUCUUAUAAAUAAAACCAUUAUGUACUUUGUUUAGAAAACUUAAAUAACCCUCGACAUGAUAAUGAAGAAUAACCUUACAAAUUUAUCUCUCAAAUGCUUUUCUCAUUCCCUAUAUUAUCAUACUGGCAUUAUUUUCUAUAGCUCAACUUAUAGUCAUGCGAUUCUUUUUGUCAUCCUUUACUUUGGCCUGCUAAAUGCAAUCUUUUGCCUACUGCCAUGUUUCAUACUAAGCAACAUGUCUCAUAUUACGUGAACUGAUUGUGAUGUGGUUGUUAGACUUUACAUGAAAGAAUAAAUAGGAGGUGUUGUUUUGUUUUGAGAUGACUUUAUGGAAUAGCUAGAAAGCUUAGAUAUUGCAGCACUUCAACUCCAAUAAUUUAUAUAGCUUGAAUUUUAUGUGUAAUCUUGAUAUCAUCUCAAACAUGGAAAGAAGGGUGGAUUGAGAUUUUAAUGUAGUUGUUAGUCUUGCGGUUAGAUGAACUUCUACACUGUAGGAGGUUAAUUGGACCUUGUACAAUUUUGGGAGACCUGGAGAUAGACAUUGCAAAAAGCUAGUGAUUAGAGAAACAUUGUUUAUUAUUAAAAUUUUUGUUUUUGGAAAGCAAAAAAGGGUAGGUAUUUGGAGAAUGACACUUGUUGAGAUUGUAAUUGGAUGGAUAAUUUUGAUAUAGGAGAAACUCGACUCUACACCUUCAAAAGCUCUUCGUAUUUGUCUCUCCACACCACCCAUAUUUACACAAGCAAAAUCAGGUCCCAAGCCCUUUGUCUCCUCCUCCUCCUCCCAUUCUUUCAGUUGAACAUUAUUUUUUUUCAUUAUUUUCGGCACUAUCCAAAGAGUUCCACCUAAGCAACUCAUACUAUAGUCUCAUGUGAAGUAAAAUAUGAUCCACAUCCUCACUUGCCUCCUCACACAUGUAACACCAACUCAACUUUCCCCUUUCUAAGGUUUUUCCCCAUCAAGAUCACCCCUCUAAUGGCUAACCAAGUAAAGAAACACACUUUCCUCGGCACCCUUAGAACCCAUAUUGCAUUACAUGGGAAUUCAACCUCCUCCCUAAUUAAUAGUUCCUCAUAAAAAGUCUUCAUGUUGAACACUCAAUUGUUUCCCAAGCCCUACUACCAAAUGUUAGUAAUAUCCACUAGAUUGAAUUGCCUAUGCAACUCACUUUCUAAUCUUGAAAAUUUCUUCUAAAUCUCAAGUUCCAAAAAAUUUCCAUAUUUCUCCCUAAUUUUGCUGAAUUUUACCAUAGUUGGAGUCUAAAAUAAAGACAUAUAGUUAGUGUGGAUGGUUGAUAAUAUGCUCUUGAUAAAUUGUUAGUGAUUUCGGAUAGAUUGUUCAUAGUAUUACUCCGUAGGUAUCUUGUUUUUUUUUAUCUAGUGGUGGGUUACCCCAUUUUGUUAUUUAUUUUUAUUCUUUGCUCGGUAUACAGUUAUUUGCUCUGAGCCGGGGGUCUAUUUGAAACAACCUCUCCACUUCAUCUGAGGUAGUGGUAUAUAUAUGUAUAGAUGUGUGUGAGUAAAAUUGAUUAAAUUGCUAUUUUUCUUCAGAAAUUUAUCAAAGAGAAUAAGGUGAAGAUUAGUAUCUUUUAUAAAAUAUUAAAAAUCAUGAUAAAAUAACUAUCUCAACUGUGCAAGUUUAAAAGCUAGUUGGUCCUAUUCUUUUCUUGACCCUCUGAAUAGUUGGAUUCUGCACCACAUGAUCCAUGCUUGAAGCACCUAACGUUACUCCCAGGUAUGUAGACAGUAGAGUCCUAACCCUGCAAUUUAAGUCAUUCACCUCCCCAAUAGGAAAAAUCUCACACUUCCUCAAAUUAAUUUUAAGACCUGACACUGCAUGAAACCAAGUUAGAAUUUGUCCUAAAAAAUCCAUUUAGGUCUCAACUGCAACACAAAAAACCAAGGUAUCAUUCACGAACAUCAAGUGAGAUGCCGAUACUGUCCCCACACCCCCAACUGCAGCAUCAGAGCCCUUUAAGUAACGCCCUAAAACACCAUUACCAUCCUGCUCAAAGCAUCCAUAACUAGAAUAAACAACACUGGUGAUAGAGGAUCCCCUUCUCAAACCCCUCAAGUUCCUAGAAAAACCAGCAAGGUUUACCAUUCACCAACACAGAGAAUCCCACUGAAGAGAUGUAACAAAAGAUCUAUUUGCUCCACUUCUCCCCAAAUCCCAUUUGAAGCAUAAUGGGAUCUAGGUAUUUCCACUUUACAUGAUUGGUUACAAAAAUUGGAUAUGUUGGCAUAAACUGAAUUCAGUCCAUAUUUCUUCUGUUUGAUUGGUUACAAAAGCAAGUAAGAGGUACUUUAACAGUUGACUAUAUAGACAAUGUCAUAUCGUUUUUACUUUUUAUGUUGCUAUUCUUUAUGAUUCAUCCUUGGUACAUCAUAGCAUAUUUCUAUCUCCCAUCUUUGUGGUUGGUAUUCAUCUCUUUCUUUUUCCUCUUUUAGGGGUGUGUGUCAUUUUCCAGAUAAUAGGAAUGUAGACAUAAUGUUACUAAUAGUAGAAAUUAGGAUCAAGUUACAGUAUUGUUGGGUUGUGAAAUGAUAUAUGGAUGAGUGUCGCGGCGGGGUCACUGCUGAUCUAGAGAAAGUAAAAGAAAAGAAAAAAAAGGAGUUGUCACAAAGAAAAUAGGGAAAGGAACAUAUUUUAGAAUUCCAAAUGAAAGAAGAGAAAUCCCCCAACAGAAAGUAAAAGAACAGAAAAAGAAAGGGAGUAGUCAUAAAGAAAACAGGGAAAGAAACAUAUUUUAGAAUUUCAAAUGAAAGAAGAGAAAAAUGUUAGGAAGACAUGUGCUUUGGAAAUCAGAAGGGUUGUGUGAUUUGGAAUCACUUGCAUAGUGCUGUCAGUGUACUUCAGAAUCAGCUAUUAGACUCGUGAUUCAGAUUUCUAUAUGGAAUUUUUUAUCGUAUUUACAGUGAUUCUUUUUAAAUUUUUAUGUAGUUAUUUCUACUGUUGUCAGUAUUUUGUGGUUAAGGAUGGCAAUGGGGCGGUUUGGGUUUUAGACUAUGUGGGGUGGUGCAGGUUUUAGACUAUGUGGGUGCGGUGCAGGUGUGGGGCGAAUUUAAGUAAGUUUUUUUAAAUGGUGCGGUGCAGUGAGGGUUGCGGGUAUAUGCAGGUUUAAACUAAAAAAAGCUAAAAAUUAAUAUUUUUCCCAUAAAUCAACCUAAAAUUAUAUGUAUUCUGCACUUAAAAUUUUAUGAUACUUAAAACAUCAUAUAUAACACUACAAAUAAACAAUUUUAUAACUUUUUAAAUUUCUUAAUUUUUUAAUGAAAAUUUGACAUUUGAUCAUUACUUGUACACGUGGUACUUUUUUAAUAAUUUCUUUGUGAAAUGAUAUAAUAGAAAUUGGUUGUUACUAAUCCUAGUAUUGAAAAUAUUAUGGUUUUGAGUGGAGUUACAAAUUUUUCAAAAAAAGAAAAAAGCAAAAAUGUAGGGAGGUGCAGUAUGGGUAUGCAUGGGUAUGAGUGUGACAGGUUUAAAGGUGAUACGGUGCGGUGCAGGGCGGUUAUAAAAUUUGCGGAUUUAGAGAAAAACCUCACCGCACCAUUGCCACCCUAUUUGUGGUCUCUUCAUAGUUGUAGAAAGACUUUAUUUUGUGCGUGGUGUAUCCUUUAUAUCUCCACUUCAAAGACUCAUUCUCACACUUACUGGUUUUUUGUAGUUUCGCCAGUCGCUUCUUGAAAUGUAGAGACCCAUAUGCCAAACGAAGACAUCCUCUUGUGGACUCAACUUUAGUUGCAGAAAUUAGAAGAUGCAUUGACCAAGGGAUUGAAUUUCAAGGCGAACUGUUAAAUUUUAGAAAUGAUGGAUCUCCCCUGAUGAAUAGACUGCGUAUAACUCCAAUAUAUGGGGAUGAUGAAGCGAUAACUCAUGUUAUUGGUAUUCAGUUCUUUAAGGAAGUAAAUAUUGAUUUGGGUCCACUUUCAGGAUCCUUGGUGAAGGAGCCCACAAGAUUAUUGGAUAGGUAUUGUUCUGGUCUUUCUUCUUGUUGACCAGUCUCUGAAGGAAACCCCGCUAUCAAUCGUGGGGUUUGUGGUGUACUGCAAUUGAGUGAUGAGGUCCUAGCACUCAAAAUUCUUUCACGGUUGACCCCAAGAGAUAUUGCAUCUGUUGGCUCUGUUUCUAGACGACUUUAUGAGCUGACUAAAAAUGAAGAUCUUUGGCGGAUGGUCUGUCAAAAUGCAUGGGGUAGUGAAACAACUCGUGUGUUGGAGGCGGUGCCAAGAGCUGAAAGAUUGGGUUGGGGUAGAUUGGCUAGAGAAUCAACUACUCUAGAAGCAACAGCUUGGAGGAAGUUAACUGUUGGAGGUGUUGUUGAACCAUCACGCUGCAACUUCAGUGCAUAUGCAGUAGGGAACUGUGUUGUACUCUUUGGUGGAGAGGGGGUAAACAUGCAACCAAUGAAUGAUACUUUUGUAUUAGACUUGAAUUCUAGCAAUCCAGAGUGGAAAUGUCUAAGUCAGCUCUCCUCCUCCUGGCCGUUGGAGGCACAAACUCUCUUGUGUGAAUGGAUCUCAUCUUGUUGUGUUUGGACGAUGUUGAAGGCAGGGUCUCUUGAAUGAUGUCUUUGUGUUGGAUUUGGAUGCCAAACAACUAGCAUGGCGUGAAAUCUCUAGUUUGGCACCUCCGCUUCUAAGAUCUUGGCACAGCUCCUGUACCUUGGAUGGAACCAAGUUGAUAGUCUCUGGUGGUUGUGCAGAUUCUGGUGUACUUCUCAGUGAUACUUUCCUGCUUGAUCUGUCUAUGGAGAAGCCUGUGUGGCGUGAAAUACCAGUGACAUGGACUCCACCUUCUCGUUUGGGC